Molecule: long non-coding RNA, 95103 nt
Filed under: Brachypodium distachyon (stiff brome)
Lineage: Eukaryota; Viridiplantae; Streptophyta; Magnoliopsida; Poales; Poaceae
Description: long non-coding RNA (BDIS_LNC000361)
Rfam family: tRNA (bases 36672-36752)
Source: RNAcentral
CAAAAACGGAGGAAAAUAAUAAUAAUCUCACACAAGUCAGUCCUGAAAUCCUCGUGAAAACGAUCAGGUUUGCUGUAAAAACGGAGUGGAUGUAUGUGAAUUGGCGAGAUGUUUUACUUACCCCGUCGAGGGUGUCGAAGAGCUUCCCGGUGAGGUCCUUGAGGUCCUUCUUCUCCUCCUUGGUGGCCUUGGAGGAGAUGACGGUCUUGAGGUCGUAGCGCAGGUAGGAGGCCCUGAGGCGGAGGUCGUUCAUGACGUACGGCCAUUGCUUCUUGUCGAUGAGCGGCUUGAGGUUGAGGAUGUCCUGGGCCGACUCCUUGGCCCGGGCCGCCGCCGCCGCCGGAGGCAGCGGCUGCAGGUAGAAGCGGUUCUUCAGGGGGAGCGCGAAGUCCCUCGCCUCGUCCGAGUUCUCCGUCCCGGCUGUACCACAACCCCAAAUCAUCCAUCAUUACACAUCAUUUUUCAAUUGAAAUUCUACAAAAAAAGGUAGUAAUUCGUGCACGAGCAGUAGUUAUCUGGAGGCACUCACGGAGUCCACCGGAGGGAAGCGGCGGCGGGCCAACCUUGAUGGGGUUGACGGCCGCGAGCACCGCCUGUGCGAACGCGCCGCCGGCGACCCCGCUGGCCAUGAGGCCAAGGACCGCGCGGCGGCCGGCGGUCUCGGCCUCCGCCGACGCCCUCACGGUGAGCUUGCUGGCGCCGCGCCGGCCGGCCGGGCCUGGAAGGCGCACGCCCUGCGCCGAGGUCAAGCCGGUCAUGGACGCCAUGGCCUGUGCCAUCUCGAGCUUUGCGUUUUCUCUUGGGGAUCGAGGAGGAGGUAACGAUCGAUCUCUCGCUCCACCAGUGGCGGCCAGCGUGCCGGAAAUAUACGAGGGAGCCUUCGCCGUCGCCAACCUUAUCUGACUGGAUAAGUUGGGGGCCAGUGCGGGGGCGCCAUGUGGCAUGGUGCAUCGCCUGGCCUCCCCAUUUGGAUUGCGCUGUGGCCAAUGGGCGGCUGCGGCUCCUGGCAUGUGUGGUGAGCUCCUCGUCGGUGCUUGGGCUUCAGUUGGCCAGUGACAUUUUCGUGUUUUGUCGGUUUGUUCGUUUUGGAUAAUUUUUCUUCCCAGGAGACACAAUGGACAGCGCCAUUAGUACGAAUUUUUGUGGGGGAAAUUCAUAUUUUCAGCCUGUUACGAGAAUUGGCGGAAUCACAUAGAAACAUUUGAAAGGAACAUAAAAGUUAUCAGAAUAUUCGAAAGCUCCGUAUGGAAGCUCAUCAACAUGAGAGGGCAUUUGAAGUUUAAUCCCUCUUUGAUUCACAUGAUUUCUAAAAUGUGUAAAUAGGAAAACGUAAGCAUUGUAUGUCAUAGCAUGUUGUUUCUCACAUAAUUAAAAAACACACAGAAAUAAGAGCAAGACAAGUUAUUUGAUUACACUAAAAAUACAGAUAAAGUUUCAAUAGGGAUUAGGUCAAUGCCAUACUUGUUUAAGAAAACAAAGAAGAUAUUUCAAGAGGCUUGACUCAAUGAGAAUUUUCUUUCAGAAUUGGUGCAAGUGAACCAUACAACAGAUUCCUAUAGAUUCUAAUCCUACAAGUCAUAUAAUCCACAUAUCGAGAGGUGUAAGAGCCGGUUCCUAUCAUAGAAUCCGAAAAUUUAGCUUGAAUUUAAUUGAGUAUAUGAACUCAAUCGACAUUCCGUGGAAUCACUUCUGUACUCAAACCCCAAUUUUGUUAUAAAAGACACCAUUCCUCUCUGGAUUUGUCUCGAUUUUUACGAAUCCAUGUCACUGACAAACAUGCCUUUUGAAUUCAAAAUUUAAAUUUAGCAAAAAAAAAUGAUUUUCGGAGGGCUACCAAACAAGCUGAACCGUGAGAAAGAGAGAAAAAAAUACUCUCAGUUGAUUAAUCCCACAAAGUGAGAAAGAGGAAUCAUGCAAUAGCCGCAGGAUUAGAUUGCAAUGAACUCGCGUUCAUUUUUCAGAAACACGGAGGCGGUGCCCUCUGUAUCAUUUGCACCCACGGUGCUAGCCACAAGUUUGCCUUUUUGUCUCAUUCUUUCUCUCUCUCCACUUUAAAUUAGAGAGGUUAAACAGUCUGACCACUGACAACCUUUUGCUCUUCUCUUUUUCUUUCUCUCUCCCAUUUUAAGUAUAUUAUGGUACAUGACAUAUUUUUGAAUUACAUAUUUAUAUUUAGUAAAUUAUGAUAUAUGUAUUGUACCUUAAUAGUUUUUAAAUAUCUCCUGUACAUGAAUUUAUGAUACGGGUACAUCGUAUGGUACAUCACAUUACCUUAACAAUUUGUGAGUACCUCGUGCACAUGACGAGUACAUGAAGGUAUAUGAUGAUUACGUGAAGGUACAUCACAAAUACAAUUAACAAGUACCACAUCAACGAUAAAUUACAUCAUGUACCGGGACAAAAUUAGAACACAAACAUUCAUAAAUAACUACUACCUCGUCAUGUACCAUGGGUACAUGAUGGUACUCAAAUAAACAUUUAAAUAGGAAACCACAAAGAUUCAAAAAUCACAUGGUACAUGAUGGUGCUCCAAAAUCACAUGAUACAUGAUGGUACUUCAAAAUCACAACACAAAAUCAUGGUACAAGAUGGAUCCAAAAUAAAAAUUCACAUGGUACACCAAAAAUCAAAAUAAAAAAUCACAGCAAAAUCACCGGAACAGGAGCUCUCCGCGGAGAAGCCCAGGACAGAGCUCUCCGUGGUGGCGGGGACGGGAGCGGGGGCGGACACGGACGCGGGACGAUGUCGUCGCCGGAGUUGAGGACGGCGGCGGCCAAACCCACUGCCAGCCAGGAAGAGAUGAACAGGUUUCUGGAAAGAGGAUCGAUUGGAGGGACCGUACGGAGGAGAGAGGGAAGCUGGGACCGACUGCUAAUUAGAUGGGAUGGGCAGAGAAUUAAGGAAAAGAAAAGGAGAAUUAAGGAAAGGGGAGGACAGGUGGUUGGUAUAUACGGUAGGUGCAAAUGCCAUGCAGCGUACCGGGAGGUUUGGCUGCCAGACUUGCCAAGAUCGUGCCAAAAGGUUGCAACUGCGCGACCGCGGAAGCGCCCAAAAUCAAACCCUCUCGCUCGCCAGUCGCCACCAUCAAUGGCGGUUCGCCGCGGCCGGCGGCGACCACGCCCUCCCUCCUCGACCCAACCGCUCCCUCCGCGGCACCCCGUUCGUUAAGCGCUUGCGCAAGGCCGACCCCUGCGUUCAGCAGACGAGCCUCUCUCCCUUACUGACGGCGGCCUCACAUGCAGGGUCUUUCCGCAGCUCCACUCCCACGGGCCACGGGAUCUGAUGCGAUGGCUGUGCGCGCGUUCCCGCGACCCGCGGCGCGGUUACGCUCUCCGGCAGGCACCCUUACCUGAGCCUCCCCGCCCGGCUGCCUCGCCCGACAACUUCAUCCUCACUCCUCAGCGAGCGCCCUCUGUGAGCAAAAUCCCUACUUCAGUUUAACCGCCAUUGCCAGACGAAUCUGUAGCAACUUGAGACCUAACAACAAUUGAGUAAUGUAUUACGACAGUCAACUAUGUUACCUGACGAGUGUGACGAAGUUACGUGUAAUUUAGCAGCAGGUAGAAAUUUGUAGUGUCGAAGUAUGAGUUUUAUACUUUUGUAUUGGUUCCCUGUAUUUGAUUUGGUUAAACACUUAGUUCUAUCCGCAGUAGUCCACUUACUAGUUGACCAAUAAUAGUCGAGUAGGAACUCCCGUUUUGUUAACUCCUUAGGAGGAUUCAAAGAAUUUCUAGGUUUGGUUUCCUCUUGGGGUCUCUGUAUGUAACUAACAAGAUGAAAUCGUGUGUUACUGCAGAAGUGCAGAGGCGGACCUUUGAAAAGACUGAAAAUUGUCUGCAGUGGAACUCCCGUUUUGUUAAAGUAGUUUUCGAGAUUGCAUGGCGUGGUUAACUCUAUGAUAUUACAGGAUAUGUAUGGAAGGUAAGACUCUUCUGUAUUCCAUAAGUUUCCGCUACUAGAUACAUUUCUUACAGCUGUAGUCUUUUAGGAGAGUGAGGUUCAUCUUUGAUGGGGCUUCUCAUCACUGGUUUCUUAUUUGAGAGCACAACUACAUGAGAGACAUGAUAAUCAACAUACAUGGUACACACCUUGGGCCACCAUGCCUGGUGGUUGGUUCUGAUGGGAAACAACCUAGUUUGUCAGUUACCUAAAAGGUUUCCAUUGUGUACUAUUAACUAUUGUAAUUAUGAGCCAUUAAUUCUUACUUUGCACCAGAGAAAUACGAAGAAAACAAUCAUAGUCCAAAUCAUUUUUCAUUAGGACGCUCUUUGCUUCACCCCUCUGAUUUUAGUCUGUCAUUGCAUCAUCCAAUCAAACUCUGUUUAGCUGGAUAGUCAUCUUGAUUCCUUUCAUUAAUUAUGACCAAUUCACGAUAUCACUUUCUAUUUUCAUCGAUCACCCAGUGGAUCAAAUCCAGUUCUAGCAGUAGCAGCAGAAGCCUGGGUAGCAGUUAAAUUUAUGCUGUUAAAAAGCCACACAAUAAAUAAACCAUACACACAAACUGUUUUAUUCGUUCACUCAAACACAUACAGCGACAUGGGGGCCAAGGUCACAUGUAUCACAGCAUAUCAGAGAGGCAUCAAGCCUCAUGAUUUUAUUAUUGUCACACCAUAUGAUUAUAACCUCUUAACACAUCAGUUUAUUUAUUCUCGGCCUACUUCCACACAGUAGCCUUAUUUCUGUUUACCAGCACCUCUUGGCCCUUCUUGUACACUGCAUGGGGAGAUUUUAAACUGGCAGGUCGGUGUUCUCAUCAAAGGGGAACGGGUCCAACUUUGGUUGCGCUGCUUGUAAGAUCUUUUGAAUUGGCAUUUCUGGCGUUGAUCUUUCCAGAGGUGCAAUUGGAUCAACACUUGGGUCAUGAUCCUGAAAAUUAAGAAUUAAAGAUUAUUAUAAUAGAUAGGUGCAAAUGAUGCUUUUCUUUAGUUUUUGAGAUGUCUUGAUUUGCAUGAGUGGCACUGACCUGGUUAGCAUGCAUUCUCUUGACAAAAGUUUGGAAAGUGACAUAGUUCUGUCCCUGUAGCAGCUCAUCUGAUAACCGGAGGUAGGUGAAUCCAUGCAGCUUGUGCUCCGGAGGGCCACUCUUGUUGACACCUUUUGGUCUCGCAUUUCUGAGUAUAGUGUUGUACCCCGUUGCAUCAUAUCGACCAAGCGCGUUUUCGCAGGCCACAUCUAAGCCCUCUCUCCAUCCAGCACUCAGCACCUGGGAAUUUUGAUAAGAAGUGAUUCAGUGAUUCCGUAAAAGAGAAGUGCAGAAGCCCUAGUCAUAAAUCACUGGGCAGUGGCUAAUGGUGUAGUUACCUGUUGGACUAGUUCUUCUGGUGCACUCUUCGCCUCUGAGCUCUGCUCGGAGUCCCUCAUCUCUGCACAAGUGAAGUUGAGGCUAGCAUGAUGCCUCUUGAGCAUGCGUGCUAUGGUUCUGUAGCCGUCUCUGUCAUCUAAGUUGUAGUACCCGGCAGUGAGCUCGGCUGCAUGGUUUGGAACCCUGUACCACCAGUGAAUGCCAGAUAUCUGCAACCAAACAUCGGAUCAUGUCUCAUUUACGUUCGAGAUUAAGUAAUGGAGUUGCCUAUACAUCCUCGAUCUGUCCUUUAACCUCAAGUCUAAUGUUAAUAGCAAACAUUGUGCAAUCCUUGUUGUUUAUUUAGAUUAUCUUUCUGACCUUAUCAAAUGAUCUACCAUAAUAAGCACAGAUCUUGAGAAAGGUACUUACUUUUUUUUUGAAAAGUAAAAAGAAGGUACUUACUUUGAUUGCCAGCUGCACUGUAUAUCCCACGAAGACCUUGUUUGCUUCAUCCAGGAUCUUGUCACCGUGCUUGAUCAGUUUGUUGGAGUACCAUGAGAGGAAAAAAUCCCCCUUCUCGGUGACGUAUGUUCCGUUGUCCUUGAAGAAUUGGGUCUUCUCGGGAGUGUCAUUGUACUCCCCAGCAUCAUCAGGCAAUUCCCACUCAGGAUGACCAGCCUUCGCUGCUGCUGCUUUGAAGUCUGCUACCAGGUACUUAUCGUAGCACUGCAGAUUAUUUUUGUUAUAGUAUAAUACCAGUCAGUUAGAACAGUUCACUGAAGUCCUUUUGUCUGGUAGUGGUGAUAUAUUUUUUAACAUUUUUUUAUUUCAUCUUGUGGUAUUGUCUGUUUUUAGAUGUACGUUUGAUUCCAUCUGCUUUUGCCGCUUAACCGUGUGACUGUGGUCUCACGUUUGCGUCUGGUACAUUCCUCAAAAGAAUAGUGUGGCCGUUUUAUCCAAACGUCUCUUUUGAUCAGAAUCACUUUGACGUUAGCUGUUUCUUUUGUAAAGGAGCUUUCUCAAUGGAUAUCGUCACUUGGACAAAAAUUAAAUUGACCUCGGUCAGGUUUUCUGUUAGUUAGUAUGGCAGAAAGCACUCACGAUGAAUUCUCCGAUGCCUGGAAACACCCAUCCCUGGCUCUGGGGAUAGGAGGGGUACCUCAUCUCUCCAGCCGGGCCGAGCCCCACCUCAAUGUCCACAAUGACACCAGCAUUCAAGAACUCUUUCAUGUUCUCCCUGAAGCUCGCCAUGUAAUCAGUAUACAUCUAUCACACCCACAAAGGAGAACCAAAUUAAAGCUUCCCACCAUGAGCGUACAUUCGCAUCAAAAUCGCAACUAUAUAUGCCGUUGCCCAGAUUCAUCUGACCAGACCACCGUAUAUAUAUAUGCAAGUAGAGGUGGCUUACCUGAAUUGCAGUUCUUCCGUGGAAGAGAGGCUGGUCGUCCACUCCAAGAGUGAGGUACUCGAUGUUCCUCUUCCCGCUCCGGUUGGUGCAGAAAAUGUCGGGAUCGGUCGCGCCGAUGUCCCGCACCCACUGUGGGAUCGGGAUGUUGACGACGUCGCCGACGUUGCCACCGCACUGGUGGAACGACAUGAUGGCCUGCAGCUUCAGCCCGGCCUCCUGCACCAGCUCGAACACCUGCUUGUAAGCGCUCCAGUCGUAGGCCUUGGGGCCCUUGCCCUCCACCAGGCCCCACCAGACGUCUAUCAUGACGCCAUCGACGCCGGCUUCCGUCAGCUUCUUCAGCUGCGCCCUUAGCUUGUCGCCCUUCUCGAACUUGUUGUCUACGCUCACAACAUCCAGCUGUUUUUUUUUUUCGCCGGGACAAUCAAAUCAGGGUUAGUACAGAAUUCCGUCCAUUCAUGGCUCUAGUCGACUUGUCUAUGAUUUCACGCAUGAACUAGAGUUUAUACAUAUCGCUAAUGUACUACAAUAUGCAUUAGAUCCUUGAAACGGUGUAUCAGUGAAUGGAUGAGCUUAGCUUACAGGGAGCAUGACGUUGACUUGGACAUAGUUGGCUAGCAAGCUCCCCGCCAUUGUGGCUUCUGGCUAUGCAGUACUAUGCUUUGGAAACACUGCGCUGAACUUGGUUUGAUGGAUGCUGCAGGGAGCCUAGGGGGUCUAUUUAUACUGCGAAAGGGUGGUGGGUGGCAGCUGAGAAAAUAUAUUUUCCUCUCAUUGAGUGACGUUUUUUUUUUGGGGGAAAUGUAUUGAGUGAAGGUUGGGUAACUCAUACGUCCGUUUGGAGCGGCGAUGUUUAUCAAGUAUACUAGAAAAAGGUUUCUGAAGUAUAUCCGUUCAGGUUAUUUGAAGCCCCACUUCUGACACCAUGUUCUUUGUGAUCUAGAAACCCGUAGUGUUUCUAGAGAAAAGGCUUUUCAGUUCAGCUUUAUUAGAAAGCCGAACAAGAUUCAGCUGGGAGUUACAGCGUUACAGGAUAGGAUCACCACCAACGUAGCUAAAGUAUCAAAAGGGAUAACAGCACUCCAGCCAGAUGUGCACACAAGCACUACUACCAACAAACUACAAACCUCAACAUAACAGCAUAGACUACACCAGUCCGGAUUUGAUUAACAUUGGCAAGCCGGACCACAUCUUGAAUUUGCUUCAUCAUCGCCUCCAUCGCCAUGCGCCCUUUUUCAUGAAGAGCUAUCCAACGUGUAAGUAACGCCAUGGCUUUGAACACAACCCAUACCGCCAACCUCUUUAGGACGAUAAAGGUCUUCCCACUUCACCGUAUGAUACCUCCUCUUAUCUCCAAUUCCUUCCCAAAUUUUUUCGGCUGAAUAGAGUCUAAUUUCGCAUGAAUUCCCUCAUUCAACUUAUAGAACCCCAUCAUGUAAGUUGGAAUAUUGUCGAAGCAAGCAUCACAAACGGGAGUAAAGUUCUCCAACAACAACUUCUUAGGGGCCACUGGAAUGCCCAGAUAUUUCAAUAGAAAGUGUCCAACUUCACAAUUCAGCAAAGAAGCAAUCCUAUACUGCUCUUGUUCAUCACACCCAACAACAAAGACCUCACUCUUUGUGUAGUUGAUUUUAAGACCCAGCAUCUCCUCAAAACAAUAGAGAAGAAACUUCACCAUCGCAAUUUUUAAGGAACAAAACUGUAUCAUCCGCAUACUGCAAGCGUAAAAUUCCUCAUGGGACAAGAUGCGGCAACAAGCCUCCCAUAUGAUUCUUAUCCUUCGCAGAUUGAAGCAUGAUGGCCAACGCUCACCAAAUUAAAAAGCGGAUCUCUCUGCCGCAAACCCCUAAGAGUCCUAAAAUAUUCAGAAUAUACAGAAACCCGUAGUUUACACGUACGAGUUUUUCACGUACCCAUAAAAUGUGUAAUGCCGAUGGGCUCGAUGCACCGACCACCCAUGCAGGGCCGGCCUACCCGGGCGCGGGGACGGAUGAUGAUGAUUUGACAUGAUGUGAUAUGAACAUGGACGGAUCAUCGUCUCCCCGCCGCGAAUUUUUUUUGCCACCGGUGGAACGGAACCAUCGACGCCAACCGUCCAAUUAAACAACGGUACCAGCGACCGGAAUCGUGAAAUCUCCCUGGCAAACCCGACCCAAAUCCGUCGCACUACGGAACAAAAAAUGUACUACGUAGGCAGGCACUGCCCAAUCAUGGAGCUAAUCUAUGAAGCACGUUCCCAAAAUCGUCCGUGGUUCGGUGCGUGCUGCUUCGUCGAUCUUAUACGUACCACAAAAGCACAUGAGCGCGACGCUUUAUUAAUUCUUGCGGGGUUCACUGUACCUGUCAGACUUAAUUCACGGUCGAUCCACUGAUGGAGCCACUCAUCAAUGCACGUGCCUCUGAGCUGUAGCGUGGAGUCUCACACCACAAUUUCUGUCCAUCUGAUCAGGUCCCCUACGUGGCGAAUCCGUCCAAGAAAAGAAGUGGUAAUUUUCGUGCUUGUUAAGAGUGAUCUGCUGCUACCACUAGACUCGUGUAUGUCGAAGAUUUACUCAUCUGUUGAGUUGUGUUAUCGUGUAAAAACCGUAAGAUGGGAUUAUGUAUGAGGCCAUAGGGGCUUUUCAACCGAAUACCCAUUCGACCUUCUCGAACACCCAGUCGAUGAACUCCGCGAGGUCGCCGCCGACGGUCAUGUCCGUCUCGGGGUCGAACGGGUACGGCGCCUCCGGCGAAGUCGCCUCCAGCAGCUUGUCCACGGGCAUCGCCGGCCUCGACCGCUCCAGGGGCUUCAGCGGCCGGAGGUACCGGGCCGGAUCAGGGCAGUAAUCCUGAAAUCAAACCAACAGCCCAUUGCAUAUUGUCACAAGUAUUGGGCCUAACAGAGCCCAUGUUACGAAACCCAAAGGCGAAUCUUAUGUUGGGGUUUACCUGGUCGGCGUGCAUUUUCCGGACGAAGGUUUUGAAGGCCCGGAACUUGUUCCCGGCCAGGAGCUGCUCCGUCAGCCGGAGGUACGUGACAGCAGCUAGCCGAGGCCGAGCGCCGCCGACGCCGUUGGGCCGCGCGUUCUUGAGCAUCUGGUUGUAGGCCCGGCGGUCAUACCUGGGCAGCGCGUUCUCACAGGCCACCUCGGUCCCCUCCCUCCACCCGGCGCUCAGCACUUGCUGGACGAGCUCCUCCGGCCCGCUAAGGGCCUCCUGGGCCUGCUCCGAGUUCCUCAUCUCCGCGCAGGUGAAGUUGAGCACGGCGCCGUCGUGCCGCGCCAGCAUGCGCGCCACCGGGCCGUAGCCGUCGCGGCCGCCCACGUUGUAGUACCCGGCGGUGAGCUCCGCCGCGUGGCUCGGGUGCCUGUACCACCAGUGGAUCCCGGACACCUUUGCGGCGAGCUUGACGGUGCAGCCCAGGAAGGCUUUGUUGGCUUCGUCCAUGAUCCUGUCCCCGUGCUCGAGCAGCUUGUUGGAGUACCAUGUCAAGAAGAACUUGCCCUUCUCGGUGAGGUACGUCGGGGUGUCGGGGCCGUCCGCCGUGAAGAAGGCCGUGUCGUCUGGCGUGUCGUUGUACUCUCCGGCGUCGUCCGGGAGCUCCCACUCCGGGUGCCCGGCCUCCGCCGCCGCCGCUCUGAAAUUCUCCUCCAGGUACCUGUCGUAGCACUGCAGCAUAGCAACGCCGUUUAGUUAACAAUCUGAAGCAAGGCUCACCAAACAAUUGCAGAGUACGUAGUGCUUCUUGUUGUUCUGAAAGUCUUGUCAGUUGGGCAGAGAGGGAUAUAUAUAACUAGGAGGCCUACUUGGAACUGUCCGAUGCCGGGGAACGCCCACCCCUGGCUCUCGGGGUAGGAUGGGUACCUCAGCUCGCCGGCAGGGCCAAGCCCGACCUCGAUGUCCACGAUCAGUCCAGACUCCAGGAAGUCCGCCAUGUUCUCUCUGAAGCUCUUCAUGAAAUCGGCGUACAGCUGCAGUACACGUCGUCCGCGAUCAAAUUAACUGUCUUUGAUGGUUAUAUCCUGCAAUUUUCAACGGACAGAGCAUCCGUGUAUACAUACCUGGAUGGCAGUUCUGCCGUGGAACAGGGGACGGUCGUCGACGCCGAUGGUGAGGUACUCCUGGUUCCUGGCCCCGCCGGGGCUCGUGUAGAACACGUCCGGGUCCGCCUCCCCGACUUCCCGGACCCACGCCGGGAUCGGGAUGUUGACGGCGUCGCCGACGUUGCCGCCGCAGGCGUGGAACGACAUGAUGACCUGCAGCUUGAGCCCUGCCUCCUGCGCCAGGCGGAACAGCUCCCUGUACGCGCGCCACUCGUACCGCGCCGGCCCGGCGCGCUCCACGAUGCCCCACCACACGUCCGCCAUCACGCCGUCCACGCCGGCCUCGCGCAGCCGCCGCAGCUGCGCCCGGAGCGCCCCCGCGCCCUCCACCUCGUUCUCCGCGGUGAUCACUUCCAGCUGCGUUAAUUACAACGUUGAAUCGCCGACCGUAAGCCAUAAUAGUUGUCGAAACCACAUGGGUUUGCUCUGUUUCUUACUUACGGGGAGCAUGACGAAGACCGGGACGUAGCUGGCCAGCGUCUUGUCCUCGUCGGCGUCCGAUGGCGGGGGCUGUGGUGCAGGAGAAGUCUGCGCGGUCUCGGCGGCGACAGCUCGGACGGAGGCGGCCGCCGCCCUCCCGGAAUGGACGACGAGCCGCCCAGUGCUUGCCGGUGGAAGGGGCGCCGACGCCCUUCUACGGCAGCUUCCCCAUGGCUGCACCUUGACCUGUGAUGACGGUGAGGUCGCGAGCAUGGUGUGUGUGUGUGUGUAUGCAUUUCUUGAUUGCCUUCUCUUCGAGUGUCUGAUGUACCACUGCGAUUUUGCCUUGUUCGGUCGACGAUAUUUUGGCGUGUCUGUGCUGUGUAUGUAAGUGGCCGGCCGGUCGCCGUUGCCAUGGGAUCCGCGUGACACACGAAUCUGCUCCCUUUCUUCGCGAUGUGUAGCCAUGGGAGGAGGAGCCUGCCCGGACCUUCCUGCGGGUGUCCAUCUGAAGGUGUGGUUUGCGUGAGCCGUGUGUUUUCUGCGGGUGUGCAUCGCUCGUUUUUGUCCGUAGCUUUUCCUGUUUUCGUCGUGAACGUUUGGUGUUGGAGAGAGGCUUGAGGUUGUUUGUAUCUUUGGAGCUAGCUCUAGCAAGGUUGCAGAUUCUUAGGGCCUCCGCAAUGUGCGGCAAAUUGGGAUGUCAAAUUGUCAAUCUAGACUUUGAUACCGGUGUACACACUGUAGAGGUGGUGCCAAAUCAGAAAAAAAUGGGUACGAGCACCUUCCGGCUUCGAUGCUGUCAACCCCGGGAAUACCAGAGUAUCCCGCCCGGGAGUGUGGCUCGCAGGAACUAUCCAAAGACUUGGCACAUCUCCGAAAAGAGUUCGACUGGGGCUCCGCGAAGGCGUCUGCCACCACCCGCGGGAAGGAAUGUGUCUGCCGUGGCAUCAGCUAGUCACGAGCGAACUCUUUGGCGUCCCGUCGAUUGGUAGUUUCGCGUCCAUGGACUCCGACGAAGUCAACAGGGCCUGCGAACCGUGGGCAUGACGAUCCUCACGCAUGGCUAGAGGCUGGAUGCAGCGAGCUCAUCCCUUACUUUUGAUCAGGUAAAGUCCUUUGUGCAGAGUUUCACCUCACCGGACUCGACAAGUCCUGAAGACCCCCCGCGCCACGGACGUGGCGCAGUACGCAUGUACAUAACCACACAGCACACAGGGCAGCCGACCAGCUUCAGAUUCAUGUUGCAGUGCGGAAAUCCCCUUGCAGUAAAACCCUAGCCGCCACUGUGGUGACCCCUUACCACUGUAAAAGAAGGGCCAUGGCUUCCAUAGCAAGGAUCGGAUCAUACUGCGGCCAAUUGAGCCGCCCUCCAAGGUUGAGAGCUCACCCUUGUAAUCAAGAAACAACCACCAUUUCAACAAAGCAGGACCUAAGUUUUACACCUCCAGGUAAGCUGGACAUGGGUAAAUAUCCCCGUGUCUUGAGAUUGAAGAAGAGGCUUGUGUCACUCUCGCAUUCCAACACCAAACCACAAAGAUUGGUUUUUGUUUGAGGGAAAAGAAAUAGUAGAUCAAUUGAUCUACUGUAACAGAGAAUAUGUACAAUGAUUAUCUAAAGUUUCUAAGCCAGUCAAUCAUGUCCGGAAUAGAUUUUCUCUUAGCACGACGGAAAACAAGAUUCAUUUCAUCUCUGAAGAUGGUGUCCUGACUCCCGGUAUCAGUGUGCAAAAUUGUGUCGUGCUACAUUUUUUUGUGAUGAGUCGAGAGAGUUACAUAAUGUUUUUAUUUUGAGUUGGGUCCUACUCCGCCGGUAAAACUGCGGACAUUGGAGACCAACAUUGCUUUUGCUAAACUUUAGCUAUUUUCUCCGACACAUAUUACUUGUCUGAAAUUUGUCAAAUAUGAAUAUAUCUAUGUUUAAGAUGGAUAGUAGGGAGUAGUUGAUUUUUUUUUCAGCGUCAGUCGCUUUGAUUUUGGCGCACGAAUUCUUUACUCCACGUCGGGCUGCUGCGUGUCCCGGCUCUCCGCGUCCGGCUGUUGCCCUUGGGCUGCUGUUGGUCUUUUUCGUUUUCGGCUGGACUGGAUAUUUAGGCCGAGCCCGUGCCGGGGCUGAGUUCUCUGAGUUGUCCCCCUUUUAUUUCAUUUAGCAGUGUUCUUUUCUUUUUUUACGAGGAAUUUAACAGUGUUCUUCGGAGAGCUCUAGAGAGAAGAGGGGGAGAAGAGAAGAAAGGGACAGCUUCGAGGGAAUUCGGCAAUGCUGCGGCGGUUGUUGGGAAACGGGAUGCUGCAACAGGAAGCGGCCUCGUCUAGCUCGGUAUGGAUUUUGCUCUUCAAAUCCCACGCUCGUUCAUGCUAAAAUGUCCCCGUGUGUUUUGUUUUACUGUCUUUUUCUAGACCACCGUGUGAUGAAUUCAGCUUUGUCAUUGGAUUUUUUUUCUGUAGCACAAAGUGGUGUUGGUAAGCAUUUAAUUUGAUGGCAAAUGACUGAUAGAGAUUUCUCGCAAAAAAAAAAGACUGAUAGAGAUGCACAAAGAGAGAGCAGUAGUAUAAGAUUUACUUAUGUCGGCAACUAUUGAGAUUUUUCUUUUUCUUUCGAGUCUCUGUCUGAACCGAUAUUUCUAUUCUAAGCAUUUGUUUCUGAGUUUAUGUCCAUGUAUUUUUGCCAAUUGGUUAGUGCUUCUAUGCACUCCGUACGUGUAUUUAACACCUAGUUUGGUUUACUAAUAGAAACCAAAAUUUGAUGCUGCGGCUAUUUGGGCACUUAACGGAGGAAUGUGCGUGUAAGAGAAAAUAGAUAGUUCUGAAUACCGUGAGUCAUCCAUUUCUCUACUCCCUCCGUCUCAUAUUAAGUGAUUCAAAAUUGUUCAAAUAUGAAUGUAUCUAUACCUAAAAAAGUCUAACGUCUAGAUACAUGUAAGAAAUCACUUAAUAUGAGACGGAGUGAGUAUGUAAUAGUGACCACGUUCUUUAUGUUAUUCAUUUUGUUCGCAGAGUUGAGGGCUGUGAAAAUAGAUUCUUAACUGGUUUGCCAACAUUGUCUAUUGUUUGUAGAAGGCAAAUUUCUAUUGUAUUAAAAUUCACAUUUCUUAGCAUUUAAUUAAUUACCUUUAUUCAUCUAUGCAUUAAUUGUAAGAUAUUACACUAAGAGAUGAUUUGGUGUACAACAUGUUUUGUUGUCUUUUCUAAAUGAGGUGAAACGCACAAGAGAAUACAGUCUUAUCAACCAUUGUAUAUGUACUUAUGUGUUUCAUGUCAUUUAAAAAAUAUAACAAAAUAUGUUGUACAAUAGCUUAUCUUUUAGUGUCAUGUCUUACCAUUAAUGCUUACAUGAAUAAAAUUAACUAAAUAAAUAUGCUAAGAAAAUGUAAAAUCUAGAGUACAAUGAAAACUUGCUUUAUCCUUCUUGUGAAAAUCAUCUCUUAAUUAAGAAAAGACUCGUGCCUUUUGUUCAGUUCUCUCACUUACACGCCAGAUUUUAUCCUACGUGAUAUUGUUAAGAAAAAGCUGAUGUCACCCCAUUGUACUUGUCCUUAUUCGAUUUGUAACUUCACGUCACAUAAUUACAUACUCUCUCCGUCACACAAUUCUUGUCUCAAAUUUGCCCAAAUAUGAAUAUAUCUAUUCCUAAAAGGCGUCUAGAUACAUGUAAUAUUUUAACAAGUAUGAAAUGGAAGGAGUAUUGGUAAGUUAUGAUUGGUCAAAUCUUUUCUUAACGAAAUUAAAUACGUCAAUCUUUAUAAGAAAUGAGAAGAGAAUGAUGAUAAAAGAUGUAUCCUGCCCAACUGGGCGAGAAACUAUGCUAGGAGUGUACCGAAGCGCACACAAAGAAAUCUCAGAAGGAAUAGGAAGCAGUUUAUUGGAACGCAAAAAAAAAAAUCAGUUUAUUGGUACACUGACCAAUACGUAGGCCGUGACGUGGUGAAGCUACGUCAGGAAAGCACAUCCGGCAACAGUCAGUCAUCCUCACGGUCCCGAAAGUUUUCAAUGUUUAUUAUUUGCAGAGCAGCAGGACAAGACAAUCAUGCACUAGUCUAGUGAUCUUCACCGGAUGCACUAGCACGCUGCAGUAGAAUAAGAGAUUUAGAGCGAGAGUGAAGGCCGGCACAACCUGCGUCCUGGACUCCUGGUGCUCCGCCAUGGCUUCAAGCGGCGAGCAGCGAGAACACACGGUGGCGCUGCUCGACAGCCCUGCAGCAGAGGUCUGCCUCUCUCCUGUUGAUUUAUUCAGCGAGGAUAUAUGCUCUUUGAUUUCUUCUCUAGUCACUCGGCUACUCGCUUUUCUCCGGCAUAUAGAGGACAAAUGGAUGUUUAGCUUCUAAAUUUGGCUGGGGAUUUCCUUGCGGCAGGUAGAAGGAGAAUACACCAUUGACCAAUCGCUCGACUUCGAUGGGAACCCCGCGCUGAAGCAUCAUACAGGCGGAUGGCGCGCGUGCCGCUCGGUUCUCGGUAAUCCUCCUCCUCUGAUUGAUAUCUGCCGAAGAUCUGUUGCUAGUUUGCCUGCAAUGGGUAGUAAUAUUCGGUGUUCCUUCCUGGUUCUUAUUCUGUCCGGCCGCCGGCUGCUUGUUGUUGGAUGGCACUACCACUGUACACACGGCAGCCACGGAGUUCUGCUACUGCCUGGCGUACAGCGGGGUCUCGCAGAACCUCGUCACCUACCUGACCACCGUUCUGCGGGAGAGCAAUGUCGCCGCCGCGAAGAACGUGUCCACCUGGCAGGCCACCUGCUUCCUCACACCGAUCGCCGGCGCCGUCGUGGCCGACUCCUAUUGGGGAAGGUACCGCACCAUGGUGGUCUCCUGCUCCAUGGGCGUCGCGGUCAGUUCCCUCGCUACUCUGCACUUCCAUUAAUCACUGGAUUUUGCUUUGCCCCGACCCAUUCGAUGAUCUCUGUUUUAUUUUGCAGGGCUUGGUCGUGAUAGCGCUCUCGGCGAACCUGCCGCUGCUCACCAAGAACGCCGAGCUGUUCACAGGCUUCCCUACCCUGGUCUCAAACCUGGCGUCAGCUCAGGAGUCGGUCCUGUUCCUCGGCCUCUACAUGACGGCCUUCGGGCUAGGCGGCCUGCGUCCAUGCCUCAUGUCCUUCGGCGCCGACCAGUUCGACCACAACGACCCGCCGGAGCGCGCCAGCAAAGGCUCCUUCUUCAACUGGUACGUCUUCACCAUGAGCUGCGCGUCGGUGGUGUCCAGCACCUGCGUCGUGUGGGCGCAGGAUCACUUCGGCUGGCCGCUGGGCCUGGCGAUCCCCGCGGCGGUGCUGGCCGUCGGGCUGGCCUGUCUGGUGUCGGCGUCACGGAGGUACAGGUUCCAGCGAACCCAAGGCAGCCCCCUCACCAGAGUCUGCCAGGUCCUUGUCGCGGCUGUCUGCAAGUUCAACGCUCAGCAGCCGGCCGAUCGCUCUCUCCUCUACGAGCUUCCGGAAGACGGCUCCAUGAAAGGGAUCCAGCGGAUAGAGCACACCAAUGACCUCCAGUUUGUUGUUCCUUCCUACCAACUCACUGCGAUUAUCAAUUCCAUCUAGUCCAAGUUCUUGAGAUACACAUUGCGCGCUUAUACUCGAUCCAUAUCAGGUUCUUUGACAAGGCUGCCAUUGUGCUCGCUUCUGAGGCGGCAGAGGAGGAGGCAACCUUGCCGCCGGCGCGCAACCCGUGGAGACUAUGCAUCGUGACGCAGGUGGAGGAGCUUAAGAUUCUCGUGAGGAUGGUCCCGGUGUGGGCGAGCAUCGUCUUCUACUACGCCGUCUCGGCGCAGGUCUCGUCGACGUUCGUCGAGCAGGGCAUGGCGAUGGACACCAAUGUCGGCCCCGUCCGCGUCCCCCCGGCUUCGAUGUCCGCCUUCGACCUGCUCACCGUCGUCGUCCUGGUCCCGCUCUACGACCGACUGCUGGUCCCGGCUGCCAGGCGGCUCACGGGCAGGGCAAAGGGCAUCUCGGACCUGCAGAGGAUCGGCGCCGGCCUCGCCAUGCCAGCGCUCGCCAUGGCCGCCGCCGCGCUCGUCGAGACGGAGCGCCUCCGCCGCGCGCCCUCGGGGCCGGCGAUGAGCGUGCUGUGGCAGGCGCCGCAGUACGUGCUGAUGGGCGUGGGCGACGUGCUCGCCACCGUCGGGCAGCUCGACUUCUUCUACAGCCAGGCGCCGGCAUCGAUGAAGACCGUGUGCACGGCGCUCGGAUUCCUCGUGAUGGCGGCCGGGAGCUACCUGAGCUCCUUCCUCCUCGCGGCUGUCGAAUGGGCGACGGCGGCCGGUGGCCGGCCUGGGUGGAUCCCGGACGAUCUUGACCAGGGGCACCUGGAUCGCUUCUUCUGGAUGAUGUCUGGGCUGGCUUGCCUGAAUCUAGUUGCGUUUGGGAGCUGCGCCGUGCGGUACAACUCUAGAAAAGCUUCCUGAGCUUCACACUUUCACGGUGGACAGUGAUUCCUUCCUUGAAGUGUGAAGGCCGAGAUCUACAUAUCAUUCACCGAGUGUGAUGACUUAUUGCUGAGAUUGGAUCGAGUUCUUCUUUUUUCUGUUUGACACAUUGGAUCAAGUAAAUCUCCAGUGGCGGAGGUCCCCGUAGGGCAAGGUGGGGGCCGCAGACUUGCAUUUGGAUUGUGAGAGCACAAGCCUCCGAGCGAGGAGCUGCCCACCUCCAGCUUCUUGGAGGAGAAGUCGCCACCUAAAUUUAAUUAGGCUAUCAAAUUAGUUUGGACUAAACUAUUUUGGAUGUUUAACUAAAUCUGAGAUACGGCUUCUCCAGGAAGCUACGUGAGAGCAGUUUUUAGGAGAAACCGGUUCUAAAAUCCGAAAAAAACGCACCCCUAUUCCACCAUAUCUUAUUCUCGCCCUUUUUUUUUAACUUUUGCGAAAAGCAUCUUCUCACCCUUAGGCUGACAUGCAUACGUAAUAACCAACAUGUGUAUAUGCCAUCUCUAUCGAUAGGUCAUGUAACUACUGACCACAUGUCUGGCCGUGAGUUGAAUUAUACUCCUUCCAACUCACAUUAAACUCAAAAUUGCCCAAAUAUGAAUGUAUCUGUACCCAGAAAACGUCUAGAUACAUGUAAUAUUUCAUCACCUAAUAUGGGACGGAGGGAGUAGAAUGUUUGUUUGUCGAUAAAAAUACUAUCCGCCAGCGAAAAAACUCGUUUUGUUAUAUUUAAGUUGACUGAUUUUAGUUAGAGAUAAGUUGAUUCCUCAACCAUGUAUAUGAUUUGUGUUUUAAGAUACGAAAUGGAUGCUGAAAAAAAAAGAUAACGAAACCUACGUACUAAUCCAACGGAUCUGAUUCGUCAAUUUAGAUUUAAUCAUUUUCUUAAAAAUAAGACAACUUAGAUAUAGCCACACACAAAAAAAGUUAGCUGAAUCAGCUCAAUCGAUGGCAUAUGUCCAUGGACAAAACUAUCUAGUCACAAACACAUAGCCGUACAAGGCCAGUUUUACCAAUAGACUAUGUGGCACCUAAGAUAGGACGUGGCAGUGUUAUAUGAAAAAAAAAGUUGUCGUGGAGGGACAACGCUUGAAUUAGAAGGUGUUAAUGGACGAUAAUGUAAGCAUCGAUGUAAAAAUUAGUUGCAAAUUGGAGGUGUACGACGACUUUAUAAAAAAGUGUCAUCAUACGCUCAACAAUAUUUUUUUUUGUAAAAUACACAUAAUCGGGACUUCGUUAAAUAGGUUCGACUCUCUUGUGGAGUGCAAACCUACCUACUCCUAUGUUAGGAGAAGCGGCUUUUCAAAAAAAAAAUGUUAGGAGAAGCGGUGACUGUCGUGCUUGGGGAGUUUGGUCGGUUCGUCACACUGACUUCGUAACUCUACAUACUUGGGUCACUCGGUCGGUUCAUCCCUUGUCUCCUUCCCUUGAGUUCAUUCUUUUUUUCAAGUGAUAAAUGAAAUGAGAUACAAGUCCGAACCAUAGGUACCUUGAGGGAUGAGAAAUGUUAGGAUAAAAGUGCAAGUUAGAAACUAGAGUAGGAUCAUCCUAUUCUUCUUAUCAUGCUCUAGCGCUUUAAGUCCAUUUCUUCCGCGCGUGCAUCCUUUUGUGCCAUUUUAGCUCUUAUUGGCUUAUUAUCUUACUCUAGGUGGCUUGGCUAAUCCUCGUUGGCACCUUGACCAGACAAUUUUUUUAUUGCCCUUGUCUUGUGCCAUGUAGGAUUACCGGUCUAGCCCAUAUAAGAAAACUAUUAUUCCCCAUCAUAUUUAAACUACUCAAGUAUUGGUAGAGGCACACUUUAUCUCCAAUCUCCUUUUCAGGAUAUUUAACAUCUUUAGAGUAACAAAACCAUAUCAAAUAUUAGUAAAAUAAAAAUAGAUUUUUUUCUGAAGUUGAUACAAAUGAAAAAGGGGAAAUAAGAAAUUAUAAAAUAUUAAAUAUGAUAAGUAUUUUUGAAAAUAGAUCCUCACUAAUCGUAAAUCCUCUAACAAAAUUAGAAAAAAACACUAAAAAACUCUUUAAAAUUCUGGAAAUUUGUCAAAUUUUGUGUCAAACAGGCUAAGCUAACCUUGAGGCCCAUAAUACACUACCACUUUCUGUAUCCAAGCCCAGCAUCUUUAGGCCCAGUAGUUCUAGACGGCUAGACCCAUUUGUCCGUACUCGUUAACCUCGUGCUCCCCCUCUUGGCUUGAUCCUUAUCUCGGCGUCGGAGCCCACAACCGCUUCCCAUCCUCCUCCUUCCCCGGACCGCCCACCACCCCGAAUAUCCCCCAAAUCCCGACGCGACCGCGAAACCCUAGGCCACCGUCGCCGGCCACGGCGAGCCUCUCCGCCGCCAUGGCAUCUCCGGAAGGCUCCAACUGGGUCUUCGACUGCCCCCUCAUGGACGACCUCGCUGUCGCCGACUUCGCCGCCGGACCUGCAGGAGCAUUCUACUGGACGCCGCCGAUGCAGCCGCAGAUGCACACUCAGGCGCAGGCCGUCUCCGCCGCGUCGCUUCCCAACCCCUGGUAAUUGCGGCUUCCCGCCUUCUCGGCCUCGAUCGCGCUCAUCCGCGGCUGGCUUGGUGGUUCUAUGGUUUGGGCUAUACAUUCCGUUCCCUGAUUUGCUGCCUCUGUGUACGUAUGUUACCACCUGUAGCGUAAAUUGUGAUCGUUAUAACAUAACUGCUGUUAGCAGGCGUGCGAUUGUAGAUUGGUAAAGCCUAUUAAUGGAAUUUUGAUCACAACUAGAAUUACAUGCAUGUGAAAAGAUUGAGAACGUACGGAACUCCUUACAUGUGGGUUCUUCGUUUUCAAAAUUAUUUUCGCGUGUUAGUACUUAGGACUGGUGUUAGUUCUGACAAGGGUAUUACUAUUUGAGGAUAUGGUUCUGUACAUGGAUGUUACAUGGGCCUUUUCUGGAAGGUGUGUGCAGGAAGGGCUAUUUGCAAUCUGUAUUGCUCAUUUGGUUUCCGCACACAUACAUAUAUAUGCAACAUAGAAGGCAUACACAGCGCCAUGCUUCUUCUGAGUGAGAUGAACAAGGGAAGAGUUCAAAUGAAAAUGGUUAACAUGGUCAUCAGCGAUUUUAGGGAUGCAGCUGCUUCUUCUAUCUGUGGGUCGGAUUCAUGUUGAGUAUCAAGCUGAUGGUAUCAGAUUUAUAUGGCGGAAGUUUGUCUUUCAUCUGUGAUCUAUAUUUCCAGAUCAAGAGUUUGUAAAAUCAAUUGCAUUACAUGUUUCGAGUUAGAUAGUGUAGUGAGAAAUGCCAUAAUUUUUCCCAUUAACAGCUGUAUUAAUGAUCAGAAAAUGGGUGAGGUUGGGGUUGUUAGAAAGGCCCAUCUUUGCGGAUCCCUGCAUGAAGCCUAGCAUGCAAUUUAAAUUAUUUAAAAUGUUUCCAAGUUGAGAACUAUUUAUAGUUACACUUUGGCAUAUGAGGCUAUGCUUUGAUUUAUCGACUUAUCAUAGUAUUUAGCUGUCAUAUUCGGUGCAUGAACAGAGGUGACCCUGUGUGCUGUUUAAUGUAGACCUUCUUUUUUCUCGAAAUGGUAUUUCACCUAUUGUAGGUUAUUAUAUACUAAAUUUGUGAGAGUUUGGUAUUGUCGUUGAUAUGCUAAUUUUGUGCGCUGCUUAUUAUUGUGCACUAUAUUGUGAAUUUUACAUUCUUAACUGCAAAUUUACCUUUUCACUAGUGCUGAAAUCAAUAGCCCUGUCUCUCUGGACUGUGAGCAUGCCAAAGGACAUCCAACAAAUAAACGGUUUGUUUGUGUCUAUGCCUUUUGAAUUCCAUAUUUCAACCAUACUUUUCAUACCUUUUUCUGUUGAAUGUUGCCAACUUAGUACGAAAAUGCUUCAGUCCCAGGUCAGAAAGUAGUGCCCAACCUAGCUCCAAAGCGUGCAGGGAGAAAGUGAGAAGGGACAAGCUAAACGAGAGGUAUGUCCCUGCCAGCAAUUGUUCUUUCAAGCUGUUUUUCUUGCUGCAGCAUUCUAUCUGAAAGCAACAGUGGAGCUUAUGGUCUUCUUUUGUUAGGUUCUUGGAACUGGGUGCUGUCUUGGAUCCAGGGAAGACGCCUAAAAUAGACAAAUGUGCUAUAUUGAAUGAUGCUAUUCGUGUGGUAACUGAACUGCGUAGCGAAGCAGAGAAGUUGAAGGAUUCAAAUGAGAGUCUCCAAGACAAGAUCAAAGAACUUAAGGUCAGUCCUGCUCACAUGGCUUAGAUGUUUAAGCAGUACCAUCCGGCAUCUCUCUCUCGUGAUUUUAUUUGCGUUAUCUACAUACAAUAGAUCUGAUAUUCCACAAGAUUUUCUCAACCUGCUUUGCUGUAUAUGGCCUAAAGACCACUGUUUGUUGACUACACAGGCUUUUGGAUUUCCAGCGAUCUGUCAAAUCUUCUGCCUCUAUAUAUAUAUACUUGUUUUAAGUUCUUUGUUUAGACACUGCUUAUUCUCCAUUAAAUUAUUGUCUAGAGGUCUUGUCUUUCAACAUAUUCAUGAGAUAAUUUGUGGUAAAGCGAUCAUCUGACAAAUAAAAUGAUUUUGAGAUCCUUUGAUUUUUCAGUCUGAGAAGAAUGAGCUGCGGGAUGAGAAGCAAAAGCUGAAGGCGGAGAAGGAAAGCCUGGAGCAGCAGAUUAAGUUCAUGAAUGCCCGUCAGAGCCUCGUACCACACCCUUCGGUUAUUCCGGCUACUGCAUUCGCUGCCGCCCAAGGGCAAGCAGCUGGACAGAAGCUGAUGAUGCCUGUCAUUGGCUACCCAGGAUUUCCCAUGUGGCAAUUCAUGCCACCUUCUGACGUUGAUACCUCUGAUGAUCCGAAGUCAUGCCCUCCUGUUGCAUAGGCCAGCAAAAAUCAUUUGCCUCAUCUAUCUUGAGGGGAAGGGGGCAAAACUGCCUUCCAUUCAAGUUUAUUUUGGCCGCCGUCAGUGUUACUAUUGUAGUCACACCCAGAACAGAACUGAACUGAAGCCUCUUCUUCGUAUCAGCCGGUGACAUGUGAUGUCCUGUGACACCGUUGUAUAUGUUAGUAAAUAAAUACCAUCCGUUGAAGCAAAUGCGAUUAGACGUUGUAGAGUUAUUGUCGUUGAACCUUUUCUUUUUAUUUUCAUUGUUGCCCUGUAGCCUUGUUUGCUUGUCGCCCGUGAUUUGGUAUAACACAAGUAGGUUGUAGCUGGUUGGUUCAUCUUGGAUUGAGUUGGCCUCGCGAUUCUUCCAUGCGAAAACGAAGUAACCAGGGAUCUGAGGGAUGGAUGCAUCUGUGGUCUAUCAUGAAUUGUUGGCAAAUGGGUACGACGUGAUGACCUCUCCUAGCUUAGCAAGACGUGCCCUCCACUGAUGCCGUACUAAUUUACUUUCUCCAGCAAUAUCUUACAAAAAUAACUCCUUUUGUUUUGUACUUUCUUGCCAGUUUCAUCGCCUUUGCUUACCUGCAACCGAGGCAUCUGUCGCGUCUAUUCCUUGUUCCUAGUGUUUCCAGGAGCAAAUGUGCGAGGAAAACAAUAAAUUCACAGCAAGAUGCACAAAAGAGAUGAAACCAGGCAAUGAUUGAUCUGUUUAUAAUUUACCUCUGGUUUCAUCUUAAUUUGGAAACGUGGAGCUUCGGCUCCCUGUCUAUCUAAAGAAAAUCGACUAUGUACAUCGAUCGAUAUAGAGACCGGGUUUGCCUUCUUUUUCAAAAAAAAAAAUCUGACAACAUAAUUUAUCAGAUGAGAAUUGUGGAUAAUAGACGUGUGUACAAAAGCAGAUUUGCACAAGAGUGCCUUUGCACAAAUCGAAAUGUAGUAUCAAAGACCUGUUUCAAAAUGUAGUUACAGAGUAGGAAGUCGUGUCCAUGCACGAAAUGAACAAGGAAUCAACACAUGAAAAAUAAAAUAAAUGAAAACAAGUACAGAAAAAAAAAAGGGAAAGCCUCUGGUAAGACUUUAGUACAAACUCUUUGUACCAAACGUACGUGUAGAGAUCGUGCAAUUGCUCAAAUUAAUCCAAUUAAUUACGCGGCCAUGGCCACGAGGGCGGCCAGCGCCAGCAGACCGGCGACGUGAUACCGCGGCGGCGCGGACGUCAGGGACACGGAGCCGGAGGUUCCGGGGGCGGGGAUGGUGGCCUUCGUCGGGCCGCCCGCCGGCGCGCUCCUGGCGGCGGCGUCCGCGAAGGUGUCCGCGGGCGGGGAGGGGAGCGGCGAAGGAGAAGGAGCGGCGGCUGCGGCUGCGUCUGCUUUGAUCUUGGCGGCGAGGGCGGCGUCGUAGGGCACGGUGGUGACCUGGAGGUGCAUGGUGCCGUUGGCGCAGUGGCGCGGGAUGCCGCAGAUGAAGUAGCGCGUGCCGGCCUCGGCGAGCUCGAACACGGUCUCGCCGCCCGAGUGCGUGGAGAUGGGCUUCCCCGUCGCGCAGCUGCCGUAGUCCGCCUCCGUCACCUCCAGCACGUUGUGGUACGCCUCGUACUUGAAUGCUGCGGUUAAUUAUAUUGUUACCUUUUUGACAUGGGCACAUACAUGGCCUGAUCAUAGUGAGAAGAUUAUCGAGAAGAAGAAGCAGCAGGAGGAAGAGAUAUGUCCGUACUAAGGGUGUCGCCGAUCAUGAAGGUCUUGCCGGCCGUCCACUUGUCGUAGUCGACGUACGUGUCCCAGCCGAUGGAGUCGUCCACGGUGUAGUCCACCGCCAGCGCCGUCGUGGCCAACGCCGCCGCGACCGCCAUGGCUGCGAGAAAUGCUCCGCAGCUGGACUUCAUGACUCCCGAUCGAUGGAGGAGGAUUAGUCGUUUGGUUCUGUGAUCUCUCGUCUGAGCGAUGUAUUGCUACGUUGGGGGUAUAUAUACCGGGAGCUAGCUAGAGCAAGCAAAAUAAGACUUUCCUCUUCUUUGCCCUCUGUUCAUGGCCUGCCAUGAAACAUGCGUCUGAGUAGCUAGCUAGGCUAGGUUACAUUCGAUCAGUUGGCAUAUUUGGAAUUAAUUGAAAUUAUUAACACGUGAGUACAUCGCACCUGGUUGAUUUUUGGAGCGCCAAGUUGACUUUUUCUUUAAUUUGCUAGGCUUUGUAUUGUAUUUUGAGUUGCAGUCACUAUUAUUUAUUUAUUACUCGAAUAUGAAAUUACUUGAACGGUAUUGACGAUACGUGCUUGUAUCACUUUGACAUGCGAGAUUCUUUCAGUAUAAAUAAUUGAUGAAUCAUGAAUGAUGAUUAGCUCCUCUACGUGAGCACACGUCCCUUGCUUCGUCCGUACCGAUCGAGAAUAGCUAGCGUGUUCGUGGCUUCGUGCUUCGCAUGAUCGAUCAAACAUUAAUUUCAUUAUAGGUGGUUUCAGAACGAGUUGUCAUUAAUUAUACAGUUCUCUUUUCUUGUUUUUUCUUCUUAGAAGCAGAAGUCGUCAACCUAUUCUGAAUCCGUAGUGGUGUGGAACAGCCCUUCUCCUCCCCCGCGUCGUCACUCCCGCGGGCGGCACGGGGGCAAACCCUAGCGCCGCCGCCACCACUCUUCCCUCCCCUUCUCCUCCCUCGCUGCCGCCUCUGAGGCUGCCGCCGGCUAAGCCCGGGUCGUGGUCGAGGACGGUGGCGGGGAGGGCUCCUGUCUUGGCGGCGUUUGCGGUGGCAGGGAGCGCUGCAGGGGUCGGCUUGGCAGCAGCUGGGCGCGGCUUCGGCGGCGUGUGCGAGGGCGUCCCCAGCCUGCUGCGCGGCAGAUCCGGCGGUGGAGCGGCGUUUCCGGCGGCUCGCGAUGGUGUGGGCGCGGGCCGAGCCCGGGUUGGGCGGCCGGUGCUGGUGGCUUGGCACGGCGUCGUGGCUGAGUGCGGCUCCCCAGCGGCAUGGCAGGACCUCCCGACGGUGUGCGGCCUCUUUUGUGGCGCCGUGGUGACGCGGCUUUUGGGCCGCGACGUUCGUCUUGGUGGGGCUCCCUGCUCGGGGUUGGCAUCACGGAUGGCCAACGUCGAGUGGAAGGCGUGGUGGAAUAGCCGGAUCUGGGCGGGGUUGUGUUUGAGCUGCACUGGGCGAAAGCCAUGGCUCCGUUUGUUACCUUCCUAAAGGCGUCGAUUUGGUGCAGAUCUCCUCCCCUCGACCAGACCCCAUGCUCCAGGGGAAACCCUAGAUCCAGGUCUUCUCGGAUCGGGCGAUGUCGAUGCUUGGCAUCAUUUCCCUCUUGGGGGCACCGCUUUGGAGCAGGAACCGGCUAGAGGGAUCAGUGGCUUGGUGGAAGGUGGUGGCUGCCCCAGUGUUCGUGGGCGACUUCAGUGGCAGCGACGAUGGUGUUGGGCAGAGGUUAGGCUGCGGCGUCGGUUCUAGUAGUCGGUCUUUCCGACCUAUCCGUUGGCUUUCCAGGAGUGGUUGCUUUCAUUGUUGGAGAGUCAGAGUCGCCAGCUCAGGAGGAGUAAUGCGUGAUGACGAUGACUUGGUGGGAGGUGGUCCGAUUUUUGGGGUUCCUUUUUGGCGCAGGCCUUGCAUAGUGCCCCUCUGAAGCUCGCCAUCAGAAUCGGCGUCUUUUGUUCGCCUGCGAGGAUGACCGACUGUUUGGCAUGGGCCGGUACGAGCUUGCGUGCCAUUGGAGGCGGAGUCCCCGUUCUUGGACGCUAGUGGGGGAAGUCGAAGUCGCCAGCUCAGGAGGAGUGUUUGUGUGAUGACGAUGACUUCUGCGUGCAAUCUUCCUUCAUUUGCGUGCGUUGAGUGAAUGUGGGUGGCCAGGUCGGUUAGUUAGGGUGGUCCAUGGUGCGGUCAUGUUACAUGACGGUAUUAUGGACGUUUUGUUACGGUUUUUGUCCGGUUUUCCGUUAAUUAACUGAGCAAUUCUAUUUUUUUUAAUUAAUAGAUCGAGUCCUUCCGACUCCGGUUCGAAAAAUAAGAAGAAGUCGUCAACCUAAUGUAUGUCUGUUGUGCGAAAAGAGUUAUUUCUAGUCUUCCAAUUUCGGUGUUCUUGAUUGUAUCUUUCUCUUCUUCUUCUUUCUUUUCUUUUUCUUGAAGCGGUUUUUUGUUGAAAUUUGCAAAAAAAGAAUGCAUUUUUUACACUUGAGGAAAUAUAUAUUUUUUUGAGAAAAAUUUAUGCACAUAGAGAAUAGGUAAAAACAUUUAAUUCUAAAUUUUCAUUAAAAACAGAGAUCAUUUACGUUCUUUGAAAAAAAAACAAAAUGACACAAUGAAUUUCCGGCCUGCCUAAGCCGACCUGCAGCGUUCCUAGUGACAGCGACAAUCAGGAUGUUCUAAAAAACGUACGGAAACAAGCGAUCGAUCACUAUUUCAAAAACAAAAAAGCUCACCGAGCAGGUAUAGAAAAACCCUUAUCCAGGACAACUCCAUCGAACUUAGAAAAAGUAUCAUCCGUCCAUCAGUGAAUCUGGAAUAUUUAAUUUCACAUUGUUGAUAAUCUACUCUUUUUACAGAAAACUGUAGGAUACAAAGAGCCAAAUAAGGCACAAAGGAGACCGAGACAAGCCACUAAAGCAGGCUGCCUUGGCACCAUCCCCGAAUCUAUGACACUUUGGAUCAAGAGGUCAUCUUGACCUUGAGGCUACUAAGCCAGGAAGCACCACUUGAUAAUCUACUUACUGCUAGCCACUACUACUACUUGCAGUCCCCAAGCAUAGAUAGCAGAUCAACAAAUCCACUUACACCCAGAGCCACAGUGCAAGAUCCGAUUAAAAUCGAUACAGCAGGGCCUGUUCCUCUAUCAAGAUCAUUUCCAGAAGUCAAUACCGCACAGAGAUGGCUCCGUUCAGCAAAUUGCUUCCAAAGAUUCAGGACUCAUCUUGGCAAAAGUUCUGUGAUCGAUACUUGGUUCGAAGACAUAACCGUUGAGUUUUCAGUGUAUGGAUAGGCGUCCGAAUACGCGUUGGAGCUCUCACUGGUACUGACCUCCUGGAUGCAGAACGCUGGCCUCGACAAAGAAGGCAGACGAACAGUGUGGCUGCUGAACAUGAUGUUCACCGACGACAUAGCCGGCCUGCUCCCGGGUUUUCUCUGCACGCACAGGAGUCCGACGUGAAUGCACUUGAGCAUCUGGUCGAUGGGAGGAUGGUUGCCCAAAGAUGGAUCGAUCAACUCGAUGACAUUGCCCCGGGUCCAGUGCUCCCAUACCUGCAACAAAUUGUUAAGAGUAUUCGUACACUGUUGCAGGAGUUGCAGAGCUUAUGAAAAGGCUUCAGGUGCUCACAUUAUUCAAGAGAUCCACGUCUUGCUCGGUCUUAUCUGAACCACUGUUUCUUCUCCCUGUGACAAUCUCUAAGACCAAAACACCAAAGCUGAAAACGUCCGACUUGAUGGAAUAAUGACCUCCCAUGGCGUAUUCUGGGGCCAUAUAUCCGCUGCAACAAAAUAAGUAAUUCAGAACCCGAUAUAUGUUGAUGUCUUCUUAUGGAUGUUCUUGACGUGCUUACUAUGUGCCGGCAAUACGACGAGUGACAUCUUCUGAUUGAUCCCCUCCAAAUAUCUUCGCUAGGCCGAAGUCAGAUAUUUUAGGAUUGUAAUCAGAAUCCAGUAGUAUAUUGCUCGCUUUGAGGUCUCGGUGAACUAUCUUCAAUUGUGAAUCUUCGUGAAGGUAUUGUAAGCCUCGAGCUAUUCCAUUGAUAACCUUGAACCUCUUUCCCCAAUCUAGCUCUUUGUUUUUCUCAGAAUCUGUCAUUCAAACAAAACAUAUCAUUGUAGUGUAAAUUUUGUGUCACAGCAUUACUCUGAAGAAAAUUUCAAUAAGGGAAACAAAAAAACGCUAUAAUAAGAAAGUCUUACCAAAUAGAAUGGUAUCAAGGCUUCUAUUUGGCAUAUAUUCAUACACAAGUAUUUUCUCAUGUUCUUCCAAGCAAACACCAAGAAGUCUCACAAGAUUCUUGUGGUGAAGCUUGGCAACUAGAACCAGCUCACUCUUCAGCUCUCCUAUUCCUUGUCUGGAACUCUGACAGAGUCUUUUGACGGCUAUUUCUUGACCAUCAGGUAGGUCGCCCUGUCCAAGUAAAGAUACUUAACUGUCGGCAGAAAAACAUAACUGACAAAGGUGUUAUGAUUCUGUACCUUAUAAACCAUACCAAACCCUCCUUUACCAAGCAUUCUACAUUCGUCAAAGUCAUCUGUGGCACCUCUUAGUAUCGCUAGAUCGAGAAGAAGCGAGUCGAUGUUUCGAUCAUCUGAGGUAGCUGAAUCUGUUAGUGGAUAAGUACACAAUGUGUCAAUGAUGAGAAUCAAGACUAUAUGAGCUUUUCAGGAAAUAUGAUUUUGCUGCAAGCUAUGGAAAUUCACGGUAUUAGCUAGAAUUAAGAUUUAAGAAAAUGAAAAUUGACUAAACAAAGUCCAUAUUCUGAACUAAUCAAAUCACCAUGUUCUGGACAAUAAAUUGAUUCAUACUUGAAUUGCUAUUAUUCCAAAAUUCAAAAUGGUUAAGAGGUCUUACAAGGCAGAAACGCAUUUGCUUUUGGUCUUCUCCUCCAGCAGAAAAAGUAUACCAUGACAAUGACCAAUAUGACAGCAAUUGUAGCCAUUACAAUAGCUAGAACUAUACCUGCACUAUUUCUCGUUUUCUCUGCAAGUAAGUAUAUACCAUCAAAAUGAGAAUGUAAUUAAUUUUAUUUUAUUUUUUAAUGAAAACCUGAAUAAAACAAAUACUUCCUCCGUUUCUAAAUUAUUGUCGUUGUUUUAGUACAAAUUUGAACUAAAACAACGACAAGAAAUUUAGGAACGGAGGGAGUACAUUGCUUACAAGUAGCACAUAUAUUUUGCAGGAAAACUUUCCAGGACCUUUCAUAAGAAAACCUUGUGAGUUCAGAGCACAACCAUUUGCAAUAUUGUCUGUUGUUCUGUUCUGAAGGCUCAUGUUUGCAUUACUCUGACAAAUGGUAGCCAGCUUCUACAAUCUACAUGCAUAUAAGUUUCGUUCUUUCUGGUCAAGCAACUAGUGAUUUUUCAACGGAUAUGGAGAGGUCAUGACCCUUGAGCAGGAGAGUGAACAAGCUGUUACUGCUAAUUGUUUCGAAAUCUGUACCAGGAUCAUUUCUUGGCUAGCCAACUGUUUUACAUAAAAUCGAAAUGGAUUCCACCCUUCACCCUUGUAUAGUUGUACGCAAUUUCAGAUCAAACGACCAACUAAACAAGUAAACAUGCCAUCAUAUUGCACAAUUGCAGAACAACAAACUACUCACCUCCUCCUCCGGUGGUCGCCGGUGGCGCAGGAGCGGGCGGCGUGCCGACAAACUGCGGAAGCUGCAGCAGCGGGCGGCCGGAGAAGAAAGGGAACACCUCGUACCGGAAGUUGCACCACACCCCGAAAAUCCCCCCGCCAGUCCUCCCGCUGAACAAUUUGGGCAGCUCCGCAGUUAUGGUGCCAAGGCAGGUCCGGCAGACCUCCACCGUCGUGUCCGGCGCGCACUGCGACAGCGCAUAGAUCUUUGGGUUGCUCCUGUCGUCGAAGCCCUCUGUCCCCGUGCCGAACCGCCUGGAGGAAGACGAAGAGUCCCCCGCCGCCGCGUAGCCGGCCGUGGCGUUGACGAGCAGCCCUACGGCGGCGUCGAACGCCGGCGCGGCUCCGCCCGCGACGCGGCGGGAGCGCUGGAGCGUGUACGUGGUGACGUAGUAGUCGUCGUCGAGGAGGAAAUCCCGGUUGGAGAAGCGGAGCUGGCAGAGGUCGUAGAAGAUCAUCACGUCCUUGUAGAGCGGGCACGCGCGCGUCGCGCCGCGGAAGGCGGCGGCCACGCAGCUCUCGCAGGCGGAGGCGUUGGCGACGUCGCCGCGGCAGAGGGCCUGGCCGUAGACGGCGUCCGGCACGUCUCCGACGCUGCCGGUGGCGUAGAGCUCCGGGGAUGAGGAGGCGUUCCUGGGGAGGGUGGCGGCGAGGCGGUUGAUGUUGGAUUGGUAGGUGCUGUUGGCUGUGUAGUUGCCGCUGGGGGGAUAGGGGCCGCAGGUUGGCCACGGAGGCGGUUCGUCUUCGGCGGCGAUGAGUGGCGCGUAGAGGACGGCGAAGAGGAAGGUCGCGGUGACGCCGGUGAGGCAUGGGGAGAAGCGGCGGCGGGGCUUGGCCAUGGCAACCUGUGACGUGGGGGGGCUUGUGAGGAGAGCAGGUUCGGGUGUCUGUCCGUGUAUCACUGGCAUGUGUGGUCAGUGAGGUUGACUGGAGUAAAGUGACUUCAGGUUUAGUGAACAAAAAGCUUAACCAAAAAACCCUCAAAUUGAUCCCAGGAGGUGCUGGCUAUUUUGAACCAAACUAGUAUCCCCUUGGUACAACACGGGUAACAAAAAAAUACUAACCAAUGUGUACUACACGGUAACAAGAAAGACAAAUGCUAGACGUCGGGCGGGCGAUUUUGGGAAAAAUCCGUCUCCUCACAAACCGUCCGAUUGGAACGCCACGGCUGUUGCAUCCCGCACACAAGAAAGAAAUCAAUCUCCUCCUAUUCCCGUCCCCCCCCCCCACCCCCACACACACCCAACCCAACACGACCAGCCCAAACGGCGCUUGCAGCAUACCGCCAUCGCCUUGCAGCAGCGCCGGUGGUCUGCAGCGGUGCAACACCUCCGGCAAGAAGCGAGGCGGCUUGGUAGCAACGCCAGUGGGAGGCACCACCUCCUUGUAGCAUGGACGUCAAUAGCCUGCCUCAACGCCAGCGGGAGGCGGCGCUGCCUUUCAGCAUUGCUUCGCAACAUCCAGUCUCGCGCCUCGCCAUUUGCAGCACCGCCGACAGGAGGCGGCGUCUCCUUGCAGCUGUGGUGCCUGCAGGUCUCCACACCGCACAGGGCCUAUCAGCACCGCCGCAUAAUGGACGCAAUAUCACCGGUCGCCGAUCGAAGUACUUCCGGUCGUCGUUUGAAGCAUCGAAGCCUCCCGUUCCAGGCUUCCAGCACCCUAAGCCGCCGUUCGUAGCACCCCCGGUCGCCGUCUCCACUUGCAGCACCUUCGGCCACCAGUCGAAGCACCGAUAGCGGCGCUUCCCACACGGCCGCGGGUCGCCGCAUCGCUUCCCUUUCGAGCACCAUCGUCGCAGCACCUUCGGCUUCUGAGUCACAGCGCCUCCGACCGCUUGUUGCAGCACCCUCGCCCGUCGGUCGUAGCACCGCAACCUCCGCUUGUGGCACCGACGGCCGCACUCGCAGCAACGCCCUGGCCAUCACAGCAGCAGCGUCUCCAAUAGGCUUGGACAUUUUACUCGGUACUCGGAGAGUAGCUCGACUCGUUAAGAGCUCGGCUUGUUAGACUAAAGAACCAAGUAGAGCACCUCCAGAAACUCGUUAACACUAAAGAGCUUAACGAGCCGAGCUAGCGAGACUCGCAAGCAUACUCGUUAGCUCGUUAUCUGGCGUCUGGCGGUCGAACCAAACACAGUAACCCACGACUUGUUAGACCCAGCACACCCUCUCGAACAGCCCAACUGCCUGAAUGCGGCCCAAGCCCAAGAUUCGUUAGGUCAGUCGGGUCUCCAGUCUCCUCGUCUUGUACUCUCGUCAAGCUAAUAUUAGUCUUAUUAGUGCUUCUGUAUUGUACUGUAUGAGGACACCGAAGCUGUGUAAUGGCUGCUAGUCUUAUGAGUAUUUGUGUUGUAGCCUGUAAUGGUUAUUAGUCUUAUUUGUUAUGGACUUAUUAUAUAAUGUUGUACACAUGCUUUGCUUGUCAUUUUUUCUGCAUAGAUGCUGCCCAUUUUUUUCACCGCUAACGCGUUUAACGAGCGCUCGCGAGCAGUAAACGAACCAAGCCGAACAGGCUUUGAUGUUCGUUAAGGUUGACAAGCAUAACGAGCCGAGCUCUUAACGAGCCGAGUUCUUAAAAAAGCAAGCUCUUAACGAGUCGAGCAUGCUCGUUAGCCAGGCCUAGUCUCCAACUCGCAAAGCCGCUGGCAGCCUAGCCUCGCAGUCAUGCGCGCGGCUGCAGCCAUGGAAACGCAUCCAAGAGAUUGGAACGAGGGAGAGGAUGAGGGAGAAGGGGAAAGUAAGAGAGAGAGGAUGAGGGAGAAGUGUAACGAGAGAAGAGGGAAAAAGAGAACGUGGUGCUUGGUCGUUUCCUCCUUGUCACGUGUCACGCACGGAAGGCAGUCGACACGGGCCGUGUCAUCGGUCGGGUGAUAACUAUCUUUUCCCAACAAGAAAGUACUAGCCAAGUGGAGGAAGCAUGCAUAUCACAAGUAAGUAAAAACAUAUUGAGAAGGAAAGAGAAGAAAAUUAGUAUCGACUACCAUUGGAGAUGCCCUUUAAUACUCCUCGGCCGUGAAGAUUGCAUGCGGAAGAACUACAAAACUUUUGAAAGAGAGUUACUAACUUCUGCCAGUGAAUAAACUAAUGAACAUUUUGUAGUUCAGGAACUCAAAAAACACACAAAUAAAUCAAUAAACCGAAUUACUGAUACAGAUUAGUCUCAAAAUGGUUUACAAAAGCUAAAAAGGACAUGUGUCAUGAUCCUGAACAAUGGGUUGUAACUAGGUUUGUGUCAUGCAUCCACUUUUAGCCUUGACGAACGUUUUUUUACUAAUCUUAUUACUAACUCAAGUUCAUGGAUUUAUUUGGGUUUUUUAGUUCGUGGAAUAAAAUAUUUUUCAGUUCCAUUUUAGGUUUCUUUUCCUUUCUGUACUUUUCUCUUAACUGAUGCCAUUCGUAUUUUCUCUCCUAUCUAACUAAUGAAAAUGCAGGGCCGUUGCUUAAAAGAAGAAGAAGAAGAAGAAACACAUUUUUGACCGGACGUAUUGAAAAUGAAUGAUUUUCAAAUUAUCCUGGUACAGCUCAUAGUACAUCAUUUGCUGUACGUGUCUCCAUGUUUUCUCUGUUCCUUGUCGCUAUCCAUCACUUGACGUUGAAAAGACCAGAGAAAUGAAUGCAGAAACAGAAGAAGCCUCCUUACUUGACCAAUUCCAUGUGCCACGUGAAUACGUACAUGAUAGAGACCCUGCACUCUCGAUACCUCGAUCGUCGUACACUCGCAGGUAUAGUCCAUUCGCCGUCAGCUGCUGUCCGACGGCAACAGCAGUUCAGUCCUGUCAGUUUCUUGAUUUCUUCCUCGCUGUCGGGCGUCAAUUGUGUAUUACUACUGCGUGUCCAACAUUUUAUCAGCACAGCAGCAGCGCAGCUCGCCGCCAUGGCGAUAGGCACGCGUCGCCGUCUGGGUCUGGCUCCUCUCUCCUUCUACCUCGCUCCAGCCACAGCCUCGCUCCUCCUAACGUUAUUCCUCCACGCGCCGCCGCUCGCCGGCGCGCAGCCGCUGCCGUGGCAGCUCUGCGACGACCCCGCCGGGAACUACACGGAGGGCGGCGCGUACCAGGCCAACAUACGCGCCCUCGCAAGCGGCAUCCCCAAGAACGCCUCCUCCUCCCCGGCCCUCUUCGCCAAGGGCGCGGCCGGCAGGGCCCCGGACGCCGUCUACGCGCUCGCGCUCUGCCGCGGCGACACCGCCAGCGCCAACGCCUCCUCCUCCUGCGCGUCCUGCGUCGCCGCCGCCUUCCGGAACGCGCAGCAGCUCUGCGCCUACAGCCGGAUCGCCACCAUGUACGACGACCCCUGCAUCCUCCGCUACUCCGACCGGGAGGACUUCCUCGCCAACGUCACCGACAACGGCGGGAAGAUGCUCGCGUGGAACGCCAACAACGUCAGCGCGGACGUAGCGCCAGCGUUCGACGCCGCUUCCGGCCGGCUCGUGAACGCCACCGCCGACUACGCGGCGGCGGACCCGAGACGGCGGUUCGGCACGGGGGAGUUGGACGGGUUCGACGAGACUUACCCCAAGAUUUACUCGCUGGCGCAGUGCACGCCGGACAUGACGGCGGCUGAGUGCCGGGCCUGUCUCGGCGACAUGAUUGGGCGGUUCACUCCCCGGUAUUUCGUGGGGAAGCCGGGCGGGCGAGUCUUCGGCGUGCGCUGCAAUUUCCGGUUCGAGACCUACUCUUUCUUCUCUGGGCGCCCGCUGCUGCAGCUCCCAGGCGCGCUGCCGCCUGCACCGGCGCCGGCAGCGGCCGGAGAAGGUGAGUUUCUGAAACAGAAAUCACCCCUGGGAACGUACAGCUCUGAACUUACGCGUGCCCCGGCCUUCUUGAUUGCUUUGCAAAACUGAAAACAAUUUUCUGCAGCUGAAUUUAAGAUGCGUUCCAUCUGAAAUCAACACAAUUUUUUUUGCAGGAACAACAAGACGUGGUGCAGGACCAGUCUUGGCAAUUACACUGCCUAUAGCUGCUGCAGCAUUACUUCUCAUUGCAACGUGCGUUUGCUUCUGGAAGAGGAGAAAACAUACGGAAAGAAAGGCGUCAGUACCAUGUAAGUCCUCUCAAUUAAGGAAAGAGGAACGGCGAUUCACCGAUUACUUCGAUUUAUUCAUGGUUUACACUUUCUGAAAUACUAACAAAUCUUAGUUACUGGAAUUACUCAUGCUCACUCAGAUUGUGAUUUUUUUUUCCGAAAAGAAGGUUCAAACCUCAGGCCUCCGCAUCAAUAUGAUGCUCACUCCAUUGUGAUUAGAUUCUCAUUUGUUUUGCUUUUUGUCCGGGUCUAGAAUCCUACUUAUAUUGCUGAUCAUGGCACACAUGUUUCUUCCAACAGAUUCAACUAAUCAAGAUGACAUUCAGAGCAUCGAUUCCCUCCUCCUUGACCUAUCGACGCUGCGGGCUGCAACAGAUAACUUCGCCGAAAGCAACAAGCUUGGCGAAGGAGGCUUCGGCGCGGUCUACAAGGUACCAAUCGUACCAUUUAGUAAUGUAAAUCUGUUGGUUGCAUACAGCAUUACAGAUUACAGACAUAUAUCUAAACUUGUUGACACACAGGGCGUCCUUUCUGAAGGCGAGGAGAUAGCAGUGAAGAGGCUGUCGCAGAGCUCCCGGCAAGGAACAGAGGAGCUGAAAACAGAGCUAGUCCUGGUCGCCAAUCUCCAGCACAAGAACCUCGUCAGGCUCGUCGGCGUCUGCUUGGAAGAGCAGGAGAAGCUGCUCGUGUACGAGUACAUGCCGAACCGGAGCCUCGACACCAUUCUUUUCGGUACCAUUCAUCCGAUAGAUUCUAUCCCUAGCCGGGCAUACAUAGUUACAUACUGUCACUGGCUCAGCUGUCUGACCGUCUCUCUUAUGUUUGUGUAUUGGUUUCGAUGGAUGAAAGAUCCUGAGAAAAGCAGAGACCUGGAUUGGGGGAAGAGGCUGAAGAUCGUGGGCGGGGUGGCUCGAGGCCUGCAGUACCUCCACGAAGACUCCCAGCUGAGGAUCAUCCACCGGGACCUCAAGGCGAGCAACGUGCUGCUGGACAUGGACUUCAGCCCCAAGAUUUCCGACUUCGGCCUGGCCAAGCUGUUUGGGUGGGACGAGUCGCAGGCCGUCACUAGCCACAUUGCCGGAACGUAGUAAGUUCUUCCGGUACACGUUGGCACGCACAAAUACAUCGGAACAACAAGAGAUUUUAUUUCCUCGUGCUCUAUGGAUGCAGCGGAUACAUGGCGCCGGAGUACGCGAUGCGCGGGCAGUACUCGGCCAAGUCGGACGCCUACAGCUUCGGCGUCCUGGUCUUGGAGAUCCUCACCGGAAGGCGGAACAGCAGCUUCGCUAACUCGGAGCAAUCCGUUGACCUCUUAAGCCUCGUGAGUAAUUCUACAUGUCCAAGUUCCAUCUGAUCUGCUCCCCAUGAAGGCAAUUUACAAAACCGUCUUCACGAAACAAUGUUAAAUUCUGGCGCGUACGUGCAGGUAUGGGAGCACUGGACGAGGGGAACAGUGGAGGAGCUGGUGGACCCGUCGCUGGGCGGCCGUGCUCCGGGAGGCCCGAUGCUGCUGAAGCUGGUCAACGUGGGGCUGCUGUGCGUGCAGGACAGCCCCGCGGACAGGCCGGCCAUGUCGGCCGUGAACGUCAUGCUCAGCAGCAGCACGGUGUCUCUGCAGGCGCCGUCGAGGCCCACGUUCUGCAUCGAGGAGAUGGAGGGCUACUCCGACAUGUACUCGGCGACGUAUCCAAGGGGAUCCCGGCCCACCAAGGUGCAGACGGCCAUGUCGCCGAACGAGGUCUCCAUCACGGAGCUCGAACCAAGAUGAGGGCUGUGAAGCAAUUUGCUUGCUACUAUACGUAUACUACGUACUAUACUACUGAAUCUCCUGUAUUUAUGUUGUUGUGACCUUUUAAUAUGCUGAAAGUACUCAGCAAGUUCUGUGCUACUGUAGUAUACUAAGCACUAAAGUAAAGUAAUUAAGGUUUGUUGCACAUCUUCGCACACGAGUCAAGAUGGCCGAGUUGGUCUAAGGCGCCAGUUUCAGGUACUGGUCCGAAAGGGCGUGGGUUCAAAUCCCACUCUUGACAUUAAUUUUUCGUACACAGCACUACUCCGUUCAUUUUUCGUACACAGCACUAAACAAUCCUUUCUGAAACAGAAGAAAGAAAAGAAAACCCCAACCCGCCAGAGGCUUUCAUCGCAUCCGAUGCGCUAGCAACUCUAGACUGGCAAUGGCGUGCAAGCUAGGUUUAACAGUGGCCACCUCGCCAUACCGGAACUACGCUACGCUGGAUGGUUGGCCACCCCGCGAUCCUUCAAUGCGCCGCAGUUCCACGGCCGUGCCCUGGUGGCCUGGUUCUUUCCACUCCUCUCUCGUGUUUGAACUUCCUACACGGUGAGUCCAUGCAUAUGUGGUACGUCGUCGCCACCUGCUCCAACAUCGUUCUAAUUAAUCCAAGUGUUCCAAAGCUAGAUUUAAAACAAAAUAACAAACUGCUUGUUUCCCCGCAAAAAAGCUUCCAACUUCCUGAUCUUUAAGGAGCAAAUGUCCCACCAGCCUUUUUCCUCCGCCAAUCCAACUGACAGUACCGACGUUUCUUCCGAUCUUCUCCCACUCCUCUUUCCCAGACAAUCCAUCAGUCUCUUCACAUUUGAUCACUUAGAGCAUCUGCCUAUCAAGUUUCCUAAAAAUUCUCCCGAAAAGGGCUCAAAUCCGGUACUUUACAUGUGCAAUUUCACGUUUUUCUCUUCAUGUAAAUAUAUAUCAUCAAACUGAGAAUGCACUUAUUUUUAAGUCUUAACUUUAUGAAAACAUGAAUAAAACAAAUACAUGCAUGUUCACAAGUACUCCCUCCGUUUCAAAAUAAGUGACGUGGAUUUGUAUAAAUUCUUAUACAAUCUACACCGCUUAUUUCGGGAUGGAAAAAGUAACACAUAUAACUCUUCUAAAGCUUUGUGACGCUUCUUCAGGGCAAGUGCGAAAGAAAAUUUUACUGACAGUUUUCGAGUUGUGAUCUGUGACCCGACUAUGUUUGACGCAUCAACGGUGUUAGACUGUACUGACACUUUUCUUCGUUGUGUCAGUGUUAAACUUGUAGGAGUAAUGUGUUUUGGUAGUAGUGAUUAUAAAUUUCGCAACGGGCCUUCUAAUUUUUUGUUACGGCUUAAUAGACCAAGAAAAUAACAAUCUGUCCAGUCACUAAGAAAUAAAUUCCGUAAAAAAGUUCAUACUCCUACAAAGAUCUGUUAAAUCGAAGACGUGCUACAAUUUGCGAGGCAAAGGGUCGCGGUGUGCAGAAUGUGAGCUAACUGCCAGCCUGCCAGGAUACAAAUGGCGUGGCAAAGGGUCUUAAUUUAUCUAGGCAGCACAUGACACUUUCUAGUACACAAGAAAUUCAGAAAGCAUUGCAUACGGAAGCUAGCUUUCUUUAAUCCUUCUUUGCAUCGUCAGUAUUCAGUUUGACAUUGGAGCAUUCGAGUGCAUCCAGAUCUCAGCCGAUUCCGUCCUCAUCAAACAGGCGGGGCAUGGCGUCCGAGGCAGCCAGCGUCGCCGUGGUCUCGGCCGCCGUGGCCGCGGCCAUGGUUUAUGCGCGCCUCGCCGCCUCGCGUUCGCACCCCGGCCUCCCCCGCCUCGCCGCGCUCCUCCCGGUGCUCCUCCUCCUCCCCGUCCUCCCCUUCACGUUCUCCUCCAUCCACCUCCGCACCAUCUCCGCCUUCUUCCUCGUCUGGCUCUGCGGCUUCAAGCUCCUCCUCCUCGCCGCCGGCCAGGGCCCUCUCCACCCGGCGCUCCCGGUCGUCCGCUUCGUCGCCUGCGCGGCGCUUCCCAUCAAGGUAGUAGUAGAAGUCCAGGACAGAGCAGCAGCGCAUCAGCCGUCCCGGCGGUCUCUCCCUCCCGCGUUCUUGCUCUCCUACGCGGCCAAGGCGGCUCUGUUCGCGGCGCUCGUCUCGCUCCGGGGCAUCCGGGCUCGGAUGCCCGCGUACGGCGUGGUCGCGUUCGACGGUGUGCACGUCUACCUCUUGCUCGAGCUGUUCAUGGCGUCCGCCGCGUUCUUCGCCCGGGCCCUGCUCGGGGCCGACCUGGAGCCACAGUUCGACCGGCCGUACCUGGCCUCCUCCCUCCGCGAUUUCUGGGGCCGCCGGUGGAACCUCAUGGUGCCCGGCGCGCUCCGCCCCACCGUGUACCGCCCCGUGCGCAGCCGCCUCGGCGUGCCGGCCGGCAUGCUCGCCACGUUCGUGGUGUCGGGGCUCAUGCACGAGGUCAUGUUCUACUACAUCACGCUCCGGGCCGGCACCGGGGAGGUGACCGCGUUCUUCGUGCUCCACGGCGUGUGCGUGGUCGCGGAGCGGUGGUGGGCGAUCCGGAGCCGGAGCGGGCUGUGGAGCCCGCCGCGGCCCGUGGCGACGGCGCUCACGCUGGCGUUCGUCGCGGGCACCGCGUCCUGGCUCUUCUUCGCGCCCGUCAUACGCGGCGGGCUGGACAAGGCCAUCGUCGCCGAGUGCGAGGGGAUGCUGGCAUUUUUGGAGGCGGCUGCGCGUGCUCUGGCUGACGCGGCGGCACGUUUGGUCUGGUCAUGAUUCCGGUUGGCAUUCGCGGUGUGUAUGUCAUGUAAUUGUAGUUCCGUGGUUUGCCCAUGGCGAUUCCGGUUGAAUUUGAUUUCAGGGGAACAAUAAGGUCUUCAGCGUAUUUCCCCAGAACAGAAUCUGGUAUCACCGCGCUAUGCGUGGGCACUGGAUCAUGGGAUUGUCGUGUCACGAAGGUGUAGUGUACACGCUGCAUACAAGAGCAUCAGACAACUGAAACUGGAAGAGCACAUUUUCCGUGAUGUCAAACGAUGAUGGAAAAUUCCAGAAAAGCUUUGUGAAAUAGGCAUGAUAUCUAGGACACCGACAAGUGGCCACAAGGGCUCACAGAGCGACGUGGCCUGAUCCGGGCUGUUGUUCCUCAAUCGGAUGGUCAAGAUCACCACUUCGGUUCCUCCAAAAGACAGAGUCUUGGUACCGGUUUCAGCACGGACGAGAGCAUCUCUAGAAGAUAACGCAAAAUCUUGAUAGAAAAAACACGUAUUCGGUAAAACUGAAUCCGUUUUUUAGUUACUAAUUUGGUCCGGACAGAACAUAUACCGCAUACCUGAACCGUAUCAUCGAAUAUUCCCAUCUACUACAGCCAGCCCACCUCGUGGUCGUUUUCCUCCUCGUGAACGACACGAGCACCAGAAACAUCUGUUUUCUCAAUGUUCUCUCGGCGCAUCUGCUUUCUCGGUGUGCUCUCCGUGCUCGAAGACCACGGAUCUGCGUUGGGGCAUCCAUGGUGUGGCCGCGUGAGGGCUGCAGAGGAGGGCCGCACGGGGCUCCAGCACAGGCUCGAUGCGGAGGCAGGGGAAGUACCGAAGCAGUGGCGCAAGCGCGGGUGACGCUUGGCCAGAGACGGGGAAGAAGGUCGCGGGCAUGGCGGUGAGCGCACGCGUAGGGUCCAAGUUGUGGUGGAUCUCGUGCGGGGCGAUGCCGCGGUGUGUGAGGCGUCAUCUCGGACAGGCGGAGCGGCAUGAGAGCUGCUAGAGAUGCUCUGAUGUCCACUUCGAGGUCUUCUUCUGUUUCUCGUUGUAAAAACUCUCUCUUCAGCUAAAAUUAAUCUCCCUUUUGUACAUUCGUACAAUAGAGAGAUGGAGCAUUUGCACAAUAAAAAAAAAUCCUAAUCAAUUUCGGCUGCUUCCCUUGACCCUUUAAAAAAAAUUCUUCGACAGUCGAAGGUUCAAAAAUUGGCCGCGAGCAAUGGUCAGGGUGACAGGCGAAGAAACGGAACUGUGGAGACUCCAGACGAAGAAACGGGGAGGAGGGGUGCGAUCUGCCGAGUUCAAUCUUUUUUCUGCGAGUAAAGUCUAUUUUUACAGUGGUUGGCGUCGACAUCAAACCUUGACCUUGAAAUCCCUGAAUUCAGCACUUUGUACUCAAUAAUUCCGGUCAUCAAGUGCCGGUCAUUAGGUGUUGAAACAUGCUUUACAUACUGGGAUUGCUGACGUGGCUGGGAUCUUUCACUGACCAAGUCAACAUUUCGCAAACACAAGUCAAGACGUCUACGUGGCACGGUCAAUCCUACGUGGCAAAAAAAGAUUAGUCAACGAGUCAAGCCUCUCAUGCCAUAGUCAAAGGGUCAAAUGAGUUAGAGUAGAGGGCAAGAAAGGUGUGAGGAGAGAGCCCUUAGUCCAUGGUGGACCAUGGACCAAGCCCCUCUUUUCCCCCGUGGUGCACACAAAAUCUAUGGACCAAAGGAGCUACUUUUACCACUUUGCCCCCAUUUUUCUCUUUUCCUCAAGGAUAGCCAUGGUCUUUUGUCAUGGACCCCUAGGAUAUAAAUACCCCCCAUGAGGACAUGUAUCAUUGACUCUCAACUUGAAUAAACUCAAGGAGAGAGGGCUAAAGCCUCUUGCAAAGAGCUCUAGUUUCGAGAUUCGGGAAGACGCGUUCGGCCCGGACUCGAAGGAGAAGGGGUUGGGUUAGAGUUCCGAGGGUAUCCUAACCUCGAUACUUGGAAAGACGCGUUCGGUCCAAGUACGAGGCGGCCCCGACGAACCUCUCGCCAAAAGGUGUCUUGGGAAGAUCCGCUCGGUCCAAGCCCUUGGCUAACAACCCCUCGAAGCUUUUCCUAACAUAGGAUUAAGUCGCACCCGCAGGGUCGACCGAACCUAUUCAAAAAAUAUCGACGUGUCAACUUGUCCAAGUGUACGGCGACCUUCGCUAUAAGGCCGGCGUAUAUGCCCUACUUUUAUACCCGCACUUGUGUCAUCGAUCAUUGGCACCCCUUACUCUAAUUGUUGUCGAGAACAACAACAGUAGCGCCGACCGUGGGGAACCCUCGCCGCAAUUGAAGAUCUAAUGGCCCCGACGAAGCCUACUUCAUUGGGUCCCCAACUUGCCGCGAAGUCUACACGGUUGCAAACGAAGAAAGCAAGUGCCUCGGGGGCUCCCGAGGAAGAAGGAAACAUCACCAUUCCGGACGCCGCCGCAAGCAUGGUCGCCACGACGGAAGUCACAGACGCCCCUCCGGUACCGGCCGUCCCGAAAGGAACCGAGGUGUUCGAAACCGUCAUAGGCGGUCCUCGACACUUACCAACGUAGUGGCAAGGAUCGGCGAGCUGCCUACGGUUGCCGCCCCCGCAGGGGACACGGAACUCGGCAUGCCUCGCUCGAUGGGCUUCGCGCCACCUUCCCUACAACCGGUGGUAACCCUGCCCUCGGAACCUACAAGAGGAAACCAUGUGGUGUCGGGAGGAUCCGUCCAGAAAACCAAGGAGUCCCGGCCUACGACCCCUCCAACCCGGGAUUAUCUCCACUGUCGCUCGCCGCGAUCGCCCAAGGAGCUCCUUGCUAUCAUCCUUAUUGGGGGCUUCCGCCGCAAGGUGCUCUCCAAAUCACACACCCUCAACAUCAACCUCGCUUUGCGAAUGCCCCGCAAGCGCCCCUUGCUCCCCCCGCCGGGGUCGAAUAAGGCGCCCACCAGGUACCACCUCAAGCUGCGCCUCGCGAGGAACGAGACCCUAGAGUGCAUGGAAACGAGCAAGUGGUGGAAUCCGGAGCCCGUGCCGACGGCGAAAGGAAUGCCCGGCGACGCUCCGACCCUCCCAGAAAACGUCGAGAUCAUUCUCCAAGCGACCCCUCUAGCGACGAGAGCGACGAGGGAGGACCUCGCCACCGAAGGAACCAAAAGAAUCGGCCGACUUGCAACCCGCUCACUCGAGAGAUCCAAGACGCGCCUUUUUCGCCAAGGUUCAAGCCGCCCACGAUACGACCAUAUGACGGGGAGUCAAAUCCUCUUCAAUUCUUGGAUGUCUACUCCACCGCCAUACGGGCCGCCGGGGGAGGUCCCGUCGAGAUGUGCAACCUCUUUCCACUCGCGCUCACCGGAAUGGCGCAAACUUGGUUUUACAACCCGCGGAGGAACUCCGUGCACUCAUGGGAAUGCCUCCAAGAGGUCUUCAUCGCCAACUUUCAAGGAAACUUUAAGGAGCCCGUGCAGGCUCACGAGCUAUACACCGUGAAACAAAACCCGAGGGAAUCCCUCCGAAGCUUCUUCCAUUGCUUUGCGAAGGUGCAAAACCAAACGCCAACCCGCCGUCGACCACCAUGAUCGACGCAUGCAUGUAAGGUCUUCUCCAAGGAGAAGUGAAUCGGGCCCUAAGUCGAAACCCACCGAAGACGACCGAAGAGCUUUAUCGAAUCACGCCCGGGGCGAAGACGGGGACAUCACCAAGGACGUGCCACGCGCUGCUCCCGAAGGAACUCCCUCGUCCGACAAACCUCCUGCACCCGCUUCGUCUUCCAAGAAGAAGAGGAGGUGGGGGAAAAAGGGCGUCGGUGACCAAGCCCGGAAAAUCUUCGCCGUCGUAGGCCAAGCACCACCUCAAAAGGCUUGGCAAGCCAAGAAACCACCUCGUCCGACCGAGGGAGUGGCUGGAAGGUGCCUCAUCCACAACUCGGCAAGCCAUAGCACCGAAGAGUGCAACACACUCAUCGCAGCCCGCGAAGAGUUCCAGGCGCGGAUGCAAGCCCGACGCAAGGAUGAGAAGACAGCUGAGGCUCCGCGCCUCGCCAUCGUCCUUGUCGCUGACCCGGCACCCAAGGAAGAUAACCUCCCGUUCCAGGAACCUGCACAUCACGUAGGAGUGAUACUCAGGGGCUCCGCAACGGGACAAGGAUCAAAGCGACAACGCAAGGAGUAUGCUCGCGAAGUCAAUGUCGUGGGAACCUUCACCCCGACACCCCCACCUAAGUGGGCAAGCGUGCCAAUUGCCUUCACCGAAGAAGACGCUAAGGGGAUACGCUUCCCACAUGAUGACGCUCUCUUUGUGAUGGCGAUCGUCGCCAAUUGCGAGCUGAAGAAGAUUCUUGUGGACGGCGGAAGCUCCGCUGACAUCAUAUAUCUAAGCACAUUAAAGAAGCUGAUGGAGCCCAAGGGGGGGAUACAAGAACGGCUCGCUUCAGCCAUCCCUUUAUCCCCUCACAGGUUUCGUACCAGGGAAGUCCAUUCAGCCGCUCGGACAAAUUGAGCUCCUCACGACCUUCGAAGAUGCCACAAAUCACCGAACCGAGCUCGUACGCUUCGAUGUGGUGGAUAUGGAGGCCUCCUUCAACGCCAUCCUCGGGAGGACAACGCUAAACCGUCUUUGUGCCGCCAUCAACCACAAUUUCUUAUGCAUGAAGAUCCCAGGCCCGAAGGGCGUGAUAACGGUCCGCAGCGAGCAAUCUUCCGACAGGAAGACACUUUACCGCCACGAGACCAAGUGCGCCGAAAGGGAGAAUCAUCCAAGAGUAUUAACUUGCUUUCAAGCACGGGAGCAUCCGAAACCAAUUCUCAGGAGCGCUACAUCCCCAAGCCUCUCCCUGAGGGAGAACUCAAGGAAGUACGCAUCUCCCAAGAUGACGCCACGCGCACGGUGAAAAUUGGAGCCGACCUCCCGAGUAAACUCGAGGAAGAACUUGUCGGCCUGCUCCGGAAGAAUUCCGACCUCUUCGCUUGGUCACCUCCGAAAUGGGAGGAGUCCCGCGUGACGUCAUGGAACAUCGCCUCGCCGUGCGACCGGACAAAGCUUCCGUGAAGCAGAAGCUUCGGAAACUCUCCACCGAGAGAAGCGAAGUCAUCAAACAAGAAAUCGCUAAACUCUCCGACGCCGGGCUUAUCCGAGAAGUUUGGCAUCCCGAGUGGCUAGCCAAUCCUGUCUUGGUGAAAAAGGCCAGCGGCAAGUGAUGAAUGCGUGUCGACUUCAUCGACCUGAACAAGGCAUGCCCCAAGGACGACUACCCACUCCCUCGGAUUGACUAACUGGUCGACCCCACGGCGGGAUGCAAGAGGUUGAGCUUCUUGGACGCCUAUUCGGGAUAUCACCAAGUCCACAUGGCCAAGGAAGACGAGGAAAAGACCAGCUUCAUCACUCCCGUCGGCACCUUCUGCUAACGCAGAAUGCCCAUUGGAUUGAGGAACACCGGCGCGACCUUCCAACGCCUCGUUAGCCUCAUCCUCAAAGAACUAUUGGGGAGAAACGCCAAAGUAUACGUGGAUGAUGCCGUCAUCAAAAGUCAAAUUGCAGGAACUCAUCCCAAGGACCUGCAGGAAACCUUCGACAAUCUUCGCAAGUACGGCGUAAAGCUCAAUCCGGAGAAGUGCGCAUUCGGAGUUCGAGGAGGAAAACUCCUGGGCUUUCUCGUCUCUCAACGAGGGAUCGAGGCUAACCCGGAGAAAAUCCGGGCCAUCAUGGAAAUGGAGCCUCCUCGCUCCGUCAAAGAUGUGCAGCGCCUAGCGGGAAGAAUGACGGCCUUGUGACGAUUCGUCGCCCGAUCGGCCGAGAAGGGUCUUCCUUUUUUCAAAGCCUUGAGAAGCCUCGACAACUUUGAGUGGACCGACGAAGCUCAAAGGGCCUUCAAAGAACUCAAGACCUAUUUGUCGACCCCUCCGCUUCUCACGAGCCCAAAGCAGGGGGAGCCCUUUCUCCUUUACCUUGCCGCGACCCCGGUCGCCGUGAGCGCAGCACUCGUGAAGGAGGAAGACGGGUCACAACGCCCGGUAUAUUACGUGAGUGAAGCCUUGGGAGGAGCAAAAGGUCGAUACACCCAGAUCGAGAAGAUCGCUUACGCCCUCCUCAUGGCCUCUAGAAAACUCCGUCAUUACUUCAUGGGCCAUACCAUCUUGGUGCCAACCACUUUCCCACUCAAGGAAGUCUUCUGCAAUAAGGAAGCCACCGGAAGAAUCACCAAAUGGGCAACGGAAUUGGCCCCUUUCUCGCUAGAGCUCACGGCGAGAACGGCCAUAAAAUCCCAAGUCCUGGCUGACUUUGUGGCCGAGUGGAAUGCUCCGCUAGCCCCACCCGAAGAAAUCACAUCCAAAACCAAGCCCCCCGAACCACAUUGGAUAAUGAGGUUCGAUGGCUCCAAGCGUCUCGACGGCGCCGGGGCUGGAGUCAUACUCAUCAGCCCCGAAGGAAAAAUCCUGGAGUACGCCGCCCACCUGGACUUCAACGCCACCAACAGUAUGACGGAGUAUGAGGCGCUACUUCUCGGACUUCGACUGGCCAAGGCCAUGGGAGUCUGACGCCUUCUCAUCCAAGGAGACUCCCAACUGGUGAUAAAUCAAAUGGACAAGUCAUAUCAAUGGCUUGAUGAAAGGAUGAAGAAAUAUAUCGAAGAAGUUUGCAAGAUGGAACAGUAUUUCCUGGGCAUGGAGGUGCGACGCAUUCCACAAGGAGAAAAUCACCUGGCCAACAGGUUAGCCCGAACGGCGGGUCCUAAAGAACCGCUGCCGCCCGGUGCAUUUUUCGAAGUAAUCCGCGCUCCAUCCAUAAAGGAAGAAGCCGAUGCCGUUGACGAAGCUUCAAAGACCAGCAUGGUCAUCGACACUCCACCCUCUUGGAUGACAUCGAUUAUCCGCGCCUUGAAAGGCGAGGUGGACGAAGAAGCGGAAGGCCCGAGCGCCAAAACUCUGCUCGCAAUAGCCAAGAUGUACGUCCUCCUCUACGGCGCCCCACACAAGAAGGGUGUCGCCGCUUUGCUUAAAUGCAUGCCCUCGACCAAGGAGCCAAACUCCUACCCAAGGUCUAUUCGGGAAUAUGCGGCAACCAUCUUGCGCCAAACGCAACCAUGACAAAAGCCUUGCACUAGAGGUCCUAUCGGCCAACGAUGGUGCAAAGCUCAAACCCAAGGGGAGAGGGCUAGAGCAUCCCAAGGGGCCUGCUCUCGAGUGCUUGGGUCGAGCCUAGCCUCGACUUGACCUCAGGGACGCACCUUGGGAGGCCUAGUUUCGAGGUUCCGGGCCGUCUAGUACGGUCUGGACUCGAAGUAGAGGGGUCGAGUUAAAGUCUUGAGGGUAUCCUAACCUCGCUACUUGGGAAGACGAGUUCGGCCCAGGUCCAAGACGGCCCCGAAAGAUCUCUCGCUAUAAGUGACUUGGGAAGACGAGCUCGGCCCAAGCACUUGGCUAACGACCCCCUCAAAGCCUCUCCUAACAUAGGACUAAGUCAUGCCCGCAGGGUCGACCGAACCUAUUCAAAAAAUAUAGCCCGACGAAAUGGCUAUUUUCUCGCAAGGGAACGGACCUUCUCGGGCCCUCCCCUCGCAUGCAACGGGGGCUGGAGACAUGCCAUGGUGACAGGAUAAUCAAUUGCCACUUCUCCGAGAAGGUCAAGGCAUAAAUGCUUCCCUGAGGGAUUUGUGUCGCAAGUCAUCCAAAAGUUCCGGGAAAAACGUCAUUUUGCCAAAAUGAUGUCCCGCAAGAACUAAACUCCAAGGAAUUCAUAAAAUUCUGCGACCAUCUGGAAGAUAAAAGUACACUUCACCUCCAUGACUUAUCUAAAGACAAACGGCAUAGUCAAUAGAGCCAACGGACUCGCCCUCUAGGGGGCUUCGCCAAGCAGUCAAAAGUAUGAUAAGCAAGGAGGAAUGCGAGCCAAUAGGCUCGUCAAGGGUGUGGUGUGAGGAAUACGCACCUUUGCAAGCCACUCUAUAGGGCCGAACACCGUAAUUUUUGGUGCAUAGGAGCAAAAGCAAUGCUCUCGGUCAAAGUCAAGCGCCACGCGCUCACUUCAAGAGGAAAGGGCUCCAAAAAACCACCGCCCUCGCCUUCGCGAAAAAUGAAGAGCAUCAAAUUGAGGAAACUGCCGACAGAGACCUCAUGAAGCAUGCCACUUAUAAGCAGACUGCAACUCGCUUAUACAAAACAAGGGUACGAGAAUGAUUCUCCUCCGAGAAGACCUCGACCCGAAGCUCUAGCACGAGCUCGGCCCUAAGUGGGAAGUACCUUGCCGCAUCGCAGCCAAGAGGGACAUAAAGAGAGCACACGUGUCAUCCUGAAAGCAUAAAGGGAUAACUCCUCAUCAAUGCCUGGAGCCGGCAACGAGCUGCCACUUCUAUGCCUAUAAUGGCCGAAGUAACCAAGGGUGCGCCUCCGACCCUUCGGGCGAGUAUAAGUGCCAAGCCAGCCAUCUUCGCCAAGGGAUUAUAAGCGCCCUCGAGGCCAUCUCGUCAAAAAGGAAGGGAAAGGGAUGUGAGCACAAUCAUCCUUGGAAAAAUUAAGGUAGCACAUUGUCAUGUGUGUUACCUUGGCAUGUGUGGGCACUCAAAAGAGGCUCACCGUCAUCGAAAGGGAAAACCUUGUCAUGUGGCAUCGCCGCGAAAGGUUAAUCCUCCUCGUGGGGAGUUGCUGCCUAAGUGCCACUCUCCAAACUUAUCAUGGGAAGCCUACACCGGCCUAGGUAUUUCCCAUGCAGCAUCACCGCAGAGGAGAACCUUAUCAAGCGGCACCCCCGCGAAAGGAAAAUCAUCCUCGAAAAGAGUUGCUGCCCCAGUGCCGCUCGCCAAGGAAUGCUAGGAGGCCUACGUUGGCCCAAAGCAUCUCCCGAAAUGUCUCCGGACAUAAUUGUCUCAUCGGCAACCCGUUCCUUGGUGGAUCCUAGUGUGCCCCGAGGCCAUCCACCAAGCAGAACCAAGUCCCCCGAGGGCCGGAAGCUCCUUAAAACGCAUUUAAGGAGAACCGUAAAUAAGCGAGUUAUGCAUGAGCUUACUUACCUCGGAGAACCAUGCUAUCCGUGUGCGAGACGUCACGCACGGGCCUGUGUGAUAGUAACCGAAUUAAGGCUCCAUAAUAAUCGCGGAAAAGCAUAGCUUCCUGAAGUCCGAAGAGGGAAAAUUCCGCAUGAAAUUUCCCGAACGGCAGGUCGAAAUGUCCGGAUCACUACCGGCAUAUCGAUAGCGACCCUCGCAAGGGUACCAGGAUUCAUGGCUCGUAACCAUGACCUAAGGCACCGAAGCCGAGUCAUAUCCCAACGGCAACAUCAAUUGAAAGCACAAUGUGCGAGUAAUAGCGAUUGAUCGCGAGCUGUAUAAACUCGAGGAAACAUAAUAUUCCACAAAGGAAGAAAUGUAGUACUCACAACCACAUGUUGAGCUAAAGUUGACAUUUCCUUAAUGUUAAUAACAUAGCGAUACAUGGAACGAAACAAAUGGAUGCAUUGCAGGCAUAUGGCAAGCUACACGCAAGUCAUAAGGCUAUGUCAGAAGGACAAUGUGCAAAGCACAUAUGCAAGCAUUAGAGGUGACUUGUCGACUCCAAGGACGACGUAAGCUCAUACCUCCCAAAUACCCUCCGGAAGGGUGAGGUCGGAAACUCAUCACAAAGUGAGGAAUUUUGGACCAUUGAGUACCACCGUACUCCCGAGGAACUUCCUCGCCCAACAAGGUCGUCACAACCUUAGGGCUCGAAAGUGCGACGAGGUUACAACCUCCAGCAAGCCUCAAACCUUCCAAAGGUUAAAGGCGCAUGCUAAGACUUCAUGGCUCAACAAAAAGAGUUUGAAGCAAGAAAGCCACUCACCAAGUCUCGAUCUUGGUGUGAGUAGCCCACGGCACCCUACAUGGCUUGGAGAGAGCCCGAGGCCUCCUCCUUUUUUCGUUCGCGCCAAUGUCAACUCCAGAAACACCGGAUACAACUAUCACGGUACCUGGAAAAGAAGACAAGUAUGGUGUCAAAAUAUUCACCAAAGGUGGGCGGAGCAAGAAAAUGCAGAAAAGCUCACCAAAGAUAGGCAAACGAGCUCAAGCUUUGUGCUCGAGAGCGUGAAUGACUCGAACGCCACAAAGGGCAUUGCCUUGUUGCAAAAGCUCCGGUGACAUGGUUGAAACGCCAUCUUUGACUGGGUUGCCAAGCGCAAACACAACCUGUCACAUGGUGCCUAACCAAGUCGCGAUGUCAACAUACAAAACAAGAGAAUCUCGCCAAAAUUCGCUAGGGGGGCUCACCUCCAAGGUUGCCAGACAAUCAAGGUCCUUGCUUCGAUGCGAUUGGACUCCGUUGAACAAAUACCUCGGCAAACAAGACCUCGAUUCCUUUAGGGCGAGAUACCACCAAGAUUGUGGUCAACAAAAGUCUGCAUCCCGAGAGGAUUGGACUAUAUCGAGAUGGUCCUUGAACAAAAGGAAACCCUAACCCCCACCAAGUCGGGGUGCAAUCAUCUCGGUGAUAAAAAAUCCACACCUCUUAUCUUACCUGCAACAUGGGUAACGAAGCGUGUGAGCAACACUGAAGAGCCCAAAGUUCAAGGCUUGUUUCUGCAACAAAAACCUUAACUCCAAGAGUUAGGUUUGAAGGCUCAAGACUCAAAGGCCGUCGCAGAGUAUCAUAGCUCCAAGAGCCAUGGUCGCGGCAAAGAGCCGAAGGUACAAAAAGUACCACUAAAAAGUCUAACUUCAAGAGUUAGCAUUGCGAACCCAAGGUUCGGGGCCGCCGCGAAGUACCAUCGCUCCAAGAGCCAUGGCCGCGGAAAAGAGCCUAUGGUACGAAAGUACCACUUGAAGUCUAGCUCCAAGAGCUAGCACAGCGAACACAAGGUUUGAGGCUGUCAUGAAAUUCCAUCGCUCCAAUGGCCAUGGUUGCGGCAAAGAGCCUAAGGUAUGAAAGGACCACUUAAAGUCUAGCUCCAAGAGCUAGCAUUGCAAACCCAAGGUUCGAGGCCGCCGUGAAAUACCAUCGCUCCAAGAGCCAUGGUUGCAGCAAAGAGCCUACGUAAAAAAGUACCACUUAAAGUCUAGCUCCAAGAGCUAGCGUGUAGAACCCAAGGUUCGGGGCCGUCGCAACGUACCAUGGCUCCGGGAGCUAAGGUCGUGACAAUAACGAGCCCAAGGUUCAAAGGUCCAAAUUAAAGGCGAUUGCCAAAGACCCAUCUCGCCAAGCAAACAUGAAACUCGCCUAGAAAAGAUGACACAAAGAGAUUAGUAUGAGUUGCAAAGAUUCCCAAGGAAGCUACUACGGAAAAUCUACGGCAAAAGACGUCGCCAAGGCAUGCACAACCACUGGUCUAAAAAAAAGGGGAGCCAAGCUGCUGGGCUGAAAGGCCCACAGCCUGCCUACGCGAGCAAAGCUCCUCAGGCUGCAGGCCCACCUCAGGCCAGCCCAUCAAAAAAAAAGGGGAGAGAGAGCCUCACCCCCGGGCCGCAGGCCCAUCUCUCGUCCGGCCUGCCCACGUGGAGAAGAAAGAAGGAGAGACGCCGCCACCUACAGGGUGCUCGAUGAAUCGCCUGACGGGGGCACGCCUCGCGCCUCGGCGCCUUGCCACGCACGCUCGCCCGUGUCCGCGUCGUGCUGUCGUGCCCAUUUAUGUGUCAUGCCGCUCGCAUUUGCGCCGCACCAAGCACGCUCGCGCCAGCUGCGCCCUCGCUGUGCCUCGCGAGCGCGGUCCCGCUCCAAGCUGCGUGUGCCUGCGCCGUGCCGAAUGCGCCUGCCAACACCUUGUCGCGUGUGCCCGUUCCUACUCCAUGCCCGCGCCCGCGCCGUGUCGCCCGCGCUCGUAGUGCCGUGCGCUCCCAUGCGCCUGCCGCGCCCGCACGCGCACCUAGCCGCGCCGCGCCGUGCCGCUCUGUCGCACCAGUGGCACCCGGGGUACCACCGCUGCGCGACGCGUGGGCCCCGUCCUCGAGUUCCCGGGAAGGUUUCAUCGCAGGCAGCGGCUACGAGCAGUCCGGCAAGCUACUAGCCCGGAAGGGCUAGCGGGGCUUCGGGGAAUAUUCCCGCCUGGAUACCUCCCGGGAAGCCGCUUCCCGGGGGGAGGUUCCUGGGUGCGUUGGGCCCGGGCGCUUCCCGGGGAGCGACUUGCCGGGACAGGGAGUUCCCGGGCGCCUGCCCCCGCCUCAAGCGUGGGGCCCAGUAGGCAGAUCAAAAGCGCCACGCGAGUGCGUGGCAGGCGUGGGGUGCGCGGCCCCACCGGGGCAAGGAGUAAGGCGCACGGCUCAUUAAAUGAGCCGACCAACGGGGCGUUACCCGUCCGAUCAAGUGAACAGUGGCUGUCCAAUCCUACCCUAGGGUUUUAGACCCCUAGCGGCGGAGGUGGCAUCCAUGCGUGCCACCAGCUCACCGGGGGGGAGUUGUAUGCCUCUCCGCUCGACACUUGUAGCGCAUGCACCGUGGCACCUGUGGUAUCCCCUUGAGUAUAAAAGGAGGACCCCUGCCAACGGUCAAGGGGUUCGUUCGGUUGGAAUCUCAGUUGGUUCGAGUAGACGGUAGAGUUCGGCUGAGUUCGGUCAUCCCACAGUUAGCCUCUAGCUUGAGCAGAGAAUAGUAAGGAGUACCUUGCCAAAGGGAGAGAGUACCCGGGAACUUUUCCGGCAGCCUGUAAACACUCGAUUCACAACCAAUACCAGCUCAAACAAGCAGGACGUAGGGUUUUACACCUCCGGGUGGCCCGAACCUGGGUAAAAACGUGCAUGUAUCGUUUCCUUGAUUAGCGCGCACUUUCAGUACAUCCUUUCGCCGGCCCCGCAGGGCCUCAUCGGCCGAGCCGGCGAUCGCCGGGGUGAACCCCGACGCCCCUACCGAACCUAAAAGGGGGCCGUGACCGCACGCCCCCGGUGUCGGAGCACCCUGCGACGACAUCUGGCGCGCCAGGUAGGGGGCGCGCCAGAAGAGCCUGCCGGUGGUCGCCGGCAGCAUCGUUUGCGUCGACGUCGGCCUCGCCUUCUUCGCCGACGAGAAUAGUCGCCAUGCCCCCCAAGCGGGCUGGUGAUCCUCGUAUAAACCCGCGUGAAGCCUCAGCGGCGCACACGCGGUCGCAUGACAUGCGACCCGAGUCAGGGGCUCCGGAGAAUCCCGAGCCCUCGAGGGUAUAGCAAACACAGCUGCCUCCCCUGCCUCCUCGGCCGUCUACCGACAAUCGGCCGAGGGGACCGGCUGCCCCCAAUGCCAGGGCCACUCGCGCGAGCACGCACGGUGCCGCCUGCGCCGGGCAGCGGGUUGAGUCGCGGGCCGAGGAUGCUCCGCGACAGCGGCAGCAGGAGCAUACCGCGUCACGGGCGACCCCUGGGGGUUCGCACCCAGCACACCCGGAGGUGUCCGGGGCCAGAGCGGGAAGCAGUCGCUCAGGAAACCGGUUGCCCCCCGCACGAACCCCGGCGGAAGCCAUCAUCGCCGCACGCGUCAUGGUGCGAUACGAACCGCAACAAGGCACACCGGCGCACGAGACGUGGGGCGAGGAGUUAGAAGCACAUCUCGCCCUGGCCGCCCAGCAGCCGCAAGGGGAGGGCGCCCCGGUAGGCUCCGGCCACGGGCAGAACCCAGAGCGCGGGGACGCGCCACCCGCCUCGCGACAGGGGGAGAAUCCUCCCCCUCCGCAGGGAGGCCAAGGAGACAGGGGCCCGGAGGGGUCCUCGAACUCGUCGCUCACCGUUCCGGGGGGCGAUGCACGCGGCAUCUUGAAUGCCCGCCAGCAAGAGGAUUUGCGCCAGCGCUUGGAGUGCCCGCGCAGGCGCGAGGUAGAGCGCCAGCGUCCACAGGAGCAGGAAGACGCUCCCAUGGGCCCCGAGGACGGUUGCACCGCGUUCACGCGCGAGUUGCGACGGGUGACGUGGCCCCGUAAGUUCCGAGCGCCCGCGCUCGGUACAUACGACGGGACCGCCAACCCCAAGGAUUUCCUCCUGACCUACACGUUGGGCAUGCACGCCAUCGGCGCCGUUGACAAGGUCAGGGUCAACUGGUUCCCGAUGGUCCUAAAAGGAUCAGCGCGAACCUGGCUGCUCAACCUGCCCACCGGGUCCAUCGCCACUUGGGCGGACCUGCGCAAGCAGUUCGUGAGCGCGUUCCAGGGCGGCUAUAAGUUCCCGAGAACCAUGGCGGAGCUGCACACUAUCGUGCAGAAGCUGGGAGAGACGUUGUGGGCCUUCGUCAACCGCUUCUCCAACCUCUCCUAUUCCAUCCCAGAGGCGGAGGCGGCUGCUAUCAUCAACACCUUCGCCAUCAACGUCCGUGAUCCCAAGAUGCGCGAGAAGCUGAGCACGCAUCGGAUCCGGACGACGCAGGACCUGUACGCCCUGGUGCACAAAUGCGCCAUGGCCGAGGAAGGGCGCCUAGCGCCCGAGCUUGCAGCUAAGGCUGCCGCGAGCCCUGGCGAGGGUUCGCAGAAGAAGGGUUCCCGCAAGUGCAGCGGAAAGUAAGUUCUCGCUGCAGACUCGGGGGCUCCUGCCGUGAGGCCUGCGAAGAAGGCCUCGUCGGGUGGUGGAUCUGGCGGGAAGCAUGGCAACGCGCCCCGCUGCCCCAUAAACAGCAACUCCACCCGCGACGCGCAGAACUGCCGUGUUCUGCAGGGGAUCAAGCAGCGGCGGGAGGAGCGCCAUGAGGAGCGCCACGCCGCCAGUGGCUGCUUCAACUGUGGCGACAUCGGGCAUCUCUUCCGAGACUGCCCGAACGACCCCAGGGCGGGGCCAAGGCCUGCCGGUGGCGGUGCCGCAGGGAUGAACCCCAAGGGGGGCGCGGUCAGCCCCGCGCUGGGCGGGAACGCCCACCCCGGGGACGCGACAGCGCACGCGCUGAGGAGCAGCGCGAGUCCGACUGUACUGGCGGUGACGAGCCGGGCUUCCAGGAGCCUCGUGGCGUCGCUUGCAUCCAUGGUGGAGCUUACGCUCUCCCAUCCCACGCCGCGGUGAAGCGCCUCACCCGCGACGUGUGCGCACUGUUGCCGGAUGCGGAGCCGCAACAGCCGCUGAGGUGGUCGCAUGUGCCGAUCACCUUCAGCGCCGACGAUCACCCAGCAUGGCAGUUGGGUUCAGGGGUAAUACCUUUUGUCGUCUCGCCGAUCAUUAGCAAUAUGAUGGUGACCAAGGUGCUGGUGGACAACGGAGCGGGGCUUAACCUCCUGUCCGCCAGGCUGGUGGAAAAACUCCAGUUGCCGGUGGAGCAGCUGAAGCCCACCGACCCGUUCCGGGGGGUGAACCCCGGGAUCGUGCGCCCGCUGGGACGCAUCACGUUGCCGGUCACCUUUGGGUCCCGAGAAGCGUUCAGGACCGAACACAUUGUGUUUGACGUGGCGCAUACCCCGUUGCCCUACAACGGGAUCCUUGGUCGGCCAACGCUGAUCAAGUUCAUGGCGGCCACGCAUUGCGCUUAUGGCGUGAUGAAGAUGCCGUCCGUCUAUGGAGUUCUCUCCAUCAGGUGCGACCUCAAGGACGCGGCCUGGUGCGUCGGCGAGGUCAUCAGGCCGCUGCCGCAGCUGACGCCGGCGACGAAGACGCUGCCGGAGACAGUUUGUCGGGCGAUGCCCCGGCAACGAAGAAGGCCCGCGCUACCCCGCAAGAGCUUGUCGGGGGAGGCGCAGGCUCGAGCUCGCGCCCCGGCAAGGGGCAGAAGCUCCGGGAGGAGGCCGCCAAGGUGAAGAACCUGCCCCUCCAAGCCGGCGACAAGGAGGGCACCGUUACUGUCGGUGCGAACCUUGCAGCCGAAUAGGAAAGCACCCUCAUCACCUUUCUCCGGGAUAAUGCCGACGUGUUCGCAUGGGAACCGUCGGAUCUUCCCGGAGUCCCCAGGGAGGUGAUUGAGCAUCGGCUCGCGGCGCGCCCCAUCAAGCAGAACGUCCGCCGGCAAGCACAAGAGCGUAAAGAUUUCAUCAAGCAAGAGGUGGACAAGCUCAAGGCUGCCGGAGCGAUCAGGGAAGUUCUGUACCCUACUUGGCUGGCUAACCCUGUAGUAGUGCCUAAAGCAGGGAAUAUGCUUUGCAUGUGUGUAGAUUUUACUGAUCUUAAUCGCGCAUGCCCCAAGGAACCCUUUCCUGUACCCCGUAUCGAUCAAAUAGUUGAUUCUACCGCUGGUCGUGACUUGCUGAGUUUUCUGGAUGCUUUCUCCGGCUACCAUCAAAUCAAGAUGGCGGUCGAGGAUGAGGAAAAGGCAGCGUUCAUCACCUCGGUUGGCUGUUAUUGUUAUACAUGCAUGCCUUUCGUGUUGAAGAACGCGGGCUCCACAUUUCAGCGCGCCCUGCGCGAAUGUUUGGGGCCCCAGCUAGGCCGCAACACGGAGGCCUACAUGGAUGACAUCAUCAUCAAAUCGAAGCGUGGGGACUCGCUGAUUGAUGACCUGCGGGAGACGUUUGACAACCUCUGCAGGAUCAAGCUCAAGCUGAACCCUGAUAAGUGCACCUUCGGUGUCAACUCCGGGCAGCUUCUGGGUUUCUUGGUUUCACACAGGGGGAUACAGGACAACCCGAGCAAGAUAGAAGCCAUCGAGAAGAUGGAGGACCCCCCGCAAGGUGAAGGAUGUCCAGCGCCUCAACAGCUGUGUUGCCGCGUUGGGAUGUUUCAUCUUUAGGCUGGGCGAGCGUGCCCUGCCUUUCUUCAAGGUGAUGAAGAAGAAGGGUCCAGUCGACUGGACUCCUGAGGCCUAGGCGGCGUUCCGGGAACUCAAACAGUACCUGAGGUCGCCGCCCGUCCUCGUCGCCCCCAAGCCGGGCGAGCCGCUGCUACUCUACCUAGCGGCGAUUGACUAGGUGGUCAGCUCGGUGCUGGUUGCCGAGAGGGAGGAAGAUGUCCCGGGUACUGAGGCUGCGGGGCAGGGGGCUGAGCGGCCCCCGGCAACCGCCUUGGACCCGAGGACCACCCCCGAGUCGGCAACCUCGGCACCGCGGAAGCGGUUGGUGCAGCACCCGGUGUACUUCGUGAGUACGGUGCUGCGCAACGCGCGGACGAGGUACCCGCAAGUACAGAAGCUCCUUCAGGGGAUUCUCCUUACGUCCCGCAAACUGCGCCACUACUUUCAGGCGCACCACGUUACGGUGGUGUCGGCGUUCUGCCUUGAACGGGCCCUCACCAACCGUGAAGCCACCGGGAGGGUGGCCGAAUGGAGGAUGGAGUUGUCGGAGUUCGACCUUCACUUCGCCAACUCUAAAAGCAUUAAGAGCACGGCCUUGGCGGAUUUCGUUGCGGAAUGGACGUCUAUGGGCGUGGAAGAGAAUGAACCAGAGACCAGCCUGCCCGGCAAGCUGGACGAGGACCACUGGGUCCUCUACUUCGACGGCGCGUUCAGUCUCCAAGGAGCAGGCGCCGGAGUCGUCAUCGAGUCACCGACAGGGGACCAGUUGAGGUUCGCUGUCCAACUCGAUUUCGCGAACUCCACCAACAACACUGCGGAGUACGAGGGCUUGCUCGCCGGGUUGCGGGCGGCAGUCGCCCUCGACAUCAAGCGCCUAGUUGUUCGCGGCGAUUCCCAGCUCGUGAUCAACCAGGUGAACAAGGACUACGACUGCCCACAAAUGGCACCGUACGUGUAGGAGGUCCGCAAGCUAGAACGUAAGUUCAAAGGUUUGCGUUUCGAGCACGUCAAGCGAAAGGAUAACUUCGCUGCUGACGAGCUGGCCAAGAUGGCAGCAGAGCGCCGGAAACCUCCGGCGGGGGUGUUCUGUCAGAAGCAAGCGGCUCCUUCAGUCGCCCCCAGCCGGCUGCUGGGGACGCCCCUCCGGCAACCGAAGGAACCCUUGCCGCAGCAGGGGUCCAUCUCGCUAACAUAGCGGCAUGUGUUGGCAGGGAGAUCCCUCUCUGGGCGGAAGAGAUCGCCCACUACUUGAAAGGAGGGGCUCUCCCGGAAGAUAACGUCGCCGCGGAACGAGUAGCGCAGCAAGCCAAAAUGUACACUAUGGUGGAUGGGAACCUCUACCGCAGGCGUGCAAACGGUGUCAAGCUUAUCUGCGUGCCGUAGAAAUAAGGGCACGCACUGUUGGAGGACAUACACCGAGGCACAUGUUCACACCAUGUGGCCUCCCGGGCUUUAGCCGGCAAGGCGUUUCGGCACGGCUUCUACUGGCCCACAGCCAUGGCCGACGCGGAGCGGCUGGUGAGGACGUGCGAAGCAUGCCAGUUCCAUUCGAAGAAAAGCAACCAGCCGGCGCAGGCCCUACAUGUCAUCCCUUCCUCGUGGCCGUUCGCGAUCUGGGGGCUCGACAUCGUCGGUAAGCUACCAAGGGCGGUUGGCGGUUACGAAUAUCUGUUCGUGGCCAUCGACAAGUUCUCUAAGUGGGUGGAGGUGGAACCAGUGCGGAAAGUGACCGCCCAGGCAGUCAUCAAGUUCUUCAGAGGCAUCGUGUGCCGGUUUGGUGUGCCUAACAGCAUCAUCACCGACAACGCCACACAGUUCACGAGCGCGGCGUUUCAAGCCUAUUGUGAAGACAUGGGCACUAAGCUGCGCUUCGCGUCCGUUGCUCAUCCGAGGAGGAACAGACAGGCGGAGCGAGCCAACGCAGAGGUGCUGCGGGGCUCAAGACGAGAACCUUUGACAAGCUCAAAGCCCACGGGAUACACUGGGUCGAAGAACUCCAGCCCGUGCUGUGGUCAAUCAGGACCACACCUAGUCGGGCAACGGGCGAAACUCCUUUCGCCCUUGUCUACGGGGCAGAAGCGGUGCUGCCCCUCGAUCUCAAGCACGGAUCUCCCCGGGUACGAACGUAUGGCGACACCAGCCAACGCGAGCAAAGGGUUGACGAUAUAAACUUCAUCGAAGAGCUUCGAUGCCGGGCUGCUGUGCGAGCCUCGCGCUACCAGCAGGGACUCUGUCAUUAUCACGAUAGGCGAGUCCGUCCCCGGGGGCUCGAGAACGGAGACCUUGUCCUGCGUCAGAUACAAGAAACGAAGGCCGGGAACAAGUUUACUCCGAAAUGAGAGGGGCCCUUCCGGGUAGUGCAGGUGACCAGGCCGGGGGCUGUCCAGCUGGAAACCGAAGACGGCUUGCCGGUGCCCAAUAGUUGGAAUAUUGAGCACUUGCGCAAGUUCUACCCGUGAAGCGGUGGAGCCCGACCCUUAGGUGAUGCCGCCGAUGCAUGCCUCUCGAACUAGUGAAGCCGGGCAGCCCCCGUGUGUAAACCACUAGUUAUUGUGAAUAAAGCUUUAAAUUCGCCUUGUUUAUUUGCAUGUUCCUCCUCCUUCUGUCUCCCGCUUUAAGUGCACAAAAGUGUCUUUCCAUACUUGGUUGUGAGCAGGGGGCUGUUGGAGCCUCGAAAACAUUAACCCGUUGCCGGAUCGUUCCGAUACGGGACAUGCAGUUCCGGGCUUCCCGCAACGUGCAUCCCUGGACAUGCAGUUGCCGGGCUUCCCGCAACGUGCACCGCGCAGUCGCUGUGCCUGGGAAAUGAAAUGCUCACACCCAAGUUUGGCAUCGACCCCUUUGUGCCUGGGGGCUGGGAGGCAGGAGGAGUUUGUCUGUGUUGCUUUGUGUAUUUUCAUGAAUUUCGAAAAAAAAUUGCAGCACCUCGGGCCUGGUAAGAAUCUAACUUGCAGGAAAGGGUGUAAUCUUGUGCACUGUGGUGCCCGUGGGCUGCCCACGGGUCGCGGCAUGCACCGGUGCCUUGUGGUGCGGGACGACCGCAACACAAGAGACUCACCGCACUCCGAGGAUUCUGCCCCACGGUGGGCUCCACCACGUGUACCACAGUUGCUUGGCAUGCAUGGUGGCGGAGACUGUACCGCGUUUCAAGGGAGGGGUGCCACGGGUGCUGGGCGGAUCCGUCGCGCGCGGUGGCAAACCCACCUCCCGCGCCUAUAAAAGGCACGCCCCAGCCACGGAACGGCUCAGAGCGAAGCCGGGUGAGGGGCCGUUAAGGCGGGCGGUGCCACGGAGGCGCGAUGGUGGUGCAUUCCAUCAGCGCUUAGCACCGACGGGUGCGCUACCAUCGCGCCCCUGCCGCAUCACCCCAUCGAGCCCGCCCCGAGGGGCGUCGUAGAGGCACGGUGGUAGUGCAUGCCAUCAGCGUUCUGCGCCGACGGGUGCACUGCCGCCGUGCUCCUGCCGCACCUCCUCAAGCGGGUGGCUCCUGGGCGAGGGUCGCCGCGGAGGCACUAUGGUGGUGCAUUCCGUCAGCGUCCGGCGCUGACGGGGUGCAUUGCCGCAGUGCCCUUGCUGCGUCCCUUCAUAAGACACCUCCGCAAGGAGCAGGGGCUGCCGCAGAGACUCUAUGGUAGUGCAUGCCAUCCGUGCCUUGCGCCGACGGGUGCACGGUCAUAGUGUCCCGGCAGCAUUCCCCUUGAGAGAGCCUUAUUUCGGGCGCGAGUCGUUGCGAGGACGCUGUGAUGGCGCCGGUGUCGGCGCCCGCCGCCCAUUCUGGCCCAUCACCGCGUCCCUGCCACAGCCCUCGAGCAGUUUUGCUCCCGGGCAACGAGGGUUGUUACGCCCCUCAGGACGAGCUCCCCAGAAAAACCAGGUCUUCCCAGUUGCGGGGGCUGUCGCCGGGAGGCUAUAACUUCCUCGCCACCCGUGCCCGCCGCUCGGGGUGGGGCACAGCUGGCGGCGAGGACGUUAUAGCCAUCUUGCGGCUGCUCCCGAGGUGGAGUCCUCCUAGGCCAGGGUCCCUCCCUGAAGGCGAGUGUCGCUGCAUGAGCGUGGUGGUAGCAUCGUCGUCAGCGGUUGCCGCUGGCGGCAAUCCUGCCCCCGCGUUCCUGUCGCAUCCCUCAGAAACAGUUUCCCUUGAACAGGCACCCGAGGUGGAUCCCUACCAAGGCAGUGCUCCAGGUGGUCUUUUCCGCCAAGCGUCACGAGGCAUUGGACUGAACGGAAAAGCUAAGUGCGUGAACAUGAACGCUGAAUUCGCUAAAAACGGAACGAAAUUGAGCGUUAUCUCGUUGGGUGUGGCCCCAGAUCCUGCGCGUAGCCGGAGUGUUAAAAGGAUGCUUGCGGGGGGAGUGCGCUCCCCGUGUGGCUUCGCGGGUCCGUCCCGGAAGGGCACGGCUUGGAGUAGUUACCCCGCAAGUGGAGUGGCUCCCCACUACCGCUUGGCCCCAGGUCAGCACCGCGAGUCCGUCCCGGGUCCCUGGUCUGGUCAAGGGUGAGGCGCGCGAGUCCCCCGCAACACAAGGCAAAAUGCGCAAAGGCUAAAAGGGCCGCCCCGCUAGACAGCACCAGGAACAAUGAACAUGUCGAAAAACUUAAUUGACUAAGAGUCGAACGAUUACAUGGGCUAAUCCGAAGUAUAAUUGUUCAAACAGCGCUAAGCGCCACACUUGCAGGGAAAGCAAACAAAAGAAGAUACAUCGGGGAGCAACAAGCACGGCUGGGGGCUGCGGCAACUAGUUGCCGCCAUCUUCGGCCGGGGGGUCGGUGGGGAGAUCGGGCUCCGGCUUCAUCUGCAUCCGCUCGACCACCUCGUCAACGAACUCGCGCACUGCUUGGGUGUGCAUGGGCUCGUCCUCGCUGUCGGACCAAGCGUCCAGCAGGGACUCGAAGGGAAACUCCGGGUGCCGGAGAUGAAUCCGCGGGAGGAUUGUCCCGGCAACCUUCCGAGCGCAGUUGGCGACUUCGUUGGCGUCGUACUGGGCGAUCCAGACGUCGAGCGCCCCAAGCUUUCCCACCAGAUCGGAGAAGAAGGGGAUCAGCGUCGUGACAUCUAUUCCGUCCACUUCCGUCGCCUGCAGCUCGAACUUGGGCAGCAGGUCGCGCAGCGGAUGGGCGAUCUUCAGCAGCUUCUCCGUCUCGAUCUGCCGCUGCCCGAUCAGCGUGCCGUGAUGGAGUCGAGCGUCGUGCACGGCCUUUUUGGCCUUGUGGACAUUGCCUUCCAUCGCCGCGAGCUCCGCGGUCUUCACCGCGAUCUCGUUGCCGGCCUUGGCAAGCUCCUCUCGGACGGCGGCCAGCUCGGUCUCAAGCCUGGCCGCUGUCCCUGGCGGAGCCGAGCUCGGUCUCGUGCCGAGCCGCUGCUCCCACCGCAUCUUCGGUGGCCUUGACUUGCACCUCCAGCAUGUCGCAGAAGCCUUGGAUUUCGCCGAGGUAGUUAGCGAUCAGGACACUCUUCUCGUCCAGCCGGGUCUGGGCCGCCGCGACCACCUCGGCAUGUUCCUUCCUGGUCGCCUCGAGGGUGGCCGCCAUUGAGUCCAGCUUCCCUUGAAGCUCCGUGCGCUGGGCCUCCAGCUGCCGGUGGAGCUCGGCCUCCGGGACCACCGGCUGCCAGGCGUCCUCCAAGGCUUGCCGGGCCAGCCGCGCCUCCUCCUCGGCGAGGCGCGUCUCCUUGCGCCGCCGGGACAGUUCUCGCCGCUCUCUCUCCACGACCUCCCGCACCUCGCCAAGUUGGUUCUUGGCGGCAGCGUGAUGCUCCCUCACCUCGUUGAAGGAGGUGACGAAGACCUGUUGCUGGUCCCUAACGGCGUCCAGGAACCGGUGCCCCCGUUCGAAGAUGCUCGGAUCCUAGGUGAGGGGGUUCCAAGCGACCCCGGCGAGGGUGCCGAGGUCGGUACCGGGGAGAGCAGCCGAGGACGAUGAAGCCCCCGCUGCCAAUGUGAGGCUGUGCGCGGGGUUGCCAGCCUGCUCCCGGGGGUCCUGUUGUCCUUCCCCGGCAACUUCCCCUGCGCCUGCGCCUAGGGACCCCGGGGCUGGGGAAGCCUCCCUGCUCCCGGCGGGGGCUGUCCCCUACUGGGCGGCAGGUGAGUCCGCGCCAGUCGCGUCCGCAGCUGCGGGCACGUCGCCGGGCGCCGUCAUAGCGGCGGCGAUGUCCACCGCUGCCACUGUCUCUGCCGCGGUGGGGCUUGACGUGAGAGUCGGUUCCGGCUCCACCUCCGCCCCCGCGACCUCGACGACCGGGUCAAGAUCGACCACGGUCGCGCCCGUUCCAGGUGUGGGCGCACUUGUGCCUACGACGAUGAUAAGCAUGAGGAUCGGCGAGUAAUGGGCUGGCGAAAACGGACAAGGGUGACCAAGAUGGUUACCUUGCGCGGCUGUCGGGCUUGCGGGGGGAGCCUCUCCUGCCUUGCCUGUGCCGGCGGGAGCGUCCAAGAGGCUUGCCGCGCGCGGGCUGCCGGUCACUGCGAAAAGAGGUACGUUCAUGAGUUUGGCUAACAAAAAUUGCAGCUGCGGAGAAGUAAUGAAGACAUACUGGUUGCUGGCCCUGCCUCCGUGGGGGCUGGGCCGUCAGGGGGCGCGAUCGCGUCGCUGCCAACCCUUGCGGCGGUGGGGUCGGCGGCGCCACUGGCAUCGGCGCGCGCCCUCUUGCUUGGCGUGACGGGCGGGGAAUCGCUCCUCGCCCUCUUGCUGGCACCCGUCCGCGAGUUGGACUUCAGGAGGUUACGUCGGAGCGCGAAUCCCCGGAAGACCCCCCGAGCAGGUGGCGUCGUAGGCGCCCGCGGGGUCGUCGCGACCCGGAGAGCCCCGGGUGUCGACGGUGAUGCCGCCGCAGUGCCGGGAGCCGAACUUGAGGAGGCUCCCGCUACCGGGGCGAAGGCCGUUGCCGAGACUCCGGCGACCCCUGCGGACGCGGGCGCUGCCGGAGUAUCGGCAGGCGCCCCGGGACCGGCUGCCGCCACGGUGCUGGUGGCUGCCGCUGAGGCGGAGGACGCCGACGAGCGCCCCUGAAGCGGCCGCCAUCGCAAGGUUGGUGGCCGCUGCCGGGGCGGACGUCGCCGUUGAGGAGAUUGCUGCGGCCGCUGCAAAUGCCCUCGAUCUCCUCACGAUCAGGGGCGUGCUGUCGCUGCUUUCGUCGUCAUCGUCCACGGGGACGACCUCCGGGGACGCAACCGCCUGGCCCGCCUCAUCGUGCAGCGACUGGAGGGAGGGCCAGCUGGGCUCAGAUCCGCCCCCGCUCUCCUCGAGCACCUGCUGCUCGCGGGGUGCUUGCGGGGGAGCGUGCGGGACCCGGGUGGGGGUGUCGUCCAUCAACCCCCACUCAUUGCAGGGCGGGAAGGCGCCGACGAUGUCGCUGAGCGCCUUGACGCCGACGUGAAGGCAGGAAACCCCCAGCGAGAACUCCGUUGAUUAGAAGGUCUCGCCGGAGAUCCCCCUCACCCAUGUCCUGAGGGUCUCCAAGUCCACGCCGUCCUGCUAGAGGCGUGUCCUGUCCCCGGGACCCGUGUACAUCCACGCGGGCCGGGAGCGUAGCUGCAGAGGGGCUAUGCGCCGAUGGACGAAGGUGCGUGCCACGUCCAUGUCGGUGAGCCCCGCUAGCCGCAGCGCCUUGAUCUUCUCCACGAUGGGGAAGAGGUCGGCGUCGCGGUGGUACCUGUCUGCCAGCCGUUCUGGGGUUGCGGCAGCUCCGUCGGCGACUGGAUGAACUCCUGGGGGUCCUCCACUCGGACCCAACACCAAUCGCUCCGCCACUCCUUUUUGAUUUUCUUCCCCGACCGGACGAUGAAUUCGGACUUCAUCUGGUCGCGGGCGCGGAAUACCACCCCCGACGACAUUGCCUUCGCGUUGUCAAUGCGGGGGUAGAAGUAGUGGCGGAAGAGCCCCACCGACGGCAUCACCCCCACGAACGCCUCGCAGAGGAACUGGAAGGUGGCGAGGAGGAACAAUGACGUGGGGUGGAGCUGCGCCACCCGCAGCUGGUAGGACUCCAUCAGUGCGUGGAGAAAUAGUGAGAAGGGCGGCACCAGGACGCAGAGGAGGAAGCGCGCGAACACCCAGAAGUCGUUGUCCUGGUGCUCGACGCCCGCCGGGAAGAUCAACGUCUCCCCGUGCUCGUUGAAGUUGGAGGCGACGGCGUGCCGGAGCUUCCCCAGUGCCUCGCCGUUGUAGCCGGGGCGGAAGAAGGCGACCGCGGCCCGCAUCUCCCGCCUCUUCUGGUACUUGGCGGCGGCCGCCUUGGUUGCCGCCUCACUCUUGCUGGCCGCGGUUUUCUUUGAGACCUGGAUCUCCUUCCCCUUUCUGGUGGUGGGGGGCGCCAUGGAAUGCGAGGGCGAAAGCUAGCAGGAGCGCUGGGAUGCGAGAUGCGGAAGGGGAUGAAGACGAAGGCUAUGGGGGCAGAGUGUUUUUCCCCUUUUGGCAACAGUACAGUACGAGCCUUAUAACGCCCGGCCGUUUGGUAAUGGCCGGUUCCGUACCCUACGGGUGCGCUGGGAUAACUCCUAAUCAUUACGAGUAAUACGCGGCGUGGCCUUAACUUCCCUAUUUAGGGGGGGUGUUUGGGGCGGAAAUCACGCGCCCACUACUCCGUUUGUAACGGCGCCGUACACGGGGCAGUGAAGGGACGCGGGCCGCGGCAAAUCGGGGCCCACACGUCGGUUAAGGGCGUAGCCCGGAAACCGACCUGGGGGAGACUCAUCCGGGAACAGGUGAUGCCGGCCCACGCCCGGGGGCUACUGUCGCACCAGUGGCACUCGAGGUACCACCGCUGCGCGACGCGUGGGCCCCGUCCUCGAGUUCCCGGGAAGGUUUCAUCCCGGGCAACGGCUACGAGCAGUCCGGCAAGCUACCAGCCCAGAAGGGCUAGCGGGGCUUCGAGGAAUAUUCCCGCCUGGGCACCUCCCGGGAAGCCGCUUCCCGAGGGGAGGUUCCCGGGUGCGUUGGGCCCAGGCGCUUCCUGGGGAGCGACUUGCCGGGACAGGGAGUUCCCGGGCGCCUGCCCCCGCCUCAAGCGUGGGGCCCAGUAGGCAGAUCAACAGCGCCACGCGGGUGCGUGGCAGGCGUGGGGUGCGCGGCCCCACCGGGGCAAGGAGUAAGGCGCACGGCUCAUUAAAUGAGCCGACCAACGGGGCGUUACCCGUCCGAUCAAGUGAACAGUGGUUGUCCAAUCCUACCCUAGGGUUUUAGACCCCUAGCGGCAGAGGUGGCAUCCAUGCGCGCCACUAGCUCACCGGGGGGGGGGGGAGUUGUAUGCCUCCCCGAUCGACACUUGUAACGCAUGCACCGUGACACCUGUGGUAUCCCCUUGAGUAUAAAAGGAGGACCCCCACCAACGGUCAAGGGGUUCGUUCGGUUGGAAUCUCAGUUGGUCCGAGUAGACGGUAGAGUUCGGCUGAGUUCGGUCAUCCCACAGUUAGCCUCUAGCUUGAGCAGAGAAUAGUAAGGAGUACUUAGCCAAAGGGAGAGAGUACCCGGGAACUUGCCUGGCAGCCUGUAAACACUCGAUUCACAACCAAUACUAGCUCAGACAAGCAAGACGUAGGGUUUUACACCUCCGGGUGGCCCGAACUUGGGUAAAAACGUGCGUGUAUCGUUCCCUUGAUUAGCGCGCACUUUCAGUACAUCCUUUCACCGGCCCCACAGGGCCUCGUCGGCCGAGCUGGCGAUCGCCGGGGCGAACCCCGACGCCCCUACCAAACCUAAAAGGGGGUCGUGCCCGCACGCCCCCGAUGCCGGAGCACCGUGCGACGACACGCCCGCGCCCGCGGGCGCACCACGCUGUGCCGUGUCCGCGCCCCCGCUUUGCCGCUCACACGCGCACCACGCCGCGUUGCGCACCUAGCCGCGUCGCUCCGCGCCGCGCCGCGCCUGCGUUGUGCCACCCGCGCCCACGCGCGCCCCGGGCCGUGCCGUGCCGACGCCCGCGCUCCGUCGCCGACGCCCGCGCACACCCCGGGCCAUGCCGUGCCCUGGCUGCGCUGCGUUCUACCGCCUGCGCCUGUGCGCAUCCUGCUGCGCCAAGGCCGAGCAAGGGCUGAGCCCGCGUCCACAUUGCGCCCCAGCAUGCGUGCGGCCAUGCCGCUCCCUCACCUCACCAAGCCGAGGCCACACUCGUGCGAAGACACGCCCACUUCCACGCCCGGAAGCGACGCCCCGGGAGCGCUCGACAGAAUGCCCACGAAGACUCGGAGAUGGAGAGCUUCCGCGGCAGCACCUCGGCAACCAAUGCGACCUCCGUCAUGAGCAGAAAGUGGCUAAUGCCCCUACGAGGCGCCUACAAUACACCAACCUCUCGAAGAGAUGUCGGGCGCCGCCGAACUCGUCUUCGACGCCGGACAAAUCAAACAAGCAUGGUGUAGGCUUCUCCAGUGGAUGGGGGUUCCAUUUUAUAGGCCACCGGAGUUCCUAGACGUCCGGGUCGGGCCAAUGGGGCGGCGACACCUCGCCGUCCUUCAUCCCAAGGAACAAGACAAGGAGAGGAAGAAAGAAGCAAGGGAAGUUUUGCCUUUUCCCAAAAGGAGGCCGGCCUGGCCGAAGAGGGGCGCCCCCCGCCCGGGCCCCGUGUCCCGGCCGUGCCGGCGACACCUCCGGUGACGGGCGUCGCCUGCAAAGGCGAAAGGCAGCCCCUAACGGUCCCUCCCCCGUACGAGGGAAGAAGAAGGACGGUGGUCGUCCGAUCUAGGGUGCCAGGCCGCUUGCGAACCGUCGGAUCGACAACUUAGUCCUGAACCGGUACCGGGCUCUAACUGGGCCACGGCCCAGUAUUGGCCCAGGAAGUCGGCCGGAAUAAAAAAAAAGGAAAAGGGGGCUGCGCGCCCAGGGACGGCCCAGGUGCCGGCCCGGCGUGAUCCCGCACCCCCGAAAAUGGCCCAGCCGGGGAAAUUGCUAAUAAGACCCUGAAAAUUUCGGGGAGGCCCGCAGGGCCCCUGAUUUUUGCAAAAAAGUCCUCCUGGACACCGGAUUUCUCGCAGAGAGGCCCCUAGGUCCCGGUUUUGCUAAAAAUACCCCCCGAAACUCAAUUUCUCGCAAAGAACAUCGUCAUGGGCAUGGAAUCGCCCCACGGCGCCUCCAAAACUCCCAUUUUUUGUAGGAAAACCAUCGAGUACUUCUGCUUCUCAUAAGGAAGCCAGCCAGGGAAUUCAUCAAGGACACCAUCGCAAAUACAACGACAUGAUUCAAGAGUCUCACCUCAGAGGUUGACCCGAAGGCAUUCUCAAUGCCUCCAGCUCAAGGGGGCUACUGUUGUAGUAAAAUAAAACCCUUAUAUGGGCCGGGUCAUAAAUUCUACGUGGCGACGACCAAGUCAACAUUUCGCAAACACAAGUCAGGACGCCUACGUGGCACGGUCAAUCCUACGUGAUAAAAGAAGACUAGUCAACGAGUCAAGCCUCUCAUGCCAUGGUCAAUGGGUCAAAUGAGCUAGAAUAGGGGGCAAGAAAGGUAUGAGAAGGGGGCCCUUAGUCCAUGGUGGACCAUGGACCAAGCCCCUCUUUUCCCCCAUGGUGCACACAAAAGUUAUGGACCAAAAGAGCUACUUUUACCACUUUGCCCCACUUUUCUCUUUCUCUCAAGGAUAGUCAUGGUCUUUUGUCAUGGACCCCUAGGUUAUAAAUACCCCCCCAUGGAGGCAUGUAUCAUUCACUCUCAACUUGAAUAAACUCAAGGGGAGAGGGCUAGAGCCUCUUGCAAAGAGCUCUAGUUUCGAGAUCCAGGAAGACGUGUUCGGCCCGGACUCGAAGGAGAAGGGGUUGGGUUAGAGUUCUUAGGGUAUCCUAACCUCGAUACUUGGAAAGACGCGUUCGGUCCAAGUACGAGACGGCCUCGACGAAUCUCUCGUCAAAAGGUGUCUUGGGAAGAUCCGCUCGGCCCAAGUCCUUGGCUAACAACCCCCUCGAAGCUUUUUCUAACAUAGGAUUAAGUCGCACCCGCAGGGUUGACCGAACCUAUCCAAAAAAUAUCGACGUGUCAACUUGUUCAAGCGUACGGCGACUUUCGCUAUAAGACCGGCGUACACGUCCUAUUUUUAUACCCGCACUUGUGCCAUCAAUCAGUGGCAUCCCUUACUUUAAUUAUUGUCGAGAACAACAACAGUUAUUAUUGAGUACAACCUUAUAUGAGAUAAACGUGUGAUUGCAUCACAAUUUGACAAGAAUACGGACAUGUGCAUGUAUGUGUCCGGGUGUUUGGAUCAGAGUUGGAUUUGUUCGGGUGUUUGGAUCAGAGUCCAGGAAGGAAGCAGCCUGCGCUGCAUAUCAUAGAAAACCAUCGUUACUUUUUUCUUUGCUCCGUCUUUCUUUGGUAUACGAUCUCCUUGCAUCUCAAUAACGUCCGCAUGCAGCAGGCGGCCGCAUGGCAGCAUUGCAGCGCCUGCCGGUGCCGCUUUCUCGCUAUGUCCUCGGCAUGAUCGCCGCGACCUCUGGUCGAAGCCGCCGAGCGCAUCGGCGCGCCGCUGCUAGCCAGAGCCAUCCCCACCGCAGGCAGAGCCUCCGCUGGCUGCGCGCAUCGCACCGGCCGCAAUCGCUAUUCGUUGUCGCUGCGACCACACUCCCUCCGAUACAACCGCCAUGCCAUGACCCCGCGGCGCUGGAGCCGCCGCUGGCCCUCGACGCCAUUACCAAAGAGGUUAGUGUUUUUCUUUUCGAUGUUGCAAACGUGUCCAGAUUUUUUUUAAGAACUUAGCAGGAGAUCUACUUUUUCAUUAAAGUGGACGAGAAAGUAUACAUGACUUGACAAAAAGAACCAAGCCAAUUAUACAAGCAACUGGCUGGUUUCAAAUAGAAUAAGCUACUCCUAACCCUCCUCCUCUAACAGGAGGGCACAUUCAGAUCUUAUAACCAAAGCCACGUUUUGCGACGAUGAUCUACAAUCCUUGAAUAUUCGCUGAUUUCUUUCUUUCCAAACAUGCCACACCACCAUGCUAGCCCACACAAUGUCAGAAUUUUUCUUCCUUGAAUUAAGUUUCAGCAGACGACUCCACCAACAAAUUAGCGAAGUACUUUGCUUAACGAUCCUACACAUCCUCGGCCUCUCUUAAGAAAGAUCCCCAUAUCUCUUUGGAGAAAGGGUAGUCAAGAAUCAGGUGUCGUGCCGUCUCCAAAACCUGAUCGCAAAAGCAGCAAACGUCUCCAUGAGGCCAGCCCCUCGAAGCCAGCCAAUCCCCAGUCUAAAACCUGUUCUGGAGCAAAAGCCACAGGAAAAAACGAAUUUUGCCCUCACAUCUGACACUCCAAGCUGAGUUUAGAGCCACCUUUGAAGUUCUCCCUAAAAAUUGCACCUCAUAAGCUGAUUUGGCUGUGUAAACACCACUGGCAUCGAAUUUCCAUCUAAUGGAGGCUUCCUCCUCAUUCAGAGUGGUACCCUGUGUGUCCAGAUUUUGCAAAAGUUAACAUAAUCCAAUCCAAUCCGAGUGAAGGAAAACUAAUUAUACACCAAUAGUAAGGGCCGGCGGUCAGUCCAUAUGGGAUGACAAACACCAAUCGGUAAGGGAAGUCAGUAAAAAGGCCGGAACAACCAAUCCCAGUAGGCCACAAUAGCCAUGGUAGGCCACAAUAGCCAUUGAAACUAACAGUCCACCGUAGAGAAUUGCAAAUGAUGCAAAUUAUCAGAUGUACGUAAGAGACCUUAAGGCUAGAGCAAAAACGUCAGGCCCGAAAUAGCAACUCCAACAGUCAAUGACGCCAAAUUGAUAUGAGAUGUUCACUAAAAUGAGUUGAUCUCCAUCGGAGAUAAAGAAAAUAGGAAAUCAAUAGCCAAAAGAAGACCAAUUUUUACACAGAAGCAGCGAAGGAACAAUGUGGCUCACAUUAUCGGAUAGAUGCAUGUGAAUCGGAUGGAAAUAUACGUCCACAGAGUCGCCGAUUCCGUACCUGCGAUACCAACUGUGGACUGGAAGCAACACCCUUGCACAAACGACAAUAGGAAGCCGAUCUACCAUACGUUCACUCCAAUCCACAACCACGACAGCAAAUAGACGAAGCCGAACAACUCUUGCCGCCGUCCGCCGGAAGCCAUAAUUGUACCACAAACAACACGUCAGAACAAACAAGGGAAGUUCGUGUGUUAGGUAAAGUCGUACAGGCCAAUGGUUGAUGGGCGUAAUACAUACAAAAUGCAUUGGAUAAAAAGGAAUGCUUACCGCAUUACCCAUAUAAAACUAUUGAAGAAUAAAAAUCUAUACACACCUAAUAAAUGUCUAAAAAAAAUUUUGAACAUAAUAUCUAAAUGGUAUACAAAAUGAAUCUAUUAGAAAUCAAAAUAUUAAAUACGUAGAGAGAACUGGAUUAAAAAAUAUAUAUAUAACAUAUUAUUUUAUUAUACAAAAUCUAGAUUGCGCGGGUCACCCCGCUAUUAAUAAUAUGAAAAGGAAAAGAAGUUCCGUGGUGCCUGAUGCCGGCAUCGCGGCCACCUGCCUUUACUCGCCCACUCCGCCGACGGAAUCGAUGCGAAUUCCCACACGCACAGGCUAACCGCCCCCAGAUGCUCUGAGAGGACCACCACGUACGCCAUGGCAGACCGGAAGGAUGCAGGUGGGCUCAGUGAAAACAUGGCACGACAGCUCGCAGGCCACGGCCCACGGCAAUGCUGGAGUCGGUCAGGAAGUAAGCCACGGGCUCACCACCAUGGAACGUGACAGAGUAGUGCCCCCGACGCUGUCAUCGUCUUCCUCCGGCGUGUCCAGGGAGCGUCAUUAACGGACGAGGCAUCCGGAGAGAGCGAAAUGGCGUUCUCCAUACGUUAGUGCAGGAAUGGAACACGUCCAUGGACAGCAGGGCCGGAGCUCGCCGACGACGAGGACGACGCCAUAGGGCGAGGAGCUGUACAUGGAGACGGCUUGGAGAUUCGUGUCGGUAGCUCCGGGCGUGGCGGGAGCGCACGGGAGGCGCCGGGAAGUUGGAGUCUAGCGCACGGUAGAGCACGAGCCAGCCUACGACGGCGACCGGCACUGGCGCGGGCCGCGGACUCUGCAUGGCUUCGCACGACCAAGACCCACUCGAGCUGCUAAUUCACGGUACUAAGAGCAAGUCCAGCAAUCCUCCUAAAAUUUCUCCCCUAUAUCUCAAAAUGAGGGAUUCCCUAAAAAUAUUUCCUCCUAAAAAUUGGCCAACUCCAACAGUUUACCUAAAAGAUCUCCCUAAUUCUAUAUUUUAAGAAUUUUUGUAACUACUUUUUGAAACCCAACAACUAACUCUCCAACGACUAGUUUUCGAAUGGUUGGAUUUCUAACGGCUACCUUUUCUGAUCUAUAUAUACAUGAUCAUCUCUCACAAUCUCGAGAGCUCGAUUCGGGCUCGAUCCAAACUUGAGAAACGAGAGCGGGGACGUACCUGUCGGCGGGAGGGAUCGAGCGGUUGCUCCCUGACGUGAGGGGGGAUGCCCCCACCACCUCGAUCUAUAGGAGAGAAGGAGGGGGUGGAGAGGAGAGACUUUUUUUUUUGCCUUUUUCUUCUCCCCUAAAAAUGCUAUUGGGAAGGUGAUAAGGGAACUGCCGGAAUUGUUCUAAGGCUGCUGACUGGGAUCCAACAUUCAAUUGGGCUGCUAAUUUUUGUGUGUGGAUGCUAAUUUUUGUGUGUGGAGAAUUGGGCUGCUAAUUGACUCAAGGUGGACUCACUCGUCCCGGGGCCACAUCAUCGAUCCAUGUUUGAAAAAGCUAUGUCAGUGCCUAAUAAAUGGGAUUAGCGAGUACAAGGUGCUGAAAUCAGGAUUUCAAGUGAGGGUUUGAUCUCAACGACCUCUGUAAAGACAAGAUUGAAAAUAAACUUUUACUCUUUUUUAUGCCAAGUCCCGAUCCUUCUGUUCAGUUUUUGUUUUUUGAGCGAAAUCUUUCUGUUCAGUUGAUUUUUUUUUUUACCGAACUUCUGUUCAGUUGAUGGUUCAAUUAAGCUUGCUGGACUGUUGGGAGUCUGGGCCUGGUUAUUCUAUUAAGGCCUACUGAACUUGAUUUGCACACUAUGCCACUAUGGGCUAUUGGGCUUUGAGCCCCAGCCUUCACAAUAGGAUACGCAUUUGUUGACGGCUAGUGCAAAUGCUUUGGCAUUUCUCAGCCGUAUGAAUUGGCCGAAUCAAAUACCAAGGCCUCAUUGAACACAGAGGACCUAGAUGAGAUGAGGCCGGCCUAUCCACGCUUGUGUGUCCUCUGAAGACUACAUCAAUUGGGUCAAUUCGAGUCCAAGUCUUCCCCUACGACUCGAUCCAGAUUGUGAUGGUCGUUGCCUUGUAAUAUAGCCGAACUCUUGGAAAGGAGAUUGCCCGGCCUUGGCAAAUGGCAGUGGCAUGCAUGCACAUGGAACCAUGCACCAAUUAAUAAGAAAAUGAAAUGAUACAGUAGCAUCCAAUUAUGGUUGGCUGUUACCUCAGCUGGUCUAUGCUUUUUCCACACGGGCUGACAAAAUUUGGCAGGCAUGGAUGCACCCGUACGUGCAAAUUAGUUAGCGAUGUGGUGGAAUUCUAUGUCCCGUACAUCCACAUGAUGUGGAUAUGAGGAUAUCGGUGCAACACGCAUAGAAAGAAGGUGAGGAUACACAUGCAUACAUUGUACAUACAAGCUAGUGGCCGGGGCAAUUGGGCAUACAGGAGCACAGUCGCUACUCGCUAGCGACGUUCUAUGGGCUGCAUGCUUGGUUUCUUCGCUUCUGCCAAACCAAACACUCCGAUUUGUAAGCUUCCCUAUUACAAGUGGGGUAGUUUAUUACGAGUAGUGAUGUGGCGCUAGCGGCUCAAACAUGCCACGAGGCACUGGAUGAUCCAUGUAUGGUACUCUACCUUGAUACUACCGUUAUGAUGAGUGCAUUCUCGUAGUUCCAUUCGUCUUAUCCAGUUUUAGAGGCGAUGUAUUCAGUGAAAACUCUUGUUCAGUGCAAAACUGCAAACUUCUUUAAGAGACCAUUAGAUUUGAAAUAUACGUCUCAGACGAGAGGUAGGAAUCCCUCAAACUACAGCCACUUAAGCACACCUUUAGUACGUAACACCUCGGAAUAGUUCUGUAACAAUUCAGAUAAUAAAAAAAAUAAAAAAACUGUCCGUCUUAUCGAUCGAUCAGAAGCGACAUCAUCUCUUUAUGAAAAAAAGUGCGAUUCAUUGAUCUGGAGUGUCGCCGGCCAGGUCCACCCCCUCGACACGAGGCGACCUGGACCACCUCCGCAACGGCGACCAGGAGCACCAAUGCAACGUUGAACUAGAUCCCCAACAAGACAACGACUUGGAGCUUCGCCCUCGGCCUUCCAUGAUGCGCCGCCCUCUGCCACCAUCAUGCCUUCCAUGGCGACGGCCGACGUGCCCCCAUCGACCGGCCAACGAGGCAACGGGGUCGUCACGGGACAUGGCCGGUGAUAUCGAUGAGGAAGCUCCCCGGAGGAUGCUGUCGUCGGACACGGUGGAGGACACUCCAGGCCGUACUUACCAUAAUAGCAAGUCAGGCGGCUGUUGUAUGAUGCGCAAGGUGGUGACCAACGCGGCGGAGCAGGAGUGGUAGAGGCGGCUGCACGCAAGAGAGGAGAGGACGAGGAUGUGGCCGUGGAGAGGAGGGCCUUCCUGGCCGUCGGUGACCAUGCCCCAGCGGCGGCGAAUGACGAAAGGAGGGGAUAACUCCCAAGUCGCAUGAACAGCUCGAAUUACUUCCACAUAAAAAUAAGGGUUUUCGUAAACAACUGCGUUUAAGUGAGUGGUUUCAAUCCCACCUCCUAUCUAAACCGUAUAUUCAAUGUCGCUGUAAAAAAAACCCCUAUAUUCAGUGUUCCAUGAGAAAAAGUUUGCCAGAUUUCAGUGGAUACGUUGCCAUAUAUUAAUUACACGAGCUUGACAAAAUGAUGGCCUUGAUUUUGUGAAAUGUAGCCGGCCAAUAGAACAAAACUGACUGAUACCGAGAGCAACUAAUUUCUCUGAACCAUGGAUAGAUAUAUAUCAAUAUAAAUAGCAUCAUGCAUCGCCGGCCAUAUGGAAGUAUUGUCUUUGUUUUCUGUUGGGUCUAUGGAAGUUUGUUGGAAGUCUUCAGGCUUUUUCCACACGAAUUGACGGAAUUUGUUGGGAAGCAGCAGCAGGGAGAAAAAGGGCUGCGGCGUCCAAAGGAACGGUGUUGCCACUUUUGUCCGGACCCAUGGCCUGAUGCCCAAGUGACCCAACCCAAGUGGGGUUUGCGCGAGGUUCCAGCCAAACUAUACACUGGCCACUUGUGAGACAUCUUUUUAAUAGGGCCCAUCACGCGCACGGGUACACAUUUAGAGUCAGGUCAUCGGUGUUUGACCUGUCCAGGUCAGAUUCGGCCGAUCGAGCUUGUCGUAAUUGUCAUAAAUUCAUCUUUUUGCAUGCAUGGUACUAGGUUAGUACUCUGGCAGAGUGUUACAGUGGGUGGGAGUAACAACAUAGAUGCUGCCGAUCGUGUCUUUGAAGUGAUACAUAGAUAGCUGCAGUACGUACCAGCCUUUUUAUUCCUCGCGCACAAUUUUCACAGCUCUUGUAGGUAGAAUUUCGUAGUAUAUAUAGUACAACGUUACUCGGUCUGAAUUGCAUAAAAUGGUUCUAGCUAGCCUUAUCGACUUGUAAAGAAAGUACUUACCGUCGGACGUGGGAAAAUGACAAAAGAUCAGUCGUACUACGGCUCGUAAGAGAGGAAACUCAGAAAACAGACUUGGUCGUCGACGAAAACGGCCUUCACGGCGCUGCGCAUGCACCACCCUCAACCCAAAGCGCUGGAUCGGUGAACUCACAAAUGCCGAUCGUCGAGCUAUAAAUUCCUGCCCGCCACUUUGCCUGUUCACCACUCCUCUCAUCGAUCGUCUCGCCCGCCACCUCAGAAAAGCAUAUACAUCAUGGCGCUUACUGGCUCUCUCAUCGUCCUUCUUGGUGCCACAUUGACGCUGCUCUACUUCCUCGGCGCAGGUAAUUAACCGCAACAACGACAUAUAUAAUUCGAUCAUAUGAAAAGGCAGCGGUUCCGAGAGUCCGCAAGCACGUGCACAGUCUCUUCUAACAAUGGGCCGGCAAUAAUGGCUUGUAAUUCAGUCGUUUCUUUGUGGCAUACGAUCGACAUUGCAGUUGCAGAGGCGGGCGAGGUGGGUGUGAGCUACGGGACGAACGGGGACAACCUGAUGGACCCAUCGGCGGUGGUGGAUCUGCUGAAGAAGAACGGCAUCACGAUGGUGAGGGUGUACGACACCGACUCGAAAGUGCUGACCGCGCUGAAGAACACCGGCAUCAAGACGGUUGUCGGGAUACGCAACGACAUGGAGCUGGCGGCCGCCGCCGGUGACCCGAGCUGGGCCGUCCAGUGGGCCAAGAACAACGUGCUGCCGUACUACCCGGCCACGGACAUCCGCGGCGUCACCGUAGGGAACGAGGUGUUCAAGCAGGUAAGCCAGCUGAACCUGCAGCUGGUCCCGGCCAUGAAGAACGUGCAGGCGGCGCUGGUGAGCCUAGGCCUUGCCGACGCCAUUAAGGUCACCACGCCGGUCGCCUUCGACGCUCUCAAGACGUCCUUCCCGCCGUCCCAGGGCGAGUUCAAAGACGACAUCGCCCAGCCGGUGAUGAGCCCCAUGCUCGAUUUCCUGGAACAGACGGGCUCCUACCUCAUGGUGAACAUCUACCCGUACUACACGUACACGUCUCAGCCAGGCACGAUCGACCUCAACUACGCCACGUUCCGGCCCAACGACGGCGUGGUCGACCCGGUGACCGGCCUCAGGUACUCCAGCCUCUUUGACGCCCAGCUCGACGCCGUGUACUCUGCGAUCGACAAUGUGCAGCAGCAGGUGGCCUCUUCCAACGGUGCCGUGGGGACGAUGCUCAGGGGCCGGCGUCGCCACGUGCCCGUGGUGACCGGGGAAUCCGGGUGGUGCUCCUACUGCCCGCAGAGCGUGGGGGCAUCCAUGGAAAACGCUCAGGCGUUCAAUAAUAACCUCGCCAAGCGCGCGCACUUCGGCAGCGCCAGCAGCAGCAGCUCGCUCGCCGUCGUCAGCGACGGCACCCCGGCCCGCCCCGACGCCGACAUCUCCGUGUACAUCUUCGCGCUCUUCAACGAGAAUCAGAAGCCCGCUGACGAGCAGAACUUCGGCCUGUUUUACCCAAGCGGGAAGCCGGUGUACCAGGUCGACUUUAGCGGCGGCGGCGGCGGAGGAGGAACGGCGAGCUGGUGCGUGGCGAGGAGGGAUGUCAGCGACGCGCGGCUGCAGGCGGCGCUGGACUACGCGUGCAACAACGGGGCGGACUGCAGCGCCAUCCAGCCCGGGAAAGUGUGCUACGAGCCCAACACCAAGCUGGCGCACGCGUCCUACGCCUUCAACGACUACUACCAGAGCAAGGGCCGGGCCAGCGGGACUUGUGACUUCUCCGGGGCUGCUUCCAUCGUCUACCAGCAACCAGGUGACUUCUUCCAGCUGACUCCUCCUGAUCAAUUUGUUCAAGCCCUUAUUAGUGGAAACUGUCAGGUGUGAUUAAACGCUGUGGCCUGAAAUAAUUAACAGGCAUCUGCGACCCGAAGGCGGCGAGCUGGUGCGUGGCGAACGCGGCGGUCGGGGACGCGCGGCUGCAGGCGGCGCUGGACUACGCCUGCGGCAAAGGCCGUGCCGACUGCAGCGCCAUCCAGCCAGGCGGGCGGUGCUUCAGUCCUGACACCAAGGUCGCGCACGCGUCCUACGCAUUCAAUGACUACUACCAGCGCAACGGCCGGUCGUCCAAGUCCUGCGACUUCAGCGGCGCUGGCUCCGUCGUUUACCAGCAGCCAAGUAAGUUCGUUCACGCCCGAUCCGUAUGCCCGGCCCAACAUAUCUUCACGGGCCCUAUCUUCACCUUUGCUUACUUUCUCGAGUAAAUCACCCUACCUACUAGCAUAUUUGCGAAAGAACUACGUAGCUUGUACCUAUUUCCACUUUACCAUUGACACGUACUACUUCACAAUUUUGCUGCACCACCCAGUACCGUAGUGUGAUGCUUUCAGUGAUUAAUUAAGUUGUGAUAUUAUUGUGUUUGUUCAUAUUUUACAGAGAUAGGUAACUGCGUGCUCCCAUCAACGGGCUGAAUGAAGAAACGCUAGAGAGCUAAGAUCGAAGGCUACGCGCGCUACCAGCCCAUUGGUAUAUAUGGGAUUCAGGAAUAAAGCCGUGUAAUCUUUUAUUUCGCAAGAGAAAAAUAUGUGAUCAUAUCUGAAGAUAAAUAUGCCCUUUGAAUAAACCUCCACUUUUCAAUCAGUGGAUUUUUAAACCCGGUCUCCUCACGCCCUUUCCACUACUUUGACAUAACGGAAAAACGAUGUCUCUGACUAAACCAGAAUACAAAGGGGAGAUAAAGAAGAGCAACAACGUUUUACUACAUGUGGUAGGAAACCCAUUGACUGGGCUCGUAAGCAAAACACUAACUGCCGAACGAAUACCAAACUAAAGGCACCUCCGAUCAUUGCCUAACUUCUCGCUCUGGAUUGUAAAGACAUUAUUACUUUUAAAUAAAACUCUCCUGUUCCUCGAAAAAAAAAAGUGAAGGCACAUUUCCUUUGGUUACGUGCUGACUAAUUAUUACAGUACUCAUACCAUAUUCUUGCAAGGAAAUUAAUUCCUUGCUGAUUAAUUAAACUAUGUAAUAACCAAGAGCAUACGGCUCCCUACUCUCGCCGUUCUAAAAACAACGGCAUUGGAGGAAGUUGGCACAGGCUUAAAGCCGAGGCUGCAACAGCAUCUCCAAUGUCAUCCCCUAAAACUAUCACAAAUGUUCUAUUUGGGGACAUGGACAUUUUGCCUCCAAAAUCAUCUCCCAAUGUCAUUUUCUAAAUGGACAAAAUGUCAUGUUUGUCCGGACACAUCCUCCAAACUUGCCCCAAAUUUGAAAGAUUUUUGGGGUGUCCAAACAUUGUCCAGUGCUCUCUUUUGUCCGUUUCGGCCCCACAACAAGAGAUUGGGAAAUGAGAAGAAAAAGUGAAAAGGAGAGGAGAAAAGAUAAAGAAAAGAAAAAGCUAAUUUAGGAGAGAAAUUUGAGAGGUGUGGUUUGGAUGACGAGGGCGGACAUGGAACGGACACAUGUCCACUUGCUCCUUAAAUGACCCAAAAAAAGGACAUUUGAGGACGAAAUUUGGGGAUCCAUUGAAGUUGUUCUACUCCCCCGGUAUCUCCCCCAUCGUCCUAGCUGCCGAUCAAACUUUGAGAUCUACGCCAAUCAACUAACUUACCAAUGUCUUGCAUUAGACCAUUGAUGAAUUAGUCUACGAAACGUACUGCUAUUUUUAGCGACAUCUCCCAUUCUCUCUCUGCCUUUUGCGUGUGAGUGCUUUUUCCAUGUGAAUGAUGACACUUUUUUUUUCUUUUUGCAUGUGUGCUGACACCUCUUUUCCUCACAAUUUUUCUUCUGCACAUGACACAAGUGCAUAGUCAAUAUUUAGUAUGGGCUUACAUCCAAGUACAUGCCAAGUACAUCAUCAAUUUAUAGUACAUCCAGGUACAUGCCAAGUACAUCACCAAUUUAUAGUACAUGAAGCAGACCGUGACGGGUACGUCGAAAUACAUGACAGGUACAUCAAACGUACAUUAUGAUACAUGACAUGAACAUUAACAGUUUUUAAGUACCUUGUCAAAUCAAGACUGUGUACUUCAAGUCCUAACGGUACGUCACGUACCAAAGGAAAAAAUUGCAGUACAAACGUUUGUCAAAACUUAAUACCUGAUCGUGUACCAGUGGUACAUCAGAAAAAAAAGUUGACCAUCAAUAGCUGCCUAAAACAUUAAGAAACAAAAUACAAUAGAUAAACCAAAUUGCAGAUAGCCUGCAAUCUCAAUUCAAUGAAAAAACCACGAGAUCCAAAAUCAGAACAACAACAUCUCUUGCCUCCCUCAUGGUACUAGCCAGUACCAGGAUUAUGCACAACCUCAAAGGAGCGCCUGGUGUCCAUGGACCUUGCUGAUGCCGACACUGAGGAGGGCUGGAGGGAUGAGAUGUGAGCGUCGAGGUCAUCGUGGGAUGGGGAUGGGACGAAGACCACGAGGUGGUCGAAGGAGGCCCACGGCCCGCAGCAGCGGCAUCGGAAGUGCAGGACCAUGGUAGGCGGCGGCGGAGGCCGAGACCAGGGCCCGUGGGGCGGCCUUGCGCCUGGAGGUCUCGCGCACGUACACUGCUGUGCCGAUGGCGGCGGCACGGAAAGGUUGGGACGGGCUGGUGUGUGUGUGUGUGAGAGAGAGGAAUCAAGGGAAAGAUGGGCAGCUAAUUACAGAAUAAAUGGCCAAGGAUUAAAGGAAGGGAGAGACACGUGGUUGAUUAACAAGGUGGGGGUAGAUAACGGGGGUGGUACCUGGAGGUGGCACAAGCUGAAGUGUCAUAACAGUAAAAUGUCGUCGGGGGUGGUACCUAGAGGUGGCACAAGCUGAAGUGUCGUAACAGUAAAAUGUCGUCAACUAUCGUCCGGACACUAAAGCUGGAGUACUUCCUAUGCCCCGUGUGCUAAAUACUCAACGGAGAAGUCGUUUUCCCAUGUGAAUACACAUGGUAAAAGAUCCGCCGGACAAAUCACCCUAGGCGCCUUGGACCUAUGUGCUACCCGAGGCGUUGAUAUUUUGGUAUUGUUUUGUUUCGACACAUCUAUCUCCACUCCAAUCCACGAUCUUUAUUCUGAUUUCCUGAAACUUCAUGUGCCAACAAAAUUAACAAGGAAAUUAGCUGUUUUGACAGCCGGUUGAUUAAUAGAUUAGUUCAUUAUAUCUAUUUCAUAUAAAAUACACCCAGUGUCAUUUUGGCAGCAAAAUACUUGAUCAAGCAAUUAAAAAAAACGAUCCUUUAAAAAUAAUGCUUAAUUUGAUUGACUUUUAGUUAAUGACAAUAGGUCAGUUCUUUUCGGCUUUCUGGACUGACUUCUCCAAGAAAACCUAGCUUGGCCUACCAAACUAGUUUGGUCUAAACUAUUUUAAAAACCUAGCUAAAUCUGAGAUGGGGCUUCUCUAGGAAGCUAGAUGGGGACAGAUUUUAGGAGAAGCCGGUCCUAAAAGCCGAAAAGAACGCAGCCAAUGAAGGGUAGUGUAUUUACCCAUCAGUGAUGGCUUUGAAUGCAUUUUUCAAAAUAGCAUCAAUGCAAUUUCUUCAAUAGAUCCAAAGAUGCAUUAUACACAACAUAUUCUAUACAGAGUACAUAACUCAUCCCUGUUUGAAUAUCCUUCGUUCCUAUGUUAAAGCCCAUACAUCACAAUGCCAACAAACCAAACCAGUUUAGAAAAAAAAAAGGUACCUAAUACCGCUCUAGUGAUACCUCAUCAUCCCGUUCAUAUGAUCCUUCUGCCUGCAAUUACCAAAACAUGACUACAUUAUCCCACAGCUAACAUAGUGCUUGAGAACCUCUAAAAGCUACACAAGUGAAAUUUAUCACAGGUAGCAAAAUGGAAUUACCAAAACAUGAGUACAUUAUGCAUGUUGAUUGCUUUCUGAGAGGAGAACCGUUAUGGAGGUCUCGACACAAAUCCUCUACAUCUAAGUAGAGGCAACCCAUUAGCUUAUUUCUCUCAACAUGCAGCCUAUCCACAUCAGCAACCAAUCAUGUCAACAAUUUGUGCCAUGUCAUUUGUGCCAUUGCAGCAGCCCAUUUUUUGGUGGACCAGCUCAUCCUCCUUUUUCCUUUUUCCCUUGGACCUUUGACCGAUCACCUGCUGAGCCCAUCACGCCCGAUGCUUUGCUCGCUUCGUCGUUGUUACUCCAUAUCGAAUCACUGUCCGUCCGUUCAUCUCAUAAGUCGUCGCCGUUAAUGUCAAAUGGCAUGUCCGUCCGUUCCCCUUCAGUUCCAGCUUCCAUUUCCCAUUCAAUACGAGUCCCGUGACUUCUCCACUUCCUCUUCUUUCUCCUCACCACAUCCUAUAUAUCUCCAAGAAUUUCAGUGCGAAUCUGGAAGCCACCACAGACAAACAAAAAAAAAGAUCGACGUCACAGAUCAAUAGAAAACUGAAAACAAAAAACCUGGCAUCACAACAUCAAGAACUGAGCAGGAGGAUGCAGACGGCGACGCACGGUGGCGGGCGGGGUGGGACGGAGCAUAGUGAUGAGCGAGCUGGAGACGGUGCGCAAUCACGGGCGGGCAGAGGCGCUGUAGCAGGCUAGCGGCGACGCAGUUGCAGGCGCUGGCGGCACACCAACGGUAAGGGUUCAGGAGUUUCUGGUUGGGGUGAGGAAUCAGAGGGCGAUUGGCAUGAGAAUCAGGUAUCGGUACAGGGGUAUUGGGGGGGGGGGGGUACGAGAUGGGCCUUUUUCAGAGAUGGGCCUGCUAGAUGGAGUAGGUAUCGGGGGGGAUUUCGGUUCAGGUUAUUUUGGAUGGGCUGCUCGAGACAUACCAACGAUCUAUGAUUAUGUUUCAACACUAGCUAGCCAGCACAACGAUAAGAAAAGUGGAAAUAGAAAAAAUAAAAUCCUCUUUUCUUAUUUAUCAUGUUGUGUUUACAAUACAAAUCAUCUUCAUCAAAUAAUGUAUUAUAUAAUACACUCUUCAUAUUAUUUUAAUUUAGUACGUCCGCUGAAUCGUGAAUCAAAAUAUCAGGUCCGCAAACUACAUAUAUCACAUAUUGUCAUACUAAAUUUAUGAUAUUUAUUACUCCAUUCGAUCCUAAAUUGUUGUCAAAAUAUUACAUGUAUCUAGACGCUUUUUAAUAAUAGAUACAUUCAUAUUUGGGCAAAUUUGAGUCAAGAAUUUAGGAUCAGAUGGAGUAUUAUUUUUUAUGUCUUAUACUCUCAUGAGAAAACUAUUUCUUUGAAAAUUUUGCUCUUAGUUUCCGCAGCAACGCGCGGGAAAUUAUCUAGUUUUAUUAGUAAGAGACACAAUAAUUACAAAGGGAUGGGAUACACAACAAGGGAUGCAGGGAGCAAGCUAGAACAGAGCAGUAAAGCCAUGCUGAUUGUGAUUCAGACUACAGCUCUUGCAACAUCUAAUCUUUUAAAUUUACUACUUAUUAAUAUACUCCUUCCGACACAUAUUACUUGUCUCAGAUUUAGUACAAAGUUGUACUAAACCAGUGACAAGUAAUUUCGACCGGAGGGAGUAAUAAAGUUCUUUAAGAGCAUCUCCACUCGGCCCCUCUAAAGUCCCCCCGAACCGGUUAUGGGGCCGCCGGCGCCAAAAAAAAACGACCCAGCCGUGCCCUCAUUUUGUUUUCUUGUCCGGCACGGCCCCACUUCACAUCCAGCGCCCCUAGGCUGAACAUCAUCGGCACAACCCAAAACAUAAAACCCAUCUCACCCUCUCCUUCUUCCGGUGGCCACCUCCAUCCCAAAUUGCCGUCGGAACCACCCCUCUCACGAGUGACGGUCCGCAGCAAAUGGAAAGGUUGUCUGCCGCAUAGAUCUUCCCGCGCCACCGCAGCAACUGACGAAGGGUUAACUUCGGCGAUGUCCAUAUUAGUCGACUUGUGUUCAGGAAAGCUACGUGUGUGUAUUGGCAAACCCGUCAGCUUACAAGCAACGGGAGGCGAACAUUUACCCAGGUUCAGGGCCCUCGGAAGGUAAUACCCCUACGUCCUGCUUGUCUGAUCUGUAUUGAUGAGUCGAUUACAAAGUUGCCGUCACGAUGAAAAGCUCAGAUUGGAUCUGGCGAGUGCGUCUAGGCGGCUUCUGUGAGAGAUUGGAUGAUCUUGGCUCCCCCUCUUGGUCCUUUAUAUAUGCACGAAGUCAGCUUUUGGGUAGAGUCCAAGUUGAUUACAUCAUAGAGAUAUACUAUAUGUAAGCUUCCUUAUCUUGAGUCGCAAGAUUAGGCAUCUGGACUCCUGAAGUCGCAGUAGGCUUCUACAUGGGCCCGCAGCUGGGCCAUGGCGGGUAUCCUCAAGUCGAGUACGUGGUUAGUCAUAACCACGUCAACGACCCGUUCCGCCGUUGUUGUAAGACUACCGGUAGCUCCAAGCCCACCCCGCAGCCACCUUUUACGGGACGUGUUCGACGAUUUACCAAUGCCAUGAAUUCGGAUGACGAGGAGAUGCUCACCGUGCUGUUUGACGAGGAAGUCGCCGUUGCCGAUGAUGCGGCCUCUGACGGCGAGGAGGAGCAUCAGGUGAUCCUCUCUGCCCUCAUUGGCCUAAUUGCCCAGGAUGCACAGCCGCCGGGCUGGGGAGAUUCGAGGAAGGGCCGCCACAAGGGCAAGGAGGCAGAGGAUGGAGGGCUGUACGCCGACUACUUCGCCGAUGAUCCAUUGACGACGAUGUGGUCCUUCGGAGCCGUUUCAGGAUGUCCCGGAAUUUUUUGUUGAAGAUUGCCGAGUACCUCAAAGAGUUCGACGAUUACUUCAAAUUGAAGAGAGACGUCGUUUGCAUGCUUGGUUUCUCAACUAUUCAAAAAUUCACUAUAUCCCUCCGGUUGCUUGCAUAUGGAAUUCCUUCCGAUACACAGGAUGACUACCUCUGCAUGGCAGAGUACACGGACAUCGAUUGCAUAUACAAAUUUUGUAGGGUAAUUAUGGUAGUGUUUUGGGAUAUUCACUUGAGAUCACCCAAUGCAGAAGACACAGCUCGGAUCCUGGCACAUAACAAAAAAAGAGGAUUCCCAGGUAUGCUUGGAAGCAUCGACUGUAUGCAUUGGUCAUGGAGAAACUGUCCAUUUGCACACCAGCGCAUGUACAAAGGUCAUAAAGGAUCAUGUAGUGUGGUACUUGAGGCAGUGGCCGAUCAAGAUCUUUGGAUUUAGCUUUCUUUCUUCGGUAUGGCAGGAUCGAACAAUGACAUCAAUGUGUUGCAGUGCUUGAAUGUGCUCUCCAAGCUUGUUGAAGGCAUUGCUCCUCCGGUGAACUAUGAGAUAAAUGGACAUGUGUACACCAAGGGCCGGGAUACUACCUGACAAAUGGCAUCUAUCCAGAAUGGUCAACUUUUGUGAAGACAAUCUCAAAAGCACCUUCGGGUGGAGCAAGUUCUUGGUUUGCGAUGCAACAAGAAGCUUGUAGGAAGGAUGUUGAGCAGGCAUUGGGUGUGUUGCAGGCUCGAUUUCCAUUGCCGGUACCCUACUCUUACAUGGUCUAGAGAUCAGACGUGGGAGGUCAUGGUUGUCUGUGUGAUCUUUUAUAGCAUGAUCAUUGAAAACGGAAGGGAAUUUUCAGUGUUUGACACUGAACCUUAUGAACGGAUGGGUCCUCUAGCCAAUGUUGAUCAUCAUUUAUCGGCCGCCUUUGCUGCUUUCCUUGCCAAACGUCAGGAAAUUCGGGACACAAAUACUCAUUAGCAACUUUAAGAUGAUCUGGUGGUACAUUUGCAUGUAGUUCUAAUUUGUUUGCUUGAAUCUGUGAUUCAAAACUUAUUAAAUAAUGUGCUUGUUUAAGUUUUUUUAUUUGCAAAAUUAGGUAUAAGGGAGCCGUUUGGGGUGGGUGGGGGGGUGGGGGGCUGGAACUCUAGCUGGAGCCCUCCCAUACAGCCCAUAGCCGGAUGCCGCAUGGGAGGACGAGUGGACAUGCUCUAAGAUUACCGGCCCUCACGUGGUUGACACAAACGUCAUCAAGAGCAAUCAUUUUUUCUUCUUCUUUUGAAAAAGAGGACGUUCCUCCGGUCUCUGCAUCAAUCGAUGCACACAGCCAUAACAUUAUUGAAGUCACAAAUAGCGACAAAUCACAAUUAUUCAAACUCAAAAUUGGCAAUGAGUUAGGAAACGCUCCUAGCCUGUCGCCCUCGAGCCACAUCAGAACAAAGAGACCGUUUGCCCAACCUGUCUUCAAGCGCAGUCAUGUUGAUCCAAAAGCAUUCGAGUCGAAGUCUUCCCCUGUGACUCGAUCGAGACUGCGAUAUAUACAAUGGUCGUUGGCUUCUACUGCAGCCGGCAGUGUUAAACACUAGUGGACGCCUACGCCUGAAUAAUAAGCAUCUUUCUUUCUCUGAAGUCUGAUAGAAAGGACUCCUGCUUAUUUAUUGGCAUGCAUCCAUACGAACAUGCACCAGUGAUAGUAAGAAAAUGAAUAUUGUAGAAUAGCAUUCAAUUAUUAUUAGUUGUUACUUGACCUGGUCUGGUCUAGGCUUUUUCCACAGGAGCUGACAAAGUUCGGCAGCCAUGCAAAUUAACAAGGUCGAUCAGGAAUUCUCUGCACGUACGCCUAAUGUUCCAUCCACACCAGUAGAGAGCUAGUGGAGGGGUGAAGAAAAUAUGACGUUGUUCAAUGGAAGUCCUAUUUGUCGUUCUCACGAGUUUUUGACAUAUGGAUCAGGUGGACAAAAUGGACUAGUAUUGGACACGUAGUUUUGAUGAUGACCAUAUUUUCAAAUUUGGGAAAGAAAUGAAAAAGAUUGACACAUUUUGAACAAAUAAGAGUUCUCAUUGCGUUGCAUUUUUGUUAAUGAACCGUCAAAUGAACAAAUGAAGAGGAUUUGGAGAGUGCCUUGAAAAUGUCGCAAACACGGUACUUUCAAGAGGCGUAGCUAUGGUUUUUGUUUGGACCACCUGAUCUAAGAUGGCAGGCAUGCAGGAGGACGGUGACGAUCGAUACACAAACGUAUACACAAGUGGAGGGAAAUUGGGCAUAGAGAACGCAAUGUCGCGAGCGUCCUUUUAGCUGUAGAUGACAAGGGUAAUUUUUUGCCCUUAUGUCACCAAAUUUAUGCUGAACAAUUAUGUCAAAUAAAAUACACCAACCCAGCCAAAUUUAGUCUACCAGCAGUUUCAUAUAGUGAGGAAGAAAUUUCUCUCAACCUUGCAUGCGUGGACACCAGUAUAAUGAGUAGCAUGCAUGGCCAGCUAUACUCCCUCGGUGUAGGGUAUUUCCACACGAGUUGACGGAACCUCUGUUAAGAAGUACUCCCACAGGUAUAUAUAAUGAUAAAAAAUAUAUUGUGUAGGGUAUUUCCUCACGAGUUGACAGAACCUUCGUAUAGACUUAUUAUAUUGCAUGAUAAGUCUAUACAAAAAUCUAUUAAAAUCUCUAAUAAAUGAUAAAUAUAUUAUGAAAAUAUAUAUUAUGCCAGAUUUAAUAAAAUCAAUUUGGAGUUAUAGACGUCGACAGAUUUUUCUAUAAACUUGAGCAAAAUUUUAAAAAUUAACUUAGGAUAAAGCUAGGACUUAUGUUUGGUCAAAACAAAAGAGUAGAUUUCAUAAAAUCACGGGUUUUGAGGCAUUGUAGGCGCUCCCGAUGCUGGACUUGCCGGAGCUGGUGCUGGACCGCGUGCUGGAGGAGCUGGUGCUGGACCGCAUGCUGGAGGAGCUGUCCCCGGCAUCGCCGGCGACCAUGGCGUGCAUCUUUACGGGGCUCAGGGCAUGUAGGGGAUGAGGAAAAUAAAUAAAAACAAAUUGGUUUAAUGAAAAAGACGUGACGCAUGACAUACGGGACCCACAUGUAAGAAAAACCGUCAAAUGCGUUUAUACCGUUGUUUUGGAUGAUGUGAGACAAUUGGACACAAAACGUGUCGUUUUGCGAACAAAUUAGUAAAAAUGAGGGCUCGUUGAGAAGACUGCCUUAAAACCUGUGAUUUCGUGAAAUUUACAUAAAACAAAAUGGUGCUGCACUGCUGCCCACUUUUGUCCGAACCUAGGGGCCAGCCAGGGCCAAGUGGGGUUUCCGGUCGGUAUACACUGUCCACUUGUCACUUGAGAGCAAUCGUUGUGCGGCCUAUCGGGCGCGCACACACAAUACAGAGUCUGGUCAUCUGUGUUUGACACUUUGACCUGUCCAAGUCAGAUUCGGCCGAGCAUGCAUGUUGCAGGUGGGAAGAAUGUGGUCAUUUUGGUGACCAGGUCCCGUCUCGAAUUUGGUCCCGGCGAAACAUUUAUUAGGCUUAACGUCGGCGGCCUUCCUGAUGUUACAGCGCCGUUCGAUCAUAUAGGUUUUGGGGUUGUGAAUCGGUGGAUAGAUCGAGCAUUCGAGCCUGCGAGGUGCCAGGCUCCCUUACUCUGUACUAGUAUGACGCUCGAGACAAGGGACCGAUACCAAGAGUUUCUUACGGUACAUAUAUUAUAGUGUAAGGAAAACAUAAUACUUAAUGGGAGUGAUUUUAUUUAAUGGUGUCGAUUUUCUAGGAUCAAAAGUAUUACAGUUAAAAUACGCCAACAACAUGGUCUCGAACAAUACUAGGUGACAAGCUGCGAGCACAAAUGUUGUUCCUAUGUAUACUUGAUUAACAUCAACGGUAUGAUCAAAGAUUCCAUAAAUGUUUCACAUCAUGAUACUUAAUGUGUUUGACAACACUACUUGAUAUGUUGUUACUCGCGAAAACAACGAGUUCAUUAUUACAAUAUAAAUAAUUUUUCAGCAUACAACUUGCCAACUGGUCUCAUAACACGCUAAAAUUAACUUAAUUAGUUGACAUUGUUGAUCAUUUGGUCAGUGUUUGUUUUGAUAUUUUCCAAGGCACAACUCCUUUAGCGAGUUGAAAAUAUAACCUAACAUUGAUUUCUUGUUUGGCUUAAUCAUGAAUUUCUACCAAAUCCUACAAGGGUCUUUUUGGAUUGAAGGAUUUUCAUAAGAAUUUGUUAGGAUUCUAACCAAUAGGGAUUUUUCCUGUAGAGACUCUUAGGUUCAAAGGUAUACAUCCUCCAAAAUAUCAUAUAUUGAUUUUCUACAUUCUAACUUACAAGAAUUCCAGUCAAGACGUUAGACCUUUUGAAAAAAUGUCUUAUGAGUCUAUGACAAUUACGGCCUACACUAGUCUCUAUGCAAAAUUGCCUGCAUUUUUUUACUGUGCAACCAAACAACUUCUAUGCUUCAUGUGUUCUAAAUUCAUGUAGGAUUCUAAGUGCCAUCAGUGGCGGAGGGAGAGUGGGGGCCAGCAGGGGCCAAGGCCCGGGCCAUAUCUAGGAUUAGUUCUGCCUAAAUUUGUGUAUUCUAUAGUUAUGGCCCCCCUCAACAUUCACACACAAAAACAGCAGCCACAGAAAAUCUGCUCUUUGACUAAUUGACUUCUCAUAUUCCAAGCCAAAAGCAGCCUGCUGCCUGCACUCAUCGCUGGAACCGGCCGGCCUCCGGCCAUUCCUGCCCUCGAAUAGCUACAUGCGCCUGGGCUUCUCCUCUUCUUUCAAGAAUUUGUUUUUCUAUUUUUUGUCAUUUUUACUUGGCCCUCACUAUCCAAUUUUCCUGCCUCCGCUCCUGCGUGCCAUGACAUCCUUAUCUUUGUUUUCUAUUCAUGCAUUUUACGAUUCCUGUGAUUAAAAAGGAGCUAAACAUUGUUUGAGCUAAGAAACUUCAAUUUGUCGUCUUCCAUAGCGUGCGGGCCAUUUGGAUGAAUUUUCAGUUACAUCACGUCUCAGGUUACACCGGAUGUUUGCAGACUCGUAGAGGUGCAAAUGUCAAGCGACCUCUGACCCUACUAAUUUCAACCAAAUGAAGUAAAAAUUUAAAAUCACAUCUCUUUUUAAAAAACUAUAGUAGAUUUGUUUGAACUAAAGAGAGUUGCAUGGUAUCUUCUUCGGUUCAUCUUUUUGCACCUGUACUGAGUCGGCAGUUAUUGUAGUAACUGUGCCGUGAAGGUUAGAGCAUGCCAGGGCCCAGGAGGGUACCAUGCGCAGCUGUUUUGAGCCAUCAAACAAUGCGUACCUGUCCUGGAUCAAACACGCGCGACAGGCGGUAGGAGUCAAAAGGCCUUCUCUGGUGGUGCUGCACUACACCGCGCAUGCUUGGUUUCUCUUCGUGUUUUCGAUCCCAACAUCUAUAUCACGUAUUCACGUCCAUCUUCUUAUAUUAGUUUAAUAGAGGAUCAGGAAUGGUGGUGCGUCGGAUUGCAACUCCACGAUGUUUACAAUCCAACAUUGUUCUGUAUCCAACAAACUAGACUCGAAUUGGUGUGCCUAUAGGUUUAAAAAUACAUUUGCAAGAAGAUAGUUGUAUCCAUUACCCAAGUGGACAAAUGGUGUGGCUAUACAACGGCCGAUGUAACGCCAACACUAGUGCUCAACAAGAUAUUUUUCUGAACGAACAUAAGCACCUGCCUUCCAUGAACAAAUAAAAUAAGAAAUAUAGAGUACAUGGCAUGGCCGUGGAGGUAUUUGCUAGUGGUUGUAAGUUCACAUGCCUAGCUAGAUUUAUCCAACACGUGCGAGUUGGCAAUGCCUUUUGGAAAGUAGGAUGAACAAAUCAAAUAAAGGAUAUAUUGGGCAGGAUAGGCAUUAUAUGUGUUUUAUCCACAUGAUCAUGCAUUGCAUGUCUGUCGUUGGUUUUGUGCCGACCGAGCACUACUGCGUGCAAGUUGGGCAUAUGUAGAGGACCAGGAGUGAUGUUUCUGCAGUCUCUCUCUGAUAUGGAGCAUGGCUGAAAGAUCCGUAUAUACUACGCGUUGUACAUUGUGUCAAAUCCCAAAAUGAAAUGGACAGUCUUCGAUGUAACAACUGGCGGGGUGACCCGUGCAAUUUCAGCAUCUAGUUUUUUUUAAUGUAUAGACAUCAUUGCGACUCGGACCUGUUCUGAAAAAAUCGAGACAUUUCAAAUUAUUUGUUGGUACGAACAAAGCAAGAGAAACCUUCUGAAAGAAUUUACCCGCACAUAUGUAUGCGCACUAUAUUUGUUACAUCUUGUUAUUCAUGUUGUUGCAUAUUUAUAUUAAGCAAGUUUGUAGGAACCCUAGGAGCUAGCCAAAUUACAUAAAAAAAAUACUUAGUAUUGGAUUAAGCUGGACAUAGACUUCUCCUGUGGGCAAGUAGUGCAAUUACAAUAUAAUCAAUCGCUUGAUUUUCUCAAUUUUUAACUUCGUAUACAGAGUUCUAUUGUUAAAACCAACUUCUAACUUUUUUUUAAUAAGAUAAAGUUUGUGAGACCGAAAUUUGCGUGUCUUAAAAAAACAUGUGAUUGAAGCUUCUUGCUACUCUAUAUUUUCAAUCAAAUGUAAUACGGAGUAGAUUGUUUCACUAUAAUAUGCUUUUAGUUCAGAUAAACAUACUGCAUCUUCGAUUCUGAAUCCACUUACCAUAAAAAUAACUAUCUUUGAAUAGACCAUGCAGCGUGAGUAUAUAUGAUAGAUUUCCUGAAUUCCGAUUGGCAUCCUCCUGAUACACGUUGCAAGCUCUUUGUAAGUUCCCUUAAGAGCAAAGUUCAUAUUAAACCUUGACUUAGUACUAGAGCAAGUCUGAAAUCAACCAUGACUUUCUAAUCCCUGAAAUCAGCACCCUGUCCUAGCUUGUUAAUCCUGUCUAUUCUCAACCUUCAGGAAUCAAACCCCGUUUGGGAGAACAGGAUCCCUGACAUAACGGUUAAAAUUUGGAAAUUAUUGACUAAUUCAGUUCAGCUUAUUGCUAAAAUUUGACGCCUAUAUUUAUACUAAGUUAUAUAAUGUCAGAUAUAAUAUUAUUUACAAUUUUGCAUUCAUGCAGGGAAUUUGAUCAUAUGUCUAGUUACUUGGAAAAUAAAAAUAAUUAUAUGUCAUAUGAUAUAUAGUCUGUUUUUGAUCAUUUGUCUCAUUUUAUUUGGACACCUGAUGAUUUACCCUUUUCUACUUUUAACUUGAAUUUUUAUUUUUCGAGCACAUGUGAAAUGACACAACACCCAUCCGCUUGCGUAUGUGCAUAGCUGUAUGGACGCCUAUGUGGUUGCGUGUGCGCGGCGUUGAAGAAAAUGAAUGCAUCUUAAUUUUUUGUUUUAAUAUAUGUCUACUAAAAUUGACCCAAUCUAAGUUAUUUUGUAGUUCAAUGUGUUUUUGGAUAAAAAUCCCGAGAUUUGUCUAUCUUGUCAGCAAUCCCGCUCACCCAAACAAGAUUUGGUUCCCAAAGGUCGGGAUCGAACAGGAUUAUUAAGGACAGGGUGCUGAUUUCCGGGAUUGAGACGUCAGGGUUUAUUUUAGACCUUGUCUACACGUUUAAGGUUUACAAUGUACUUUGCUCUUCCCUUAAUUAUGGUUGUAGGUGUGUGCGUAUGCAACGUGACAAUUGUUUUUUUACGUACAUGAGAAUUAUUGUACCACCUCCAAAUCUUGUAAAUCUGAACCGUUUAAUUUACGGUCAACUGUGUAUAUAUUUUAAACCUAAUAUGAGUGGAUGAAUGUGGUGACUUCUCGUUCUUCUGUUUUAACAAUAUGAUAGCUGAUCCAUAUUACUUGUCGAAAUAUUACAUGUAUCUAGACGCUUUUUAAACAUAGAUAUAUCCCUAUUUGGGCAAAUUUGAGACAAAUAAUAUGGGUCAGAGGGAGUAACUUUUUUUCUAAAUGUAAGACGUUUCAAUAAAUUAUAUAACCUAUCAAAACGUCUAUAUAUACAUUUAGUAACAAAGGUAGUAUAUGGGAGUAGAUAGUAAAGAAACGAGGUGGGUGAUUAUGCCCAAAAAAAGACGCCAUAGAAGAUUUGAAUAUCUGUGUACAUAAUUAGUGUAAGGUUUUCUUUCCAUUUUAUGUUUAAGCUUGUGUACAUAACUAUAACCUUACUCUAUCUUAGUCAAUAUAAAAUAGCACUACUAUAUUUUGUUAAAAGUCAAUCAGAAAAUAUAUAAAAAAAUAAAAAAGAUAUAUAAAUCGGGAGCAGUUUUUUGCAACUCGGUUGAAUCGCACUCUAAAUCUGAGCCAUACGAUUUAAUUUAGGGAUUGUGCCCAAAAUUUUCUAUUCCCAAAUACACUAAUAUGAUGGUCCACCUAUCGAAUGAACCUGACCGUUUUCUUUGGAAGCUUACUUCCUCACGGGUUUUUUCCUGACUUUAUGUAUGGUCAGACGGUUUUUAGAGGACUCUGAAAGUUAAAGAUUCCAACAAAAGUUAAGAUAUUUAUGUGGUUUUAGACCAUCAAGUCCUUCUUACUAAAGAUAAUCUUGUCAGGUGGAAUUGAGAGGGGAGUGUGAAGUGUUGUUUUUGCGCGUGACUCUUAUGAGAUUAUACAACAUAUUUUUCUCUCUUGUCCUUUUACUCGCACUGUUUGGCUUAUCAUUUUUAUCUCUUUUUAUUUGCCUCAACCGACUACGAUUAUUUAUUUAUUUGGGAAUUGGCUUAUUGGGGUUCAUAAACAUAUUAAGAUUAUAUGCAUAGACUUGUUAUGCUUGAUUUAAUACGCUGGCUCCUUUUUAAUCCACGAUCGCUGAUCAAUGAAUUGUAUGACCUUAUCAACAAUGCAAUAAAGAUGGUUAUGUGCAUCGAUUGAUGCAGAAGUCAGAGAUCCUUUCCCUUUUCAAAAAAGAAAUAUACUGAAUACAUGGAAGAAUACAAAUGUGCUGGACCCACGUCCCGUCGCCUCUUUCCUCUACUCUCGAUCUCUCCCUGCCAUCUUGUCGCCUCUCUCUCUCUGCCAUCCCGACUGCGCCCCCCACCAGACGAAUACAGAAAAUACCAUUUCCGGACGUGUUCCACGGAAAACGUCGAUUUCAUUUCCCACUUGGUAAACUUUUGUUUGUAAAGUUUCAUUUUAGUUUUCGUCUUCUCACCAUUUCCGUUAUUCCACAGAACGGAGUAAAUGUUUUCGCUAAGUUUGAAAUCCUAGACAAGGUACCCUGUGUUGUCCCCGGUUCUUUGUUUUUUGGUUUUGCCUCGUCCAAUAUGAAGAAAUUGUACUAACUAUCCAGUACUGCCUCUCUUCCUAAAUCUUACAUACUAGUCGUCGAACUGUCCACGAAGACAACCUUUUCAAAUUUUGACCAAAUUUAUAGAAAAAUAUAUCAACAACUAAUAUAUUAAAUAAUUAUAUUAUUAUUUUUUCGAAAGGGUGAUGAAAAUAUAUAUCAUGACAGAUAUAAUAAAACUAAUUUAGAAUCGUGUGAACAAUUUUUCUUAUAAACUUAAUCAAAGUAUAAUAACUUUGACUUAUCUAUUACAUUCAGAAACGGAGGGUAUGUCUUGCCGUAAAAAAAACUGUUAGCAUGUGUGACAUCGUACGUGGGACCCACAGUGAAGCGCCUCGACCAAGAAUUUGUUGGCUGCUAUAAAUUCACGUCCACACUCGGACUCAUCCACACUCCUCAGCUCAUCUCUGCCCCUGUUACACUGUACACAACAGCAUGGCGCUUACUUGCCUCCUCAUCGUCCUCCUCUGCGUCUCACUGUCGCUCCUCUUCGUCAACCAUGCAGGUAAUCGGGGUUGAUGUAUAAAUUAAGGCGGCUGUUUUGGAAAAUACUACGACCGGCCGUUUAUUUUAUUUUAUACUAACUGAGAAAAGCUAAAAUAUCUUAUAUUUAGAAACUUAGAGAAUUCCUACUCCGUAGCCAUGCACGAUAAUUAAACGGCUACGCAUCUGAUUAUUUCUGGAUUUGUAUUGCAAGUUGGUCGUCCAUAGACGUUGAGUGAAUGUGUGCGCGUGGUGGUGUGCGUGCCUCUACGAUGUUUCUAUAAAAAAUAAUACUAGACACUAGAUCGAUAAGGUAAUUAAUCAUAUUACCGACCCAAGAAGGGUCUUUACUUUGUACCCUCUCCUCCCACAAAAUAUAAGUCAGAUUAUUACAAAAGUGGUCAAGAUUUUAGAACUUUCAUCACUAUGCGGGAAGCUAUAUGCAUGGAUUGAAAUGUAAGAAUAAAAUCGUUGUAUUUGUCUUGCAGAAUAGUUUCUGUCGUAUGUUCUUUUACAUAUUAAUUCAAAAUCAUGCAUUAGAGAUGUUGAAAAUUAAGCGCUAGUUAGCAAGGAGGUAACAGGUGAUUUUGGAUCCAUAUGUUGAGUUUGAGUUUGGUUUGAAGCCCAAGCGCGUAGGCUGGUCGAUGUUGGUAAUGACUAGUAGGUUGAUUGGACUUUUUCUUUUUCAAAAAUAAGGAAAUCUCUCGGCCUCUGCAUCGAUCGAUACACACAACCAUUAUAUUAUUAAAAUAUCAAGCAAUCAACGUGCAAGUCUCAAAUAAGCUUAAAAAUAAAAACAAACGAACAAGAGAAACACCACACGCCCUCAAGUUAAAGGUCAGCACACCACCCAAAUUGGCCGAAGAACCCCUGUGCUACCAUCUACAAACGGUGGCACCCAGAGUCCAUACAUCCAUGUCCCUUCGUCGGAAGCAGUACGGAGCCAAUGUGACGCCCGGAAAACAACCUGCAAAAAAUUAGAAUUUUUUUCUGUUUAUAUAGCUAACAUACAAAAAAAUAAAAGUUGAUAUGAUGAGCUAGAUCAUUGUUUGUACCGAUGUUAGGUCAAUCCGCAAGGUUACAAGUUGUAUCGUGAGGCAGGGCGGACCUCGGAAGACAAUCACUUAAUGUCCAUCUUUUCAAAAAAAAAAUAAUGUCCAUCAUUAGAAGAAGUGUUGUCCAGUGCACCCUCUUGCAUGAACAUGGGUGCCGAUUACUUGGAUGGGAUGUUAAUUACAUCAGCAUGUAGAAAUUAACUUCAAACUCAGUGCUCGUUGAGACAAUCUGUUGAAACAUUUUAUAAAUUUGUUUGAACAAACGUGUGUUUGUGUGAAUAUUCACUUUGAUAUAAAUGAACAUUCAAUUUGAUAUACUUGGACAUUUUCCUAGGAGAGUAUUUAAGGUUAACAAGUUUGAAUCAUGAAACUAUUUUUACAAUUUGUGAGAAUCACCAGUACAAAAUUAUACUACAUUUGAAAUAGAUAAAUAUUUUGUCUGGCAUAUAUGGGCAUUUCAUGCAGACGUACAAAGAAUAUCUGAAAUUGCAGAGAACAUUCCAAAAAUAUAUAUUACUCUUGUAGGCCCUAGCGUGCUGCGGAAGUUAUGCUAAUUUCAAGAAUCAGAAGUGAUCCACACAUUUGCGAAAUUAUGAUAUUUUCAUUGAUGAGUCUGUCGAUCCGUAGCAAUGGACGGGCACUGGUGUCGAAAACGAAAUCUACCCAAAUAAUAAAAGGAGGAACGCUUCCUUCGUCGUCGUCGUCGUCGUCCGUCCGUGAAUUUUGCAAUUUGCCCCUUCAAGUUUUUGUUAAUUCAACCCGCCGUCCAAAUAAAGGACGGAACUGGGUUUGUUUUCCAAGGUUUCGGCUAAACUGCAAUUUUGCAUCUCCUUCCACGGAUCUCUCCCCAACUCAUCCCCGAGUCCCCGACCCGCAUCUCGCCCUGCCUCCUGACGGGUUGGGACCCAAGGCGCUGUCCCGUCAUGGCACGGAUCUGGGUUUUUCUGCAAGUUUACCCCCCCCCCCUCCCCGCGCUCCCUCUCCAUCUACCGGCCCAAUAGCUGCAGCGGCGCUCUGGUUGCCACGAUGCUGCUCCACCUUCUACGGCCGAGCGCUCGCCUCCGCCCCGACACCGCGCAGCCGCCGGCCGUCCCCUCAUCCACACCGACCUCCUGCGCUUCACCGCCGCCGUUCACCCACCGCCCCUGAAGCUAGAGCGCCACACAUGGCCUCCUCCACCUCCGUCUCGCCUGCCGCUGCCGCCUUCUCCGGCAACAACCGAUGCCUCCUCCUUCCAUGUUCACUGCGUCACCUCCCUCGCAGCCGCUCGUGCCCGCGCUCAAGCUCCCGCAUCCGCUUCGCUGCCUGCCACGCCAAUACCCUCCUCUCAUCACCCGGGGCCAGGUGCCAUCCGCUACCGCGGCGUGGUCGUCUGCCUCCUCCGCUAGCGGGUUCUCUGUAUAGCUCCUCACGCACGGGCUGCCGCCGGGCAAGGUCGCCAUCCUGGAGCGCCCAGUGGCUAGCUCCGGUGGA